UUGUGUAUGUGAGAGAGAAUCUAGCAAGCGAAGGAGAUGAAUUAGAGGUGUUUGUGUGCUCCCCUCAUUCUCCAAGCAAGAUAUUGUUCAACCAAAUUUAAAGCCACUCAAACAUUGUAAUAAACCCUGCUUUCUUAAAUUUUAUUAGAUGAUGACAGUAAUGCUCAGAAUAAUUUCCUCUUGGUAUUUUUUUGUUUUUUUUUUUAAUGAAAUUUUGAUUCUAUUAUGUCUCCUUACCCUCCACCAUGAACUCAAAUUAGGAUAGUUUCGGGUUGUCCAAGGAAGCUGAGAAUACAAGUAUGGUUCUUGAUAGCAUGAUAAAUUCUCCUCACCGGAGAUCACCAUCUUUCCGGAAGCAAUUCCCACGGGAUGAGUUGGGUAGCUGGUCAACACUCCUUCAGCGACACCGUUUCCUCUUAACAGCCUUGGCUCUCUUGGCUUUCUUAUGCACAAUCUAUCUCUACUUCGCUGUUACCCUAGGGGCCACUGAAUCAUGUUCUGGACUGACAGGUAGCAAAAAGGCAUCAUGUCGUUUGGAGCUGGCAAAGGAUUCUGCAGGCAAUGGAAAACUCAAAUUUUUCUAGCACGGAUGACACAGUCAAUCGGUUCUUGGCAGUGUUUUCUCUGCCUCAUGCUUGAGCUCCUUAGUGACUUUGUAUACAUGAUGAUGUACCAGAAUUUGUCUUUAAAUUUUUUAAUCACAUCCACUGAUAAUUCUUCAUUGUUUUUAUAACAGUUACACAGGUUGAUUUCUUUUAUGGCUAAAUUAUGUUUUUCCAUUUUCUAGAUAUAGUUUAUCUGUGCAGUAAGUUUUUUGAUGAAUGAAAUCAUUAUUCAAUGAACGAGAAGCAGGAUCGACCUGCUACAAAGCUAUACAAAAAGAGAGCCACCUAUUCAGACUAGUUCCCAGUUAUAGCAGAUAGCAAACAAGUCUGUUUUCUUGUUAAAUAGCUGCUUGACAAAUUGCAGAUUUCCACCAUUUGUGUUUGACAGUGAAAAGAACAGCUUGAGAAAUGCUGUUAACAGGGGAAUUUCAGAGUUAUGACAUCCAGAGUUUCUUUGCACAAAAUACUAAAUUGUACAUGUUCGAUUAGUUUAGGAACGUCUGAUGAAGGGAAAUACAACGAGAAAAUCUUAAAAUUGUCUAAGACUCAUGCAAAUAAAUGAACAUAAAUCUUAAUCACCAUGUUUCGUGAGAAAUCAAUGGCUGGACAUCCAAAGAAGGAGCCUUGCCAUUUCUAAAAUCGCCAAUUGUUACUGAAUAGGAGGCCCAGCAAUUUCCCAUACGUUGGAACUUCAUCCCUGAUGUUUUCAAGUUCUUUAACUUUGUUGUGCAUGAAGAGCUCCUUUUGACAGCCGCGAAUCUGCUCCAACUCUAUCGCCACUUCUCUCAUUGAUUGCGUUCCUUCCAUUCAAGUUCAAGCAUCUUCUUGCAAGAUUAGCGACUGCGAUAACUUCUUCUUCACGGCCCUGCCCCAAUAAUUUCGUUCCAAGAAUAUCAAAUAUCUUGUUCUCUUCCAUCAAAAGAAUAAUGAGUGGCUAAACUUCUCCUGUCUUCCGGCCUUUCAUAAAAUUGGUUUUUGCCCACUCAAGAGCUCUGCAAGAACAACACCAAAACUGUAGACGUCACUUUUUCCGGUAAACUGGCUAGACUGGAAGUACUCUGGGUCCAAGUAUCCAAAAGUGCCUUGAACAUGAGUGGUUAGAUGAGUUUGAUCAAUGGCGAUCGAUCUUGAAGUUCCGAAAUCUGAUACUUUUGCUCUGAACUUCUCAUCUAACAUUAUAUUGUAGACUUGAUAUCACGGUGGUAAACCGGAAUGGAUGCUGCGGAAUGAAGAUAAGAAAGUGCCCUAGCAACUUCAGUAGCAAUCCUUAGUCGCAUUUCCCAUGAAAACUCGAACUCCUCUUCUGGUCAUGAAUAUACUCAAAGAGAUUUCCAUUGGGAAUGAAUUCAUAGACUAGCAGAGGAACCUCCGUCUCUAAACAACAACCUAGCAACUUGACCACAUUUCUGAUGACUUGUGAAAGGAUGACGACCUCAUUGAUAAAUUCUUCCAACUUUUCUUCAUCCACCAUUUUGGAUUUUUUAACAGCAACGAUCAUUCCAUCUGCUAGCAUUCCUUUAUAAACAGUUCCUUGGCCACCUUGACCAAGUAUUCUAUUAUCAUUAAAACGAUCGGUUGCCUUUUCCAGCUCCUUGGAAGUAAAUAUUUUUGUUUUGUGAAUGCUUCCAUCACUUGAUGAUAAUUGUUGCUGCAGCAAUAAACCACCAUUUCGUUUGAAGAACUUCUUCUUCAGUUCAAUGUUCUUCCUUUUUUUUACAAGUUUAUAUAACCGCCAAAUACCAACAAGCAGCAACAACAAUCCAAUGGCCGCACCUAGAACUGCCAUUGCUCGCAAGGGAAAAAAAAUAAGUUUCACAUGGUAUGGAUUUUUUAAAAAUUUUAUGAGUUACCAUUUUUUUUUUAAAUAUCUAUGUUCUAUUUAAAAUGUUUUGGUAGUCUCCAGGUUUUUUCAUUUUAGGUUUUUUUUUUUUAAAUAUGUUUUUUUUUUUAAGACUUUACUUUUUAUGUUGGAGGUCUUAGGGCUAUUUUCAUCCAAACAGUAACAAAAGAGUAUAUAAGAGAAAAUAUCUAUAUAUCCGUGCAUACGAAGACUGAAAAUUUCUUAAAAUGAAUUUUUUUUUAAAAUAACACGUGGAAGAAUAAAUACAAUACAUAAAGAUAAACAAAUCAAUUAACCUAAUUUUUUAAUUAACUUACCACUUUUCUUUUUAUUCCCACAAAUAAAAUCAAUAUUUUUUUUUACAAAUAGUUUUUUUCUUCUUGAAGUGCAAAUGGAGAGCUUUCCAAGUCAAACAUACCGAAUCGAUUAGUAUUUAGAAUUUUCACACAAAUAAAAUCAAUAUUCAAACAUACCCAAUGUUUCAGGUUCCUAUAAAUUACGAAGGAAAAAAAGAAUUAAGAGACAGAAACUUACUCAAGAAAGUGAUCUUAGCUUUGUCGAGCUCGCACUUGUACCACCCCGGCACAUUCACACAUUUUGUCAUCCCCGAACACCAAUUUCCCCUGGGAAUUUUGCACUCAUCGAUAUCUGAUUCAGGAAAUCCAAUGAGCUAGUGAGUAUAUUCUUGUGAUUGGAGCCAUUCAAAAGUACUAGAGUGAUAUUGCAUGGUGAAUUUAUGCUUCAACUCUAUUCUAAAGCUUCAGUACUCCAUUAUUUUUUCUUAAGAAAAAAAAAUAUUAAAUCACAUUAAGCGUGUUCGAAUCAUACCAGUGCAUCCAUCAGGAAGAUACGGAUUGCCAUCAUAGCCCUGGUUGCACCUACAAGUAGUUGAAUUGGAAUACAAUGUUACUGUACUCAAACCCAACCCACCAGAACUUAAGUUCAAAGGGCGCUCGCAAUACAUUGCAUCAGAAUUCUUUGCAUCAGAAUGAAAUGUUACACCUUCAGGGAUGUCAGUACCAUAAUACAUAAACCAACGCAGGAUAACUGGAACAUAUUGCAUAUAUUGCACCUCCUCGGGACUUGAUAUAUUGUUCCAGAACCAUGCUCUCUCUACUAUAAAAGCUACCUUGCAUUGAUUUCUGCCUUGAUCAUUAGGGUCCUCUGCGUUCCCCAAACUCACGCUGAAAACCUGGAGACUCGAGGGAAUUGUGGUCUGGCAGCAAUUGUUACCAGAACAGUAUCUAUUUUCUUUCCCUUCAGCACUAGAACUAGUCAAAUUAUUAGCACCGCAAGUUGACGUGCACCCAACAAUUUGUGGCUCAAUUCGGCUCAAUAAAGCACGAUUGUUGCAGCCCAUUGCGGUGAAGCUAUUUAAGGAAGAGAAGGCGAAAGGACUUCCAGUCAUAUUAAUGGCUGAGUUGGCACCUCUACCAGAACAGCCGGAGGAAAUUAUUGGACUGUUUACUCGAACCGUAUGAUAACCGUACCCUAUAGUAAUCUCCAAGACCUCCAUGUUGAUUCUGCUUAAGAAAGCCCUGCUGGGAGAUUCCGCAGUUGUUUUGUUGCAAUCAACUGAGAACCAGUCAUUCAUGUAACAACCUGUUCCUAUUCCAAAUGGAAAAGGGAUGCUAAUGUUUCCACAAGUGUCUUUACAAUUAGGCUUCGCCAUAAUUAGUGCUGAUACAGUUGCUAUUUCAGGGACUAGAAAUAGCAGGAAAAAAAUUAGAGAGACACUACGAGGAAUCAUGCCUUCCCUUCUAUUGCAGAUUUAGAUGCUGCUGGAGAUCAAUAAUGGAAGGAGAGCGAGAGAGAGGGGAAAGAUCUUUCGUUGCCCCCCUAUAUUUGUAAGAAAAAAAUACUAAUUGAGACAGAGAAGACUACCUUGAAAGAGUAAACACAAUGAAAAGUUCUCAAAUCAUUUGAAGCAAAUUCAAUGAAAAGUUCUCUCUCAAUCUAUCUAUAUAUAUAAUAUGGUGGCCUUCCAUAUUUUAAAUUCGAGUAGUUGUAGGAUGUUUCUUUCCAACUUCCAAGCUUUGAUUAAUAAUGUAAAAAUUCCACAAGACUAUAAAAAGGCUCUCAAAUUGAUGAGUGAUGGUGACUUUCGUCUAACCAAUUCAAAGAGGAUUAGUCUAAAAGUAAAGAGAAGAAACAGUAGGCUUUGAACCACUUAAAUGUGUUGGAACUCAGAAUAGAGAAAUUAAAGAUAGAAAGGGAGCGUGUAGACGACGAUGCUAUGAAUAAAACAGGGGAAGAAAAGUCGUUUCUCUUGAGUGCCAAGAUCUUAUUAUAAUGUGGAAUAUCCAGUAGAUAAGUACUCAGAAUGAACAUAUAUUUAGAAAUUAAUCAGCAAUCAGCUAGCAAACCUAAUUCAAAAAGAGAUUGGAAGAUUGUGUUUAGUUAAUGUUAUAGGAUGUAAUGAACAUAUACAAAAGGGAUAGAAAAAUCACCAAAUCAAAGUUCUCCUUAUUAAUGCAAGUGUUUUGUUUUAAAAAAUUCUCACAGGAAUAGUGUCCGACUUGCAGUGACGAAGUACAAUUACUUAAUAAUUUAACUAUUUUAUUAUCAUAGAAUUUUAAAUAAUCUAAGAGGAAGCUACAAUUUUUUUCUUCUGUUUUACUUUUCAACAAAAAAUAAUAAUCCAUUAUAACUCUUAAAUUAAAUCAAUUUUUUUUUAUAGAAAUUCUAUAUCAUGGAGAAACUUAACCGAAAUUUCCAAUGUGAAAUCUAAAACUUAAGUUAUUGGACAGAGUGUUUCUGUGUGGACAUAUAAUUUGGACCCAAAAAUCACAAUUCUAUCAUUAACCAUGUAUGCUUUCGGUUCCUUAUUUAGAGAUUAGCACCCGUGAACAGUAGCAUGAGGACCGAUGAUACCAGCAGCAACAAUAACAAGUUCAGUAAUUGUUCCUUAUUUGGAUAAUGGAUAUCCGAAACCCAAUUAGGUAUUCAAGAUUUAUAUCCGAAACUUUUUUCUUUUCUUUUCUAAUGGAAAAUAAAUAAAUAUAUUUGUUUAUUUGUUGAGAAUAAAAAAGAUUUUUUUCAAAAAACAAAUACAUUAAGAUUACAAAUAUUUUUUAUAAGAGAUGUUGUUACCCAAUUUUUGACCCACGUUUUUUAUAAAAUUUUCUAAAAAUAAAAAAAAAAGAUUGUUUUUAAAUAUAUUUGCAUCGUUUUUAGCAUUUUUAGCAUCGUUUCAAAAGAAUUUAAAUUUUUAAUGGUCUUUUAAACGCGUUUGAAUUUUCACGCGUUAUUUUUAAAAUAAUUGAUUUUUCUUAUUGAGUCGAUGUUGAUAUUGCUCGUUUUCAAAAAAUAUAAAAAAAUAAGACAAAUCAAAUUUACAAAAAUAAAAAAGUUGAGGAACUAAGUUUGGGGACCAAACAAUAAUUUGCCUAUAAAUAAUAUUUUCCCAAAACCAGCCAAACCUCUCCUCAUCAUCUUCCUUAGCCUCUCUAUAACCCAAGCCCCUAUUUUUUCUCGCAAGCAACAGACUACCUCCUAGACUGAACACGGCGACAAGCCCAACCACCGGUGCUACCAAUAGAAGCGAAGAUCAUCAGCUCAUCAACCGGCCCUAGGAACCAGCCAAAGGACAGCAGCCCACAGACUCAGAUCGGCCGGCCUUCCUCCAGCUCCUCCCUCAUAGACCGAACCAUCUCUUCCCUCCAUUCAGCCUCCAAUAUUAGCGGCCAAAACAACAACUUGAAGCCAGCCGCCACUCACCCUCUCCUGGCCAACCCAACUUCCCCAUAACCGAGAGCAACCCCACAGUGGCUCCUUUCUUCCUCAGGCCGAGCACAUCAGCAACCCCCGUUAUCUUCUUCCCAGUCUUCAAUCGUGCCCACAUACCAGCCUCUAACAGCACCGACAACAACCGUGGUGGAAAGCAGAAGAAACUAGAUCUAAAAAACUAACUACAAUCGACUGAUGUGUGCAUUUUCUUUUGUUGCAGAUAAUGUAGCUCCUCACCACUGGCAAGGAAAGGAAGAGGAGAGGAAGACGUUCCCGAUCCACCGGUUUUCUUGCAUUCAACGGCGAUGGCGCGUGAAACCCAUGCUACCACUGUGCAUACAGUUCUAGAAAGCUUCCAGUGCUGUUAUAGAUUUUUGGGUGUCUAUUUUGUAAAUUUUAAAUUGUUUGAUGUAAUUGUUGUUUAGUUUUUUUUUUUUGAAUUUUUAUAAUUUUUAGUGUGGAUAUAAAAAAAAAAGAAAGAAAAAAGGAAAAAAUAUAGUAAAAGUGAAUGUGUGUUGUUUGUACUUGUUUUAUGGAUGUUUUUUUAUUAUUUUAUUUUUAUGAUAAAACUACAAAAACAAAAGAAGAAUUUAAUAUUUUGAGUUGCUCACGGUAAAAGAUUAUGAACUUAUACGUAAGUCGUAUUCCUAAUAUCCGAUGAAAAGAUAAAAUUAUUAAAAAACAAUUUUAACACAUCAAAGCCAUGAAGCAACUUAUCUCAGGUAGGGUGCGUUAGGGGUGCUAAUACCUUCCCUAACCACAACUAGUCCCUUACCCGUGAAUCUCUGACAAGACCAGUAUAUUUAGGUUUCCUAGUAACCCUCAAUGAAAUAUUAGGUGGCGACUCCCAGAAUCAAACAAGCAAAGGAAUGAAAAUCGCCAACGCCACCGCUCGAGCACUUGCGACAGAAUGACGACUCCACUAGGGAAAGUACUGUUUCUGACAAUAUUGGACUAAGCUUUGUGUAUUUGAUGUGUUUUUGCAAUUUUAUCUCUCUUUUUUUUAAUAUUUUUGUUUGCAUGCAUUUUAUAGAAUUGUUUCAUGCAUCACAUGUCUUUAUUUUUUAAAGCACACACAAGCUUUUAGGUUAGGUGAGGAACUAGCGAUCUGCCCUAUGACUAUUGGUCAAGGUUCAGAUGCAUGAAACACCCAACUCAUAUCUGAGUGCUUGCUUGGUAAUGGUGGGUAUACGUGCCUUAACCAUUUCUCACAACGCCUCUAUACUGUCUUUACGAAGAUCGUCACUGAGCAGAUGUAAGACCCUUUUGAGAUCAGGUAGAAAACCUACCCAUGUUUAUAUAAUGAAUAGAACUUGUCCUUAGGUUAUAUGUGCUAUCUUUAUUUACAUCAAGGCAAACCCUUCUUGAAGCAUCUUGAACUCAAGACUUAUGGGUGACACAAUGAUCAUCACUCAUAAAAUUUUCAUUGUAAAGUUUGGGCAAGAAUCAAGAUUCUUGUUUCAUCAUGCAAGAGUUACGAUCAUAUCUCACCCUCGAAGAACGAGUUCAUCAUAUAGAUUACAUGUUCAUACAUUUGUCAUGCAUGCACUGGGAUGAAAAGUAGAUACCCGGACAUCUCUCUUGAUUUUUAAGGAAGCAUCUCCAAUUAGUAUCCUUAAUCAUUUUAACUCAUCGUUCAUACUUUCAAUCGCAUCAUCAUUCUUUUUAUAGUACUAAUUGUAUCUCAAAUUACUAUUUUAUAUUUUUUAUUAUUAACUUCUCAAUCAAAAUUUAGUUAGUACACAGAACCUUUUAAAUUGCAAACUUUCAAACAAUGUCCAAGCAUAAUUAAAUCAUUAAAACACCAAUAUUUACACAAUUUUUUUCCUUCCAUCAUUUCACAUUCAACCCACAUAAUCCCAUAUCUAGAAAUUCAAUUCAUCAAGAAUCACAAUCAUGAUCAAACAUAAUUUCAUCAUCAUACUAUUCAAGUUUAAGCAUCACAUUAUCUUUCUAUCCUCAAAACCACACAAUUUAGCCAAAAUUACACAUUUACACCAUUCCAACAUAUUGCAGCAAUAACUAACUACCUAGCGAUCCAUAUCACAACAUUCCAUUUCGACCCCAAGCAUUCCCAACAUCAUUUUAAAAUAUCAAAAUCACAUAAAUGGGUUGAACUCGUCUGUACACAACCCAAGUCGGACAUUCCUUGAUUCAGCAAAAAAGUCAGGAUGCACACUGUUAAACGUUUCCACGCUUCGCCGUUAGAAGGAUGCACCAUCACACCAUUAAUGGCAUCGUGUGUUUGGUGCCAUGUCAUGUGCUCAGCAGUCCUUGGUGACAUAAAUAACCUCUGCAGUCUAGGUGUGAUCGGGAAAUAUCUAAGUUUUUUAUAUGCCAUUAGAGUCUUCCCCUUGCCAGUUCUGGGUUUGUAACGGGAAUGCCCGCAUGUCAUGCACUCGGUCAUCUCAACAUUUUCAAGGUAGUAUAACAUGCAGAAGUUAGGGCACAUGUCAAUUUUCUGGUAUCCUAAACCGAGGGGUUUCAUCAUGGACUUCGCAGCAUAGAAGUUCUCUUUGAGCCUGUUCCCUUCAGGUAAAAUGCUUCUUGCCCAAUCAAUAAUUUUGUCAUACCCGGCCUCACUCAACCCGUGAUCUGACUUGAUGGUGAACACCUGUGCCACGGCCGAUAAUUUACUGUGGUUUGUGCAGCCAUCCCAUAAUGGUUCGUCAGAAUCUUUCAACAAAUCAAAAAACCUAGCUGCCUCUGCAUUAGGUUCUUCUUCUACGAUUGGACAUUGAUUGACAUUAUCUUGAUUCAUUCUCAUUGCAUCCAUAACCAUGUUUCUGUAAGGAUUAGUGUUGUCAUUUGCCGCUUCAUGCACGUUGCUAGCACUAGAAGUUGACCCAACCACCGUUUCUCCCAUUCUCCUAUUACUAACAAAUACCUCUCCAUGUGCAUACCAACACUCGUAAUCCUCCACAAACCCUUUGUGUAGAAGAUGCAUCAUUACAACAUCUGGAUGCAGAUACUUUUUAUUUUGACACUUCCUGCAUGGACACCUAAUACCGCCUCCAGUAAAAUUUCUGGGAAUAGAUGUUGCGAAAUUAAUAAAACCCUGAACCCCGUUACAAUAAUCCAUCAUCCGCAAUCCUUGAGGUGAAUCUAGAUACAUCCAUGAACGAUCAUCCAUGACUUCUAUCGAACCUCUAUAAAAAGGACCUAUUAAGCAAGCUCUUAAUUAUUUCAAAACAUAACAUCUAAUUCGGUAAUUCUACAAAUUAAGUUUUAACAAUUUACAAACAAAUACAAUCUUACAAAAUCUAAAACAAACCAUAACAAGUAUAAAAUUAUACAUUCAUAUACUACAAGUUUGUUUGAGAAAUAACAAUAAAACAUGUACAUCUACUAAAAAAACAAUAAAAUUGACAUUUAAAUGUUAAAAUUUUAAAAGAUAGAAUUACUUACAAAAAAUGAUAAAAUCCGUCGGUAAAUCAGAACACGGAUGCUGUGACCACAAAACUUCAAGAAAUACAACUUGUUGUGCUGAGAUGAGGAAGAUUUUUGUUUUGGGGCGAGGGGGGGCUGGUUAUUUGCAGAUGGGGAGGGUUAGGAUUAGGAAGAAGAAGGAGAAAUGGGGGAGGAGAGUGUCGGCAGAGUGGCCAUAUAUUCACUUUUGCCGACGGACUUACCGACGGUUUUAUUCCGUCGGCGAAACCGUCGGUAAUUCUGACGGGCAAUCGACACGUCACCGCACGGACCUGCUAUUCAAAUCCCUCGGUGAUUCCGUCGGUAUUUUUAACGGUGCACCGGUCACGUCACCGGUACGGAUCUGGCAUUUCAAAUCCGUCGGUGAUUCCGUCGGUAUUAUUGACGGUGAACAAGUCCCAUCACGUGUACGGCUCCCCGGUUUUCAUUCCGUCAGAAAAAUCACCCGCCAAAACCUCCGCGCCACCUACCCGCCCUUUUUUCAUUAAUUCUGAAUUUUCUGUCGGUAAUUCGGUCGGUAAUUACCGACGGAUAUAGUCCGUCGGUAAUUACCAACGAAAAUAGUCCGUCGGUGAUUUCGACCGAAAAUAGUCCGACAGAAAAAAUUCCGUCGGUGAGUCCGUUGGUAUUUAGCGAAUUUCUGGUAGUGAUCAAAAUUUAGUUAGUACACAGAACCUUUUAAAUUGCAAACUUUCAAACAAUGUCCAAGCAUAAUUAAAUCAUUAAAACACCAAUAUUUACACAAUUUUUUUCCUUCCAUCAUUUCACAUUCAACCCACAUAAUCCCAUAUCUAGAAAUUCAAUUCAUCAAGAAUCACAAUCAUGAUCAAACAUAAUUUCAUCAUCAUACUAUUCAAGUUUAAGCAUCACAUUAUCUUUCUAUCCUCAAAACCACACAAUUUAGCCAAAAUUACACAUUUACACCAUUCCAACAUAUUGCAGCAAUAACUAACUACCUAGCGAUCCAUAUCACAACAUUCCAUUUCGACCCCAAGCAUUCCCAACAUCAUUUUAAAAUAUCAAAAUCACAUAAUUUAAUCAAGCUUCCACAUUUCCCCAAAAUCCCUACCAUGUCUGCCCACUCAUGGUCCCAAAUUUCAAAACUUUAGUUUUUAAUAUCUUUAAUUUAAUCCUUAGCCAUGUUAUCUAACCCAAAAUUAACCAAUAACUAUACUAUGUCACCUUUCCAAAUACAAACACACAUAAAUCCUAAAUUUUUAAAUUUGGGGAUUUUCAGUCCCCAUAAAAAUUAACAAAAUAAAGUGCAUUUAGAGCAAUAGAAACAUCUUGCCACAAUCAAUUAACCCAAUUUGUUAAUCCCUCUGCAAGAAAUCCCAAGAUGUUCUUUAGUACAUCUCAAAUCUUCUUCUUGUUCCUUAGUUUUAUAUUUUUGUUUUGUUGUCCUUAAACUCCUACAACACUAGUUUUUUAUUCCAACAAAAAACACUAACAUCAACUGAUACAAUUUUUUAUUUCCAAUUCUUUCAAGUUUCUUUUUUUUUACCGUUAACUUUUUUUCUCUUGUUUGGCUGCUACGGAAAGAAGAGAAGAAAGAUUGUAAAUCCAUUGUUUAGAAGUCGAAACAAAAUAAAUUUCAGAAUCAUAGGAAUUUAAUACUUCAAGAAGGAGGUUAUCUUUCUGAAAUCGAAUUCCUAUUCCAAAUGGAAAAGGGAUGCUAAUAUUUCCACAAGUUUAUGUAGGAUUUGGUGUUGGGAUGUUUCGUUCCAACUUCCAAGCUUUGAUUAAUAAUGUAUAAAUUAUUUCUCAAAUUGAUGUUUCUGUUCAAAAUAAUGCAUCUUUAAAAUUUAUGGUCAAGUCAUUGUUUAUGUUUAGCAUCUUUUGUUUCCAUUAUGUCGAUCUUUUGCAUUGUCGAGCAGAGAAAGAUUGAUAAAAGCUAAAGCAUCAGUAUGAAGGCCAAAAGCUGAUAGCUUAUGCUGCAUUUCUUGGGUCCAGUCGGAAAGUGAACAUUGAGAAGAAAUAAUGUAUAAAUUAUUUCUGAAAUUUAUGUUUCUUUCCAUAUUUUUAAUUCGAGUAGUCGUAGGGUGUUUCUUUCCAACUUCCAAGCUUCGAUUAAUAAUGUAUAAAUUCCACAAGACUAUAAAUUAAGACUCCCAAAUUGAUGAGUGAUGGUGACUUUCGUCUAACCAAUUCAAAGACGAUUAGUCUAAAAGUAAAGAGAGGAAACAGUAGGCUGUGAACCACUCAAAUGUGUUGGAACUCAGAAUAGAGAAAUUAAAGAUAAUAGAAAGGUAGCGUGUAGACGACGAUGCUAUGAAUAAAACAGGGGAAGAUUCCAUAUUCCGUCGAAAUACCUUUUGUCGGUGAUUCCACAUUCCGUCGCUAUAUUGGUCGGAAAUACCAAAAAAACAUUUACCGACGGACCGUGCGCGCAAAAAAAAAAAAGUUUCCCACUUUGAAUAUACCGAUGGAAAAUAUUCCGUCGGUGUUAUGUAAAUAUCGAAGGACUAAAUCCGUCGGUAAAAGUGUCGGUGAUAUUUCAUACCGACCGAAUAUUUCCGUCUGUAAAUUCGUCGGUAAGUUUAUACCGACGGAUUAUUUCCGUCGGUGAAUAUGUCAGUGAUGGGAUGGAAUACCAACCGAAUCUGUCCGUCUGAAUAUUCGUCGGUGAUGGUGGCAGACACUGUCCAAUGCCGACGGAGUUAUUCCAUUGGUAAAUCCCUGUGUAAUUUUUUUUUAAUGUUUUUUUAAUUAUUUAGAAAAAAUAAUAAAAAUUAAUGGUAAUACAAACCAAUUAUGCAAAUAAAAUUUAUAUUAAGCAACAAAAACUCAAAGUUAAAUAAUAUUCAUUACAAAAUGAAUGUGUUUCAAAAAAACAUUAAACAAAAUUUUAAAUGUAAAUAAUGUUUAUUAAAAAUUAAUAUAAAGGUGGAGGAGGAGGAGGAGGAGGAGGCUGGGGGUUAGGCGGCAAAAAAGGAUUAGGCGCACAUGUUCCACCUUGUGUCAUGUUCAUGACCAUUUGACGAAGCUCUUCAUAGGCCGCUCUUUGUUGUUCAGACUCUGCUCUGUGUUGUUCGUUCGCCAAUCUUUGAGUUGUGUGUAUGCCUCUGAUAGGUGGUCGCACCUUUGCUGCAAGGCCACGAACUCCUUAGACUGGGAGCUUGAUUCAGAUUGGGAGCUCCCAACGGUUAAAGCAGUACCGGUCGACCGCAAGUUGGCGGCGGUAGUGUUGGAGAGCCCGUAAACCUGAUUUUUAUCGGGUCCACCUAACGAUCCAGCCUCCAUCCACAAAUCCGGAUCGAAUUCCGGAUGGGUCGAAGGAUCGUCCCCGUAUGUCUCCCUCAACCGAUUAUUAUAGGUUUGCUGAAAAAAAAAAUCAUCAUAUUCAAUUCAAUAAACAUAAUAAUAACUUACAAAAUAAAAUGGUUGAACAAACAUACCACAAACUGUUGAGCACGGUUGUCAACGAACUGUUGCGUCCCCUUUUGGCGGUCAUGACUCCGCACGUGCAUCUCCACAAACAGCUCCAUAGGGCUCGGCUCACGUCCAAGAGACGUAGCCUAUAAUGAAAAAAUUUUAUUAACAACAAAUUAAUUGAACGAUAUAUUUCAUUUAAAUUAAUCUUACCAUCCGUUUCGCAUGUGCAGCAAACGGAACGGAGCCGCUGGUGUGCGUUGUCACCGAGCCAUGAAUUGGCCGAUUCCGGUUGCCAGCACCGGACUGUGAGCGUCGAGUGAACCGCUCAGACGUCACGUGUUGAAGAUAGUGCGGCCAUAUAUCUUCCGGGAUGUAUAUCGGUUUGAAAUCCCUCCAAACCGCAACAUCGUUCCAGCCUUGGAACCCCUUAUCCCUCGCUGUUUUUUUGGCCUUUUCUGGGUUUCAUACCAAAAAUCACGCAACCUAAUUCACGCACGAAAAAAUUACAUUUCGAAACAUAAAUAAUUAUGUAAAAAAAAAGUCGUAUUGUUUUCGAUGUUACCUAAUUGCCGCGUGAUUUUCCCACACCCUCCUCACAACAGUGUCAUGUUCAUCGUCCCAGCUGAAUCGAUGCUGUGUAUAAAAAAAUAAUUUUUUUAAAAUGUUAAUAAUUUAUUUACAAUUAUAACUAGAAUUUAUUAGAAAUAAGCAAAAAUAUAUUAACACGAACCUCAAAUCUACGAAACCAUGCAUUGAUUUGAGGCAUCCAUUCAGGAUGCCUGGAUAUCUGACUCCAUUGAAAACAAUGGAAUCUCCAACGCUUUAAACGCCGAUGAUAUUACUCGGGCGCCUCAAUGUUUGUGAACCUAAGAAAUGAAAUUAAUGAAAUAGAUUACUUCAUUAUGUUUUAAAUUUGUUUUUUUUAUUAUAUAAAAAAAACUAAAACCUUAACAAACUUACAUUGAAAGAUCGUCCUUCCACUGUGCCUCGUACUUGGGUAAAUUGAUUCCGCUGCGAAGGCACGCCGCUUCUGCGAUGUGAAACAUCGCUGGAAGAGGCAGCAUCGGUUGACGGCGCAGGUGGUGUAGGUGCCUCUUCUUGAGAGGCACCUAAGGAAACAUCAGCAUCGCUGCUAGACGAACUUGAUUCGACUGGACGUGAACGACAGCUCUGGUUUUCAUUUUGCGCAUCUAAACAAUUUUAUAUAAAUAAUUGUAUAAUAAAAUUCAAAAGUUAAAAAAAAUCGGCAGCACCUCCCCUAUACUGGAUACUACCCAAAUCCACAAACCUGCAAAUAUUAACAAUAGCCACAACCAAUUGACCCAAUCUAUACUAAUUAUUCCAACAUAUUCAACUAUUAAUCCUAAGAUAAAUUCAACGUUAACAAUUACAAUUCACAAAUUAUUCAAUAAUUAUGUCAAUACAACAAAACUAUAAAUUCAAAAUAAAUAGAAACAAUUAAACACAAAUCAUCAAGUUAGAGUAAAAUUAAUAAUUCUUCCAACAUAUUCAAUUAUUAAAUCUAAGAUAAAUUCAACAUUAACAAUAUUAAUUCAACAAAUUAUUAAAUAAUUAUGGCAAUACAACAAUAAAAUAUAUUCAAUAAAAUAAAAAAGAAUUAUAGCCUAACAAUUAAAAUCAAUGGAAACAAUUAAACACAAAUCAUGCAAUAAUAUAUAAAAAAUACUAAUUAUUCCAACAUAUCCAAUUAUUAAUUCUAAGGUAAAUUCAACAUUAACAAUUAUAAUUCAACAAAUUAAUCAAUAAUUAUAUAUGGCAAUACAACAAUAAAUUAUAUUCAAUAAAUUAAAAAAUAUAUAUAGACUAACAAUUAAAAUCAAUGAAAAUAAUUAAACACAAAUCAUGCAAUAAUAGAGUAAAAUUAAUAAUUAUUCUAACAUAUUCAAUUACUAAUUCUAAGUUAAAUUCAACUUUAACAACAAAUAUUCAACAAAUUAACUAAUAUGUUAUUAUGACAACAAAACAAUAAAAAAUAUUCAAAAAAUUCAAAAAAAAAACCUACAUCAAGAAAAGGAACGAAAUAUACAUACCUUAAUAAUGUGACAAAUUCAAAACUUUAUCUACAUUACAAAAAAAAACACCAAAACAACAAAAUAACAAAAUAAAAACAACUAAAAAUAAAUUAAAAGUAAAUAAAAUAAAUUGGAAAAAAACACAUACCUUUUAUGAGGAAGAUUCACAACACUAAAUCUUGCUAGAGAUUGAAGGUGAAAUUCUUGAAGGAUUGAGGGCAAAAAAAUAAAAAAUCUGAGGUGCAAAACGGAGGAGAAGAGAAGAGAAGCGGCGCGGGGAGAAGAAGAAAAAAUGAGGCGAAGCGGCGGGGGCUGGAACUUAUAGGGCAGUUUUACCGACGGAAUCACCGACGGACUUAAUAUCCGUCGGUAACAGGUCAAAAAUUCCGUCGGUAACAGGUCAAAAAUCCGUCGGUAAUUUUUGAAUUUCGCACCGAAUUUUUAAAAGCCCUCCAUAUUUUUCGACGUCCGUCGGUGAUUCCGUCGGUAAUAUGACAAGUUCAGAGGCGCAUUAAUUCACACACUUUGGAAAUCGCGCGGUCUGUCAGUAUUUCUGUCGGUAAUAUGUGUGACCGACAAAUUACCGACAGAAAUAUUCCGUCGGUAUUAGCGUCGAAAAAUCGGUCGGUGAAUCCGUCGGUGAUUGUGGCAUUUUGUUGUAAAUAUUUUCGAACUCUCUAUGAGAUACCGACGGAUGUCCGUCGGUAUACCGUCGUGAUUGUGGCAUUUUGUUGUAAAUUUUCGAACUCUCUGUGAGAUACCGACGGAUAGAAUCCGUCGGUGUGUGUCGGUGAAUCCGUCGGUAAUGUCGUCGGUGUUGUGGCAUUUGCGUAAUAUUUCGAACUCUCUGUGAGAUACCGACGGAUGGUUAUCCGUCGGUAAGUUUGCAUUAUGCAGGAAAGGUUGUCUUUGUAUUGCCUGUUUACCUUCCUGCAAAACUUAACUGAUAAACUGUCCAUCACAUAAAACAAUAACCACAUUGCUUAAAAGUAAAUAUUUUGUUUUACAAAAUACAUCAUCAAUAAUCUAAAUUACAUGAGACAAAUGUUUUUACAUAGGGCUUCAUUUUCAUAAUUAGUCGGAAUUUUCUUCUUCUUCCUCAUCAAUUGAAUUGUCAUCAUCUUCAUCGCAAUCUUCAAUAUGGAUAUCAUCUUCUUCAUCGACAUUUGCUUGUCCGCUAGAGCUGAGAACAACAUUCAACUCCUCUCCGUCAAUAUCAACAAGACUAUCAUCGAGAACUCGAAAAUUUGAAUUUUCUUCCAAUUCAAUCGAAGGAGCAACUCGAUAUGGUUCAACCAACUCACGAACUUGAAAGACUUCAUCUCGCACACUUGUGUCUUCGUUCUCAUCCUGAACAACCUCGACACGACCCCGUGGUUUCGUUUUUAAAACGGACAACCAAUCAACUCUUGAUCGAUCCUUUCUAAAUGAAGGGGUGUAUGUGUAAUAAACUUGUUGACAUUGCUUUGCGAAAACAAAGACAUCGUUUAUGUUGCGGAGUCUAGCUUUUGAGUUGAUUUCGACCAGACCAUGGUGCGGAUCAACUCUGAUUCCUCUGUCCGUCGUGUCAUACCAAUAGCAUUUGAAUAAAAACACUUUAUUCUGCUCGCUAUGAUAUUGCAGUUCGACGACCUCUUCUAAUCUACCAUAGUAGUCAACUUCUAACUGGCUACUUGUGGAUCCCUUAACACAAACACCGCAGUUGUAUGUCUUUCUUCCUUGCCCGUAUUCUUCAGUAUGGAAAACAUAUCCAUUGACAAAAUACCCGUUGUAGCACUUAACUUUUCUUUCAGGGCCGAGGCUUAGUGAAGACAAUGACUUGGGCGCACUCCUUCCCAUUUGAUAAACCUUGUAAAUAUAUGUAAUUAAAUGUACAUCAAUACACGGUAAAUGAACGAGAAUCUCGUAAUGACAUGCAUACGUUAGAAUGAGUUUGUGAUAGUGCUUACAUGUGUUCUGAACCAUGUGGCAAAUUGUUCAUCUUGUAAUUGAAAGAUCUGGGAUUCGGUCAGCUGCGAGUUAUUGGAGAGCAAAUAUUGUCGAUGUUGCCUGCAAGUGAUAAUGAGUGUAUGAUAUUACAAUAUAUAAUUAACAGUAUAUUACUGACAAAGUUUAAUUAGUAUUACACAUAUAUAGACUUACUGAAUAAAUGGUCUCAGCUCAUCACAGUUAAAUAGAACAUAGUUGUGUGCUUGUUUGAAUUCUAUUUCCGACAAAUAUCUUCCUCUUACGGCAUUUUUAGGUGUGGGUCGUCCAGUAUUGGAGAAUAUUGACAAGUUCCCACUGGAAGGCACUUCACCGCCAUCGUCAUGCCGUGGAACGCGAUUGAUUCUUGUUCUCAGAUGAGGUUCGAAAUAGUACGAGAUAAAUGUUGAUAUCUCUUCAACAAUAUAGGCCUCAGAUAUCGAAGCCUCAACAUGCGCCUUGUUCUUAACCUUUUUUUUUAGAUUAAACAAGUACCUGCAUUGAAGUACAAUUCAAGUAUUUUCAAUAAGAAAAACAUAGAAAAUACUUUAAGAUAUGAAUUCCAUUGCAACUGUAAUAUCUCACCGUUCGAAUGGGUACAUCCAUCUAUACUGGACCGGUCCUCCAGCUUUUGCCUCGAACGGUAGAUGUAUAGGGAGAUGCUCCAUUGAGUCAAAAAAUGAAGGAGGGAAUAUCAUCUCAAGUUUGCAUAGUGUCUCGAUGAUAUUCGUUUGAAGCAUCUCAAUGUGCUCAACAUUCAUCUUGCUGGAGCAUAUAUCUCUGAAGAAAUGACUGAUCUCCGUUAGUGCAUCCCAUAUUCCCUUUGGCAACAAAUCACGAAAAGCUAAUGGGAUGAGUGUUUGCAUAAACACGUGGCAGUCAUGCUCUUCAUUCCAUACAAUCUGCAGUCCUCUAUGUUAACAAGCCUUGAUAUGUUCGAUGCAUGUCCAUCCGGGAAACGCAGACUCUUAAGCCAUUUGUAGACUAGCAGUUGUGCGUUUUUCUCUAACACGAAGCUUGCCCUUGGUUUUGCAACCCGUGACUCGUCAUAAACCAACUCCAUAUUUUUACGGUUACAGUAUAAAGCUAUAUCCAAUCUAGCCUUCAUGUUGUCCUUUGUCUUCCCCUUCACAUCCAUGACGGUGUUGAAAAUAUUCUCAAACACGUUCUUUUCGAUGUGCAUGACGUCAAGGUUAUGGCGGAGAAGAUUAGUCUUCCAAUACGGAAGCUCCCAAAAGAUACUUCGCUUUACCCAAUUAUGGGUCAAACCAAAACCAGGAAACUUUUGCUUACCUGAUUGAAGGCCAAACACAAUGUCACCGUACUCUGAUACAACAUGAUGCAAUUCUUCACCAGAAAGACGCGGGGAUGCAACAUCUUUUUCAACUCUACCAACAAAGAAAUCUUUUCUGUUCUUUCUGAACCUGUGAUUAAGUGGCAAGAAGCGACGGUGACAGUAAAAAAAAAGAAGCUUUACCUCCGUUUGCUAGCGUGAAUGCCUUGUUGUUUUCCAUGCAGUAUGGACAUGCGAGUUUCCCAUGCGUGCUCCAACCAGAAAGCAUUCCAUAAGCUGGAAAAUCACUGAUAGUCCACAUCAAAGCCGCCCUCAUAAGGAAAUUUUGUUUCCUCGAUAUAUCAUAAGUCAGAGAUCCGGAGGACCACAACUGCGCCAGCUCAUCUAUCAACGGUCGAAGACAAACAUCUAUAUUCCGCCCCGGGCUGCUUGGACCGGGUAUGACAGUAGAUAGAAACAUGAACUCCGGCCUCAUACACAUUCCCGGUGGCAAGUUAUAAACUGUGAGAAUGACCGGCCAACAAGAAUAAGGAACAGCAAAUGACCCAAAUGGGUUGAACCCGUCUGUACACAACACAAGUCGGACAUUCCUUGAUUCAGCAGAAAAGUCAGGAUGCACACUGUUAAAGCGUUUCCACGCUUCGCUAUCAGAAGGAUGCACCAUCACACCAUUAACGACAUCGUGUGUUUUGUUGCAACCCAAUUUUUGACCCAUGUUUUUGAUAUAUUUUCAAAAAAUCCAAAAAAUAGAGAAAAAUAAUGAAAAUCCAAAAAAUAUGUUUUUUAAUAUAUUCUCGUCAUUUUAGCAUUUUCAGCGUCGUUAAAAUUUUUUUUAAUUUUUCAAACGCGUUCGACUUUUCACGCGUCGUUUUUAAAAUCAUUGAUUUUCCUCAUCGAGUCGACGUUGAUAUUGCUCCUUUUCAAAACAUACAAAAAAACAAGAAAAAUGAAAUUUUACAAUAAAAGAAAGUUAAGGGACCAAUUUUGAAAGCUUGGCAAUAUUUUUUGCCUAUAAAUACUGGUUUCCAACACUUGCAAGAGGGGGGGGGCAAUUUUGAUACAUGGGGGCAAUUUUGACAGAUUCAGAAAAAAUACAAAAAAUCCCUAACCCUAAGCCCUUCUUUUUUUCAGGGGGUGCAGGCCCCUCCCUUUCUUUUUUUCUCUGAAAAACACCGCCGCCCCCAUCUUUUCUUCAUCGGAGCCCCACAUUUGAACCCGACCGGUCCAACCAUCUCCUUCUCCUUUAGAAACCAAAAGCCAGCAGCCGUCUCCCUCCCGCUGGCCAUUUAUUUUUCUCCCCCCGGCCACCUCACUCUCUCAUCUUCUCUACAACCGACCCCCCCUUUUUGAUUUUCGGUUUCUUCUCCCUUCAGCCGGUCAAGUCUCACUCUCCAUUUCCCUCUUCCCCGGUUCUCCUCCCUCAAUAGCAACGGCGAAGCAACGCCGUCCACCACGACAGCGCCGAUCCGCUCCUCUAAGCCCUCAACAGGGCCUUCUCCUCCCUCAGUAGACGACCCACAGCCACGGACAACAGCGCCGCCGAUCCGCAACCAGCAAGGAAGAAGCUGAGAUAUACGGCGCCCACAAACCCACCUCCAGUAGCAGCCCGACGCAGCGGCGCCCACUGCCAUCCUCGCCCGAACCGGCACCGGCCGCUGCACACACACAACCGAAGCACAGCCGCCAGCCGCACCUUGGGCAUGCGAUCUGCUACCUGAAACAGAGAAGAAGAAGACGACCGAAGGGGACCGAGCUGUUUUGGAAGCAGAUUCAAAAGACCCGAACGAACCAGAUUUGAGGAGGAAGAAAAAAACUAAAUCGACUGCUUUGUUGCGUUUUCUGUUGUUAUUGCAGGUCACCUCCGGCGAGGAAGGGAAUAGGGGAGGAGGCUGUUACAGACCCCCCUGUUUUCCGGUCGUUUUCACGGCGGCGCGUGAACCCACGCGCCGCCAGUGGUGGUGGCGCAUGAAGGAGACGCGCCGCCAGUGUUUUUGUGGUCUAGAAGCCUUCCAGCAGUUUCCUAGAUUUUUAGGGCUGUUAUGUAAUUUAUUUGUGUAAUGUAUUUUCUGUAAUUUUGAAUUUUUAUUAUUUUUAUUUUUGUGGAUGUAAAGAAAAGAAAAGGAAAAGAAAAGAAAAGAAACAAAAUAGUGAAAGUGAAUGUGUGUUUGUUUUUUAUUUAUGUUAUUGAAUUAUAAAAUAAAAAAGUACAAAAAGAAUUAAUUGUUAAUUUAAAUAUGGUUAAAUAUCUCAAGGACAAAUAAAAUCAAGUUGUAUUUUCCACGAAAAUGUAAGGACAAGUUUCUACACAUAUUCGGGGAUUUAAUAACUGAUUUAUUCAAGCCUUAGAAUUUAAUUAAUAUUGACAAAAGAAUUAAUUGUUAAUUUAAAUAUGGUUAAAUAUCUCAAGGCAAAUAAAAUCAAGUUGUUUUCCACGAAAAUGUAAGGACAAGUUUCUACAUAUAUUCGGGGAUUUAAUAACUGAUUUAUUCAAGCCUUAGAAUUUAAUUAAUAUUUUAAAUUUUCAAAUCACAUUAGAACACAAAGCAGCUUACCUCAGGUAGGGUGUGUUAGGGGUGCUAAUACCUUCCCUAACCACAACCAGUCCCUUACCUGCGAUCUCUGACAAGACCAGUACAUAUGGUUUCCUAGUAGCCCUCAAUGAAUUACUAGGUGGCGACUCCAACAAACGAAUUCAAAGCAAAAACAACAAACGAUGAAAAAUCGCCAGCCGAUGCCGCGCGCGCCAGGAUUUUUUGGGGUGCGACAGAAUGGCGACUCCGCUGGGGACAGGUAUUGUUUUCAACUUUAUCGGACUAAGCUUUGUGUUUUGAUGUGUUUAAGUUUUUUUUGUACUUUGUUUUAUUUUAUUUGUGUUUUAUUCAUGCAUUGUAUAUAAUUCUCUCAUGCAUCACAAGUUUUAAUUUUUGAAAGCACACACCACUUUAGGUUAGGUGGGGACUAGCAGCUUACCUUACGUUGAGUCAAGGUUUAAGUUUGUGUAAACCCCAAUCUUUGUUGAGUGCUUAGACUGGUAAUAGUUGGACACGUGCCAACCAUUACCUACUGGGCCCCUAUAUUGCCUUUACGAGGGCGAUCACUGGGACAACAAGAGACCCUUUUAGAGACCAAGUAGCAAACCUACCCUGUCUCACGUAAAAUGAAUAAAGCCUGUCUUUAGGAUGUAUGUGCUAUUGUUUUGCAUCCGAGCAAACCCUUCUUGAAGCAUCUUGAACUCAAGACUUGUGGGUGACACAUUGGUCGUCACUCGAAAAUUUUCAUUGUAGACUUUGGGCAAAACAUCACGAUUCUUGUUCCAUCAUACAAGAGUUACGACCUAUUGUCACCCUCGAAGGGUGAGUUCGUCAUAUAGAUUUACAUAACAUGUGUACCGGGUUGAAAGGUAGGUCCCCCGUACAAGUUGUGCUGCACGUGAUUAAGAAAGAUGAGGAAGUGAAAAAGAUUCAGAUAGAGGCUCAUUAUCAGUUUGGUUGAGAGCAUCAAAGGUGAAGUAGCUGGACUCAGAUCUGCUCGAACAAGUUGAGCAUCAAAUGGAAAGAGAGUGUCUGCAUAGUCUUCUGUGGGAACACUACUUGUUCAUGUCCAAUUGAAGCUGUACCUCUCCUUUUCCGUCAUAAACAACAGCAACAAUGCCUUCAGUCAUCAACUAAUGACAACCCUGGUUCUUGUCUAGUUGCACUGUUAAAUGUUCAUUGCCUCCACAUCAUCUAAUGGAACCAAACGACUAUUAGCCUCCUGUACAUGUGCAUUAGUCUGCUUUGAAGUUACCCCAAUUAUGAGCUCAAUUCCAGUUCAACAGCACAAGAUGUUGGUCCGAAAAACCAUGAUCAGACACUGAACUUCUACGCGGUAAAGCUCUCUCUGUAGAGAUUUAUUUGUGGAUCUGCCAAUAGGAAAUGGAAAAGGGGAUGUAUUAAUUUCAUAUGCUUUGAAAUUUUUUCCCACCAGUGGCACGAGCAAAACAUUGUAGUAGGCAGAAGAGUUAGGCCUAGUCUGAAAAUAUGAGCAGUAGUCGAACUUCAACAUGGCAGAGCUCUUUCUACAAAAAUCUGUUUAUGAUGCUGCAAGUUGAGAGUGCAAGAGGGGAUUUACUAAUUGCAUAUGCUACAAAUAUUUUUCUCAUCAGUUUCAGCACGAAGAAACUGUAGCAGGUUAAAGAGCCAGACUUGGUUUGAAAAAUAUGAGCAGACAUGAAACUUCAACGUAGCAGAGCUCUCCCGGCAGGAAUCUGUUUGUGGAUCCGCAAGUGGGAAAUCCAAGAAGGAAUACAACAGUUUCAGAUCAUUUAUGAUUUUUCUCCAACAGUGUCAGUAUUAAAACGCAAAAGUAGAGAGAAGAGACAUGCCUAGACUGAAAAAACAUGAAGAAUACUGAAACUUCAACAGAGCAGGACUUCCUCUAUAGGUGUUUGUUUGCUGCACUGUCAGUUGAGAAAUCGAAGAGGGGACAAAGGAGUUUUAGAUUCAUCAGGUGCUCUUCCAAUAGAGACAAUGUGUGAUUCCACACGUCGGUAGUGGCGAUACUACAAGUUUCUGGGCGCUGCCAAGAUUACCAAGCUGUUGGAAAGUUUUCUAACAAUCCUCAACCAACCACAACAACAUUGGAAGAUUGAAAUGAUGUUGUGAGGAUUUGCCGAAGAAUUGAACAAGCUAUGAAGAGAGGAAAGAUUGAAGGAUCUGCCAUGGAUUCCAGAACAAUGAUGAGAGGUGAAUCAGGAGAUGACUUUGACGGUGUGAACCCUUAAUUAUGUUGUAUAGCCAGGUCUCACGGUAGAAUCAAUUGCUCAAAUGUCUUUGCCAAGAUGGGACAUUCCUCUGCCACUUAAGUUUGUCGACCAGCAUCUGCCAGAUUCCAGAAUUUUGCUUGACUCCGACAAAUCCCAUGCAACCACCAAUUUCUAGGUGGUAUAAUCAGAUAAGAGAUGUGAUGUCAUGGGGUCCUCAACCAUUUCAAGUGAACAGUUUCAAGAAUUGCAAGAAUUGAGUCUGAAAGUUGGUGAACAAGGGAUAAGUGGAGUCUGUGAAGGAUGGUGUCAUUGACUAUAUUGUUCCCCGAACAUCUUCAGAAUGACAUGAUCGAAAGUGCUUGGCAAAACGUCAAUAUUGCCAGAAAAGUUGAUUCAAGAAUGGUGAUGAAAUGUCAAUCAUAUUGUUAUGGAAUUCUGCAUUUUGUUUUGAGAUCACAUCUUAUCCUUCAACGAAACAUGCCUUGCUUUUGUCUUUGUUGUUUUGAAAUCCAAAGAUGUUUAGCAUUUCGUUCUGACAAAAUAUUUUGAUCAAACUCCAACAUGCGAUAAAGGUUAAUCAAUCCUGAAGAUUAAAAGUGUUUUGAUUGCAGAAAUGACUCGAUUCUUGUUGAAAUGACAUGAGGUGACCAAACAAAUUUUGAGCUCACACAUAAACUGAACCACACAUCAUAUAGCUAAGUUUUAACAGUAUGCAUAAUGACAUGUAGUGGAUUCGGUAGUUAUGGAAUCGUGAAUCAGUGACUCUUACAAGUCCAAAUCAUUACACUGGAUAAGGUCAAAAUUUAUCGGUUUUAACUGACCUUGCUUGAAAUGAGAAAAGGCCAUCUUUGUUAUCCUUUCACUUUCUAAAAUUAUAUCCUUGCAGUCCCAUUUUGAGCUGUAUAGAAUAUUCUUUUCAUAAAAACCCUGACUAGGAUCACACCCCACACUGGGGGCAAAUGAGAGAUAUUUUGAAGACAUUGAUGUAAUUAAUGGAUAAAGGAGAAGGCUUAGAACAAAAGUCUAAUGAUUGAGAGAGUGCGAGAAGAAAACACAUAGACUGGGGGCAUAUAAGAAAAAUUUGAGGAAGGCUACGAGAAAAAGAAGAAGAAGAAGUUGAAAUUGCCUUCAUUUAAAGACAUGUCAAAGAUAAAGGAAGGAGAACGUUAUCAAGUCUAUGAAGAGAAAAAGAAAUUUCAAUCAAGGAAAGGCACGACAAAAGUCAAUACCAGAAAAAAGACUAAGUUAUAAACGUGACUUUUGGUAUCCAUUAUAAAGCCUCUAAUGUCUUCAAAAUUAGAUUAGUUAUUCAUCAAGGAAAGAGGAAUUUGCAUUAUGACUUAUGUUAAGAAAAGUCUGAACUUUGAGGUUAACAAGGUUAUAGGUCGUUUCCUCUACAAAGACAACAAUAGAAAAGAGUUGAUGAAUAAUUGAUGUUGAUCCUAGGUUUUUGAAACCCUCAAACACCUUUUGAGCCUUUGAAUUCUUUUUCAUAGCCAUGAACCAUAGCCUGCAUUACGUGCUUUUAAAAGCCCUUUUUAAUCAAGCAAGCAAUUUGAACCGAUAAAUGCGCUCUCAAAACUUGAAGAGCUUUUCCAUAAGGGUCGUGACUUCAUGAAUUAAGCUACUGGUUAUUAUGCAUGCUGAUAAAAUAAAUAUGAGAAAAGAAACAACCUUUCUUGAUAAAGCCUGAGCAUUUGUUUUGAAAUUUAAAAAUAUCACCUCAUCACAGACCAUCAAAAGAUAUACCCAAAAUCAGAGUUUAAAGUGGAUAGAAAGAACCAUGGGAAAAACCAUUUUAAUCUUACAACGGGUCGAAUUUUGUUUUCAAAAUACAAGACAAUCAAAGGUCUGCAUUGAAUAAUGUGUUGGGUCUUUGACCAAAGAAGUUUGAAUUUCAAAAGAAAAAAAUAAUUUCAAAAAUAGACAUCUCUCUAAUUUCAUUUCAACAAUUAGACUUGAAUAGACAUGACCUUUGAAGUAUGAGAUUUGAUUCUAGAACAAUAAAGAUUGUCAAACAAAGAAGAACAUUUAUUGAGUUUGUGGAAUCCUUGACAUGAAAUGACAUCAACUCUUCUCAAAACUCCUUGAAAGGUUGACCACUUGGGGGCAAUUCAGUGGACUUUAAGAAGGAAAACAAAUAGCAUCCGGAUCAGCUGGGGGCAAAGAAAGAAUCAGAUGAUGAGUCAUCAAAGUCCCGGAAAGUUAUGUUUAACGUCUGACAAUGACAAAGAAAAACCUUCUUGAGUAUAAACUGAUGAACGAGCAUUCAUAUCAUAUUAGGGGCAAUGUUGUUCAAAGACAAUCCAUGAUCUAGUGCACUUCAGCAGCAAUUGAUGAGUAACGCUGCACUAGAAGGAUAUUUUCAUAUCUUCAUCUUGGUUUAUCAUCUUCAACAUGGCUAUGACUUUUGAUCGAUGUUAUCACAUAGUUGCAUGUGAACGAAUGCUGGAAGGAUGCACCCACCAAGACUGACUGUGGGACCAUUUGUUUUGAAGCUCAAAUGCACACUUCAUCGCAUGAAUAUGGGUGAUAAAAUGGAUCAUUGAUGAUGCCAACAUAUUUCUUUUCACGAUCUGAUUUGACAAGCUGAAAGGAAUCCACAGAGAAGAACAUCGAACUUACAAUGAUAAGCUUUUUAUUGCAAAGCAUGAUAUCCAUGUCUAGAUGACUUGGCUGUUCCAUAAAGGUUGGUGACCACAUAUACUUGAAUGGUGUUUCAGCCGAAGGCAAGUUCAUGACCGAUUAACAAUCUUGAUGGGUGUUGGCAUGAUGCACACAAUCAAUCAGAGGAUAAUUCUCAAAAGAAGCCAAAGAGAAAAUCCUUCAUGAUGAAUCAAGCACCACACUUGGGGGCAGGGUCAAGCUUGAUGAACGAUGCAAGCAGUAAUUGUCGAAGACAGCCCGGGAUGGGCACUGCAUUUACAACUGAGUGGAUGGCUAGCACAUGAAUGAGCCAAUGCAUCGAAAGAACAAAGAAAGCUUUGGGAUGCAAACAAGGGCACCCUAUGACGAUGGACAUCAAAGAGGGGGGACCUAUUUUCAAAUCAGGUAAGGAUGCAUGCAUAUCAUCUAACCUCAAAAAAAAAAAAAACCAUUUGCACAUAUUUUUGAAUUGUUACAGGAAAAUCCUUAAUGAGGUCCAGCAAGAUGGUGGAAAGAGAAAGAAGCAUUGUGGUGAUGAUAAUAAAGAAUCGGUUUUGAUCAUGGAAUAAAAGGACGAUGGGAUGAACCUACCAUUAGGAAAAUCCCAAAGAAAUGAAAGAUCAACCUUGCAAUCGGGAAGCCUCGAGUUUUCAACCCUUGCAGUCAGGAAACACCGAGUUUUCAAACCCUAUGAUCGGGAAUUAUCAGGAAGCACCAAGUUUUCCAGCCCUUCUUCUGUCAUCCCCUCAGGACUUCGCCAGGUAAGUCCUAUUUUUCAUACUUGUCAUAUCAUAUUCUUUCCAUCUGGGUAGGUCGCCCAUCAUAAUAAGACCGUUUUUCACAUUUUUUCCAUCCGGGUAGGUCGCCUAUGACAAUGAGACCGCACUUCAUCAUAUUUUUUCCAUCCGGGUAGGUCGCCUAUGACAAUGAGACCGCACUUCAUCAUAUUUUUUCCAUUUGGGUAGGUCACCCAUUACAAUGAGACCCCACUUCAUAUUUUUUCCAUUUUGGGUAGGUCACCCAUUACAAUGAGACUGCACUUCACAUUCUUUCUAUUUGGGUAGGUCGCCUAUCACAACGAGACUACUUUUUCAUAUUUUUUCCAUCCGGGUAGGUCACCCAUGACAAUGAGACUGCACUUCAUCAUAUUUUUUCCAUCUGGGUAGGUCACCCAUUACAAUGAGACCACACUUCAUAUUUUUUUCUUUUUUUGGGUAGGUCACCCAUUAUAAUAAGACCGCACUUCAUAUUCUUUCCACCUGGGUAGGUCACCCAUUACAAUGAGACCGUUUUUUACACAUUCUUUUGUUUUGGUUAAAUGAGAUCGCCAGAUGGGAUCUCAUGUAGCUUUGGUUAAAGGGAAUCGCCAGAUGGGAUUUCAGGUUAACCGAGUUACAUAUAUUUUCGUUCCAGUUGAAUGAGGUCGCUAGAUGGAAUCUCAUGUAGCUUUGGUUAAAGGGAAUCGCCAGAUGGGAUUUCAGGUUAACCGAGUUACACAUAUUUUCGUUCCAGUUGAAUGAGGUCGCCAGAUGGGAUCUCAUGUAGCUUUGGUUAAAGGGAAUUGCCAGAUGGGAUUUCAGGUUAACCGAGUUACACACAUUUCUAGUUACAGUUGAAUGAGGUCGCCAGAUGGGAUCUCAUGUAGCUUUGGUUAAAGGGAAUCGCCAGAUGGGAUUUCAGUUUAACCGAGCUACACACCAACUUUUGUUCUUGUUAGAUCGCCAGAUGGGAUCUCAGGUAAACCCAAUUAAAAGGGCAGGUCGCCCGUGAAAAUAGACCAGUGUGAGAGUGUGGGCCGGUCGCCCGUGAAAAUAGACUAGAGUGAGUAUGUGUGGGCAGGUCGCCCGUGAAAAUAGACCAGAGUGAGUAUGAGUGGGCAGGUCGCCCGUGAAAAUAGACCAGUGUGAGAGUGUGGGUCGGUCGCCCAUGAAAAUAGACCAGAGUGAGUAUGGGUGGGCAGGUCGCCCGUGAAAAUAGACCAGUGUGAGUGUGUAGGCAGGUCGCCCAAGGUAAUGAAAUCAUUUUUCUUUUGUUUUCUUUACAAAGCUUACUAUGCAAAACAUUGAGGAUUUUUGCUUCGUAAGCAUUGUAAAGAGGGGGCAUCUGUUGCUACCCAAUUUUUGACCCAUGUUUUUGAUAUAUUUUAAAAAAAAUCCAAAAAAUAGAGAAAAACAAUGAAAAUCCAAAAAAUAUGUUUUUUAAUAUAUUCUCGUCAUUUUAGCAAUUUCAGCGUCGUCUAAAAAAAAAUUUAAUUUUUCAAAAGAUUUUCAAACGCGUUCGACUUUUCACGCGUCGUUUUUAAAAUCAUUGAUUUUCCUCAUCGAGUCGACGUUGAUAUUGCUCCUUUUCAAAAAAUACAAAAAAACAAGAAAAAUGAAAUUUUACUAUAAAAGAAAGUUAAGGGACCAAUUUUGAAAGCUUGGCAAUAUUUUUUGCCUAUAAAUACUGGUUUCCAACACUUGCAAGAGGGGGGGCAAUUUUGAUACAUGGGGGCAAUUUUGAUAGAUUCAGAAAAAAUACAAAAAAUCCCUAACCCUAAAACCUUCUUUUUUUCAGGGGGUGCAGCCCCCUCCCUUUCUUUUUUUCUCUAAAAAAAACUGCCACCCCCAUCUUUUCUUCAUCGGAGCCCCACAUUUGAACCCGGCCGGUCCAACCAUCUCCUUCUCCCUUUGAAACCAAAAGCCAGCAGCCGUCUCCCUCCCGCUGGCCAUUUAUUUUUCUCCCCCCGGCCACCUCACUCUCUCAUCUUCUCUGCAGCCGACCCCCCCUUUUUGAUUUUCGGUUUCUUCUCCCUUCAGCCGGUCAAGUCUCACUCUCCAUUUCCCUCUUCCCCGGUUCUCCUCCCUCAAUAGCAACGGCGAAGCAACGCCGUCCAUCACGACAGCGCCGAUCCGCUCCUCUAAGCCCUCGACAACGCCUUCUCCUCCCUCAGCAGACGACCCACAGCCACGGACAACAGCGCCGCCGAUCCGCAACCAGCAAGGAAGAAGCUGAGAUAUACGGCGCCCACAAACCCACCUCCAGUAGCAGCCCGACGCAGCGGCGCCCACUGCCAUCCUCGCCCGAACCGGCACCGGCCGCUGCACAGACACAACCGAAGCACAGCCGCCGGCCGCACCUUGGGCAUGCGAUCUGCUACCUGAAAACAGAGAAGAAGAAGACGGCCGAAGGGGACUGAGCUGCUUUGGAAGCAGAUUCAAAAGACCCGAACGAACCAGAUCUGAGGAGGAAGAAAAAAACUAAAUCGACUGCUUUGUUGCGUUUUCUGUUGUUAUUGCAGGUCACCUCAGGCGAGGAAGGGAAUAGGGGAGGAGGCUGUUACAGACCCCCCUGUUUUCCGGUCGUUUUCAAGGCGGCGCGUGAACCCACGUGCCGCCAGUGGUGGCGGCGCGUGGAGGAGACGCGCCACCAGUGUUUUUGUGGUCCAGAAGCCUUCCCAGCAGUUUCCUAGAUUUUUUAGGGGCUAUUAUGUAAUUUUUUAUUUGUGUAAUGUAUUUUCUGUAAUUUUGAAUUUUUAUUAUUUUUAUUUUUGUGGAUGUAAAAGAAAAGAAAAGGAAAAGAAAAGAAAAGAAACAAAAAUAGUGAAAGUGAAUGUGUGUUUGUAUUUUUAUUUAUGUUAUUGAAUUAUAAAAAUAAAAAAAGUACAAAAAGAAUUAAUUGUUAAUUUAAAUAUGGUUAAAUAUCUCAAGGACAAAUAAAAUCAAGUUGUAUUUUCCACGAAAAUGUAAGGACAAGUUUCUACACAUAUUCGGGGAUUUAAUAACUGAUUUAUUCAAGCCUUAGAAUUUAAUUAAUAUUGACAAAAAGAAUUAAUUGUUAAUUUAAAUAUGGUUAAAUAUCUCAAGGGCAAAUAAAAUCAAGUUGUAUUUUCCACGAAAAUGUAAGGACAAGUUUCUACAUAUAUUCGGGGAUUUAAUAACUGAUUUAUUCAAGCCUUAGAAUUUAAUUAAUAUUUUAAAUUUUCAAAUCACAUUAGAACACAAAGCAGCUUACCUCAGGUAGGGUGUGUUAGGGGUGCUAAUACCUUCCCUAACCACAACCAGUCCCUUACCCGCGAUCUCUGACAAGACCAGUACAUAAGGUUUCAUUACAACAUCUCCAUGUGCAUACCAACACUCGUAAUCCUCCACAAACCCUUUGUGUAGAAGAUGCAUCAUUACAACAUCUGGAUGCAUAUACUUUUUAUUUUGACACUUCCUGUAUGGACACCUAAUACCGCCUCCGUAAAAUUUAUGGGAAUAGAUGUUGCGAAAUUAAUAAAACCCUGAACCCCGUUACAAUAAUCCAUCCUCCGCAAUCCUUGGGGUGAAUCUAGAUACAUCCAUGAACGAUCAUCCAUGACUUUUAUCGAACCACUAUAAAAAGGACCCAUUAAGCAAGCUCUUAAUUAUUUCAAAACAUAACAUGUAAUUCGGUAAUUCUACAAAUUAAGUUUUAACAAUUUACAAACAAAUACAAUCUUACAAAAUCUAAAACAAACCAUAACAAGUAUAAAAUUAUACAUUCAUAUACUACAAGUUUGUUUGAGAAAUAACAAUAAAACAUGUACUUCUACUAAAAAAACAAUAAAAUUGACAUUUAAAUGUUAAAAUUUUAAAAGAUAGAAUUACUUACAAAAAAUGAUAAAAUCCAUCGGUAAAUCAGAACACGGAUGCUGUGACCACAAAACUUCAAGAAAUACAACUUGUUGUGCUAAGAUGAGGAAGAUUUUUGUUUUGGGGCGAGGGGGGGGCUGGUUAUUUGCAGAUGGGGAGGGUUAGGAUUAGGAAGAAGAAGGAGAAAUGGGGGAGGAGAGUGUCGGCAGAGUGGCCAUAUAUUCACUUUUGCCGACGGACUUACCGACGGUUUUAUUCCGUCGGUGAAUACGUCGGCGAAACCAUCGGUAAUUCGGACGGGCAAUCGACACGUCACCGCACGGACCUGCUAUUCAAAUCCCUCGGUGAUUCCAUCGGUAUUUUUAACGGUGCACCGGUCAUGUCACCGGUACGGAUCUGACAUUUCAAAUCCGUCGGUGAUUCCGUCGGUAUUAUUGACGGUGAACAGGUCCCAUCACGCGUACGGCUCCCCGAUUUUCAUUCCGUUAGAAAAAUCACCCGCCAAAACCUCCGCGCCACCUACCCGCCCUUUUUUCAUUAAUUCUGAAUUUUCUGUCGGUAAUUCGGUUGGUACUUACCGACGGAUAUAGUCCGUCGGUGAUUUCGACCGAAAAAUACCGACAGAAAAAAUUCUGUCGGUGAGUCCGUUGGUAUUGAGCGAAUAUCUGGUAGUGAUCAAAAUUUAGUUAGUACACAGAACCUUUUAAAUUGCAAACUUUCAAACAAUGUCCAAGCAUAAUUAAAUCAUUAAAACACCAAUAUUUACACAAUUUGUUUCCUUCCAUCAUUUCACAUUCAACCCACAUAAUCCCAUAUCUAGAAAUUCAAUUCAUCAAGAAUCACAAUCAUGAUCAAACAUAAUUUCAUCAUCAUACUAUUCAAGUUUAAGCAUCACAUUAUCUUUCUAUCCUCAAAACCACACAAUUUAGCCAAAAUUACACAUUUACACCAUUCCAACAUAUUGCAGCAAUAACUAACUACCUAGCGAUCCAUAUCACAACAUUCCAUUUCGACCCCAAGCAUUCCCAACAUCAUUUUAAAAUAUCAAAAUCACAUAAUUUAAUCAAGCUUCCACAUUUCCCCAAAAUCCCUACCAUGUCUGCCCACUCAUGGUCCCAAAUUUCAAAACUUUAGUUUUUAAUAUCUUUAAUUUAAUCCUUAGCCAUGUUAUCUAACCCAAAAUUAACCAAUAACUAUACUAUGUCACCUUUCCAAAUACAAACACACAUAAAUCCUAAAUUUCUAAAUUUGGGGAUUUCCAGUCCCCAUAAAAAUUAACAAAAGAAAGUGCAUUUAGAGCAAUAGAAACAUCUUGCCACAAUCAAUUAACCCAAUUUGUUAAUCCCUUUGCAAGAAAUCCCAAGAUGUUCUUUAUUACAUCUCAAAUCUUCUUCUUGUUCCUUAGUUUUAUAUUUUUGUUUUGUUGUCCUUAAACUCUUACAACACUAGUUUUUUAUUCCAACAAAAAACACUAACAUCAACUGAUACAAUUUUUUAUUUCCAAUUCUUUCAAGUUUCUUUUUUUUUUACCGUUAACUUUGUUUCUUGUUUGGCUGCUACGGAAAGAAGAGAAGAAAGAUUGUAAAUCCAUUGUUUAGAAGUCGAAACAAAAUAAAUUUCAGAAUCAUAGGAAUUUAAUACUUCAAGAAGGAGGUUAUCUUUCUGAAAUCGAAUUCCUAUUCCAAAUGGAAAAGGGAUGCUAAUAUUUCCACAAGUUUAUGUAGUAUUAGGUGUUGGGAUGUGACACGACCAAAAGCUUGAUGUCUUUUCCCAAGUGCAGGAGUAUCGAAGUAAUAAAUAACCCGGCAAGACCGGGGUCGAACUACAGAGAGGUUAAUUGUAUAAAUUAUAAAUAACAACACAACAACAACAAUAACAACAAUAACAACAAUAAUAAUUAUAAUACUCAGUACGUGGCAUUGUUAUACCUGAGAAUGAUCGAAAAGAUCGGGUCACAGGUUUCCAGCCUAUAUACUGAGUUUAAGAAAAGAUCAAAGAUAUAUAUUAUAUAAUAUAAACAGAAUAUAAAUAAUAAUAAUAAUAAUAAUAAAAGUGGAAGAUGAAGAAAUUAAUGAGAACUUUGAGAUGAAAGAUUAACGUAAGGAUUAAACAAUGAUAAAAACAAAUGUCAAGGUUAGAGGAUCCACUAAUGGUACUUCAAACAAGUAUAGUAUAAACUCUUAUUACUUAGUUGGAAACCACACAUAAAGGAGGUUCCAAUCAGAUUAUAAAUUGUUAACAUGAUUACAUUAGUUAUCUUAUUCGAAUAAAGCUAAUACUUGUAAAUGUUGGCAGGCAUUCAUGAUUAUAACUUAUGUUAACAACAAAUCAAGUUCCUUUCAUAGCUCAGGUGUCGGUUAAACCAUACAGUAUGGGCUAUGAAAGUGCCAAGUAUUUGUUGUACCAAGUGUUACAACAUAAAUAGAUUAACCAUUUAACAAGCAAAGUAUUAAAGUGAACAAGAUAACAAAUAUAAAACAUGUUAGUAUCCAACGUUAAGGUCCAUGUUAAGUUUAUAUUAUACUUGUUCUUACACCAUUAGUGUACCCUUUUCACCUUGACAUAAUUAACUUAGCUAACAUAAUAAAAGAAAGAAACAUAAAUGACAAAGAAGAACAUAAAUGAGAAAGAAGUUAACUAGUAAAGGAAAGGAAAUGAAGUGCAUAAACUUGAUAUUAAUGAAAGCAAGACAUAAGCAAUACAAAGAGAGAAAGCAAGAGCAUGAUCUUGAUCUGAACACCAAGAUGCCUCAAUACAUGGUAAGUGCCUCCUUUUAUAGGCCAAAAUUUGGAACUAUUGAUUUGUUGACUAAUUGAUGAGUGGGUGGCCACAUCUUGACUAGAUAACAAUCCUUAUCUUCUUGUCUGAUCAAGACGUCAUUGCUAACAUCAUAAUUUGCCCAGAAUCCUCAAGAAUGUUCUAGGAAAUUGUCUCAGCUUUCCAACAAAAAAAAGAUGAGGUCAUUUGGACUUCUAGAACUCAAGAUAUGGGCUGAACACUAAAUAGUGUUUGGGCUGCAGGACAGCUUCGGACUUCUUCGUUGUUCCUUCAAUUUGGACUUCAAAACGACCUUUUCAAAUCUUGGGCUCCUCAUGAAAGUUGUAGGCUUUUGUCUUUUACCUUUCCAUCCAUAAAAUGGACCUAAAUCCGAAAUCUAGAGCUCCAGAUAUGAUCCAAUUACCGAGCAAUGUUCCGGUUUGGACUGCACCGACAUCUCUUUUCUAAGUUUGGCCAUCUCUUUGUCCUUUAACUUUCAAUGCUUAAACUCAUCAAUCAAUCCUUUUAUUUAUGUGAUAGUCCUGCAUUUAAAAUGAGCAUUUACCAUAAAUUAAGGUAUCUUAUAAUAUCAAACUUGUUAUUAUAAAACAUGCUUUAGUUAAGGAGUUAUUGAUACUUCAAGUGCAAAAUGAUGAUAUAAAACCUUGAUAAACAUGCACUUUUAAGUACUAAUCACACCCCCCAACCAGCUUAUUACUAGUCCCUAGUAAUCUAAAGCGUUAAAAUAGAGAAACAAUUUGCAAGUUCCACAAAGCAAGGCAUUCAUCAUUCAACUUCCAUUAAUCUAUCCAGUUAAACAAACUCUCAUUAAAUUUAUAUUCCUGCUUCAUACUUCUUAAACAAGAUAUUAAUAAACCUUCUUUUUGUGUGCUCAAUGAAAACAUAGAUGAUGGGGCUUUUGUUGGAAGAAAACAAUAUUAUGUUCAAAUGUUUAAGGUGAACUUCCUUGGGUUGGGAUAAUUUUUUUUUUCUUUUUAUUUAUAUACACAUACAACUUAAAACACAAUGUAUCUUUAACCCAUGUAACGAGUUUGAGGCUAAUGACUCCCAGACCAGUUGGUCUUAGGGCAUUAGGUGUUGAGACACCCCUACGAGCUUAACAACUCGGGUUGCAGAUACUGAUACGUAGAUAGUGCAAUGUUUGAUUCCCUUAAGCUUUUCUCCUUAACCCAUGUAACAAGCUUUGGGCUAAUAGCUCCCAAGUCAGUUGACUUUAGGGUAUUAGGUGUUAAAACACCCCUUCGGGCUUAAUUGCUUAGGUUAGGGAGGCUACGAAACCAAACUUAUCCACGUUUUAUUAUCAUCAAUACUAUCUUCUUCUUUUUUUUUCUUUUUUUUUGCAAAUUAUAUACUAUCCUUUUCCCUUAGUUGUUACCUUCAACAAAAGAACAUAAUUAAUGUAAUAAUCCAAUGUGCAACCCAUAAUCAUAUGUUAAAGUGUGUGUGUGAAAAUGAAGGUUUAAUAAUACUUGUUAAAUGAGUAUAUAAGCAGAAUCAAGUGAUAACAAUGUGAGAGUUUGUAAACCUGAAUAUUUCAAGAAGUAUUAUGAUAGACCUUGGUAAUGAAACUUACUAAGAUGAGUCUCUAGAGUCAAUAAAAUUGAUUCCAUACUCUGCCAUCCUAAUAACAAUUUUGUCAAAUGGUUUUAAUAAUAGCAAAAACAGUUAGCAAGUUAGUUUUUUUUUUUUUUUUUUUAAAGUACUACCCUCUCCCCCCAACCAAAACGAACAUUGUCCUCAAUGUUCGAAGGUAGAAAGAUAGAGUAUAGAAGACAUCACCUGAAACAGCGAACAAUGACAAACCUGAAACACACUUAAACAAACAUAAGAAGUAACAAAACAAAAUAAUAUGCUAUUAAUAAAACCAAAAGACACAAGGUUUCACAGAUGAAGGCUCAAAUCUAAUCUAAGCUUUUUACGGCUUUCCUUAGUUGACCAAUCUAGGCGACUCAUGCAGGGAUCAAUGACAGGGAUGAAAGAUUGUAGUUGGUCAAUCAAUUGUUCAGCAGUAGCAGCAGAGAUUAUGAUUGUCGUGCCGAAGAUGUUAGAAAUUCUUGUUCACAGCUUAUCAAGGAAAGACAACAACUUAUCAUAAAAACCAUUAACAUUUAACAAACCUAUAGGUUUAUGGUGAAUGUGCAGUUGGGCCCAAGAUGAAAUAUGAAAGAUCUCUUCCAAUGUGCCCAGACCACCUGGUAAGGCAAUGAAGGCAUCAGCAUGGUUAAACAUGGUAUUCAGUCGGUCAGACAUUGUUGGGACCUGUAGUUCUCUCCAAUUGUUUUUCCAAUGAUGUCCCCAUUUGCUAAAGCUUUGGGGACAACCCCCAAAACUUGACUGCCUCCUAAAAAUGCAGCCAUUGACACACCUCCCAUUAACCCAAGGCCUCCCCCAUACACUAAAUGAAUCUUUCUCUCAGCUAGUACCCGACCAAGAUGAUUUGCUGAUUCUAAAAACUCUUUUUCUUUCCCAGAACUGGAUCCACCGAAAACACAAAUAUUUCUUAUAUGAUGACUUGAGGAACCUGCCAUUUCUACACACUUCUAUAUUUGAUGAAUAUAUGGGAUGAGUAGAAAUGAAGGGAAGGAAGAGAAGAAUUUAUAGAUGAAAAAGUGAAAAUGCAAUCAUACCACCUAUAUGUAGGCCAGCUGUAGUCUCACAAACUCUCUCUCUCUCUCUUAUUAAUUAUUUAUUUUGAAAAAGCAUGUAUGUACAGGUAGUUGUGAUUGUGGCUCACAUCUUCCCUUGGUUUUACGUCCAAGAACGGCUUAAACGCCCUCUAUGGGUCGGGGAUAGGCUUCCCAUCCAGUUUUCUUAAAAACUGGCAAACAGGGUCUUUUUUAGUCAGAUUCCCAAGACUAAGUCGAUCAUGUUCUUUAUGGAAUUGUGGCCAUAAAUCAUGAAUUACACGAUGCACAUCUCCACUAGGAUGCGUCUCAAGGGUCAACAAAAGAUUAUCUAAAGACCCCUUACUCAGGCCAUCCUUAAUGAAUUGUAUCUUAUCUUCACGGUUUACAGAUACCAUUCCUAAAGAACGACAUGUCGCAUUACAAGUCCAUCUGGCACAUCUGUGACAGACUUUCAGUCGUUUUGCACGACGUUUCUUUGCAAAAGUGCUUUUACCUGUUCCAGGCAUGUGUGAAAUGAAAGAAUUGGAGGACUCACCUGAUAAUCGACCUUUGCUUCAAUUAGCCAAUAUCUUCAGGAAUUCCAUGAUUCAUUAACAACCUCAAUCUUGCACACCUAGCACGGUAAAUUUUAUUAAUCGCAUUUGGAGGCAAAGCGGGAAAAUACCUUUUCAACUUUUCAAGAGUGGUGUCCAUUUUCAAAAGAGAAUUAGAGAAGAGAUUCAAAGAAGGAGAAAGAGCUAAGAAUUGUACAAAUAUAUACAGAUAUCAGUUAUUUGGGAAACUGAAAGAACCGACUUAAGUCACGGAGUACCGUUAUCCGCCAUUUGACCGGGGUGAAAGAGAGACUAGCAAAACAAUAGAUACAAAAAACACAAAACAAUGUGAGAAAAAGAAUCAAUCUUUAUAUACAGGAUCACUCAAUUCAAUAGAGUCAUUUUCAACCGAAAAAUUGUCAAAAUAAACUUUCAAACGAUGCCCAUUUACCUUGAAAACAUUGCCAUUCUUUGGAUUCUCAAUAUCACAGGCCCCAUAUGGAUACACAUGUUUCACAAUAAAAGGACCGCUCCAUCUUGAUCUUAGUUUUCCAGGAAAUAAAUGGAGUCGAGAAUUAUAAAGCAAGACUUUUUGACCAACAUUGAAUGUUUUUCUCAGUAUUUUCUUGUCAUGAAACUCUUUAAUUCUUGCUUUAUGAAUUUUGAAUUGUCAUAUGCAUCAUUUCUUAUUUCCUCAAGCUCAUUUAUUUGCAAUUUUCGCAGCUGACUAGCAUCAUCAAGGCUUGAAUUGAAAGCUUUAAUAGCCCAAUAAGCUUUAUGUUCAAUUUCCACAGGCAAGUGACAAGGUUUUCCAUAGACUAGUCUAUAAGGUGACAUACCUAAUGAUGUUUUAUAAGCAGUUCGAUAAGCCCAAAGUGCAUCAUUAAGUCUUAAAGACCAGUCUUUCCUAUUAGGGUUCACUGUUUUCUCCAAGAUCUGUUUGAUCUCCCUAUUAGCAAGCUCUACUUGUCCACUUGUCUGAGGGUGAUAAGGGGUGGCAACUUUAUGUGUGAUUCCAUAUUUCUUCAUUAAAGACUCAAAUGGCUUGUUGCAAAAGUGUGUUCCACCGUCACUUAUCAUGGCUCGAGGGAUUCCAAAUCGACUUAAAAUGUUUUCUUUCAAAAACUUUAUCACCGUUUUGUGAUCAUUGGUUCGACUUGGAAUUGCCUCUAUCCAUUUUGAAACAUAAUCUACUGCGACCAAUAUGUACAAGAAACCAAAUGAUGGAGGAAAUGGACCCAUGAAAUCUAUACCCCAACAGUCAAAGAUCUCAAUGACAAGAAUAGGAUUUAAAGGCAUCAUGUGACGUUUCGAAAUAGAUCCCAACUUUUGACAAUUUUCACAAAUCUUACAGAAUGCAUGUGAGUCUUUGAACAUGGUGGGCCAGUAAAAUCCACUUUGUAAGAUUUUUGCAGUUGUCUUUCUUGAUGAGAAAUGACCCCCACAUGCCUCAGAAUGACAAAAUUUAAUGACACUACUUACCUCAUUGUCAGGAAUGCAUCUUCGAAAUAUUUGAUCAGGACAAUAUUUGAAUAAAUAAGGGUCAUCCCAAUAAAAGUUCUUCACUUCGUUCAAGAACUUUCUUUUGUCUUGGGUACUCCAAUGAGCUGGCAAUUGUCCUGAAACAAGAAAAUUAACAAUAUUAGCAAACCAAGGCAUCGUAGAGAAGAAAAAAAGAUUCAUCAGGAAAGUAGUCAUCGAUUGGUGUAAUGUCAGAUUUCGAAUCUAUUGUCAAUCCUGACAAAUGAUCUGCAACAACAUUUUCGGUGCCUUUCUUGUCUUUGAUUGUGAUAUCAAAUUCUUGAAGUAACAAAAUCCACCGCACCAAUCUAGCCUUAGAAUCUUUCUUAGAAAGAAGAUAUUUCAAUGCUGCAUGAUCACUAAAAACAACAACAGGUGAGCCAACAAGAUAAGAUCUGAAUUUAUCACAAGCAAAUACUACUGCAAGUAAUUCUUUUUCAGUGGUUGUGAUUGUGCAUCAAAAGUAUCAUUAAGUCUUUUAUUUUACAUAUGUAUUUAUUGUUUUUAUUUGGGUUUUUUAUAAUAAGUGAUGUGCUUUUAGUAAUGAAGUUUCUUUUAAUGUUUCGAUAGGUUUUUGGAGCUUAAAUGAAUUAUUUCAGAAAAUUCAAUGUCGGAAUUCGGAACAAAGAAUUGAAGAGAAAUUUAGUUGAAGAUUGAAGCAAAUCUUGGUUCAAAUAAGUGCUCCAAAUUUGUCCCAAAAAUCAAUUCUAUUCCAAUUCUAGAAAAGAAUAUCAUAUGAUCUAUUUCAAGCCCAAACUUGCCUUAUGUUGUGUGCAAACUUCAACCAUCAAACACUCAAGGUUUCAAUGUCAAUCUUAGCCCAAAUAAUAGGUACAUUUGUAUACUUAUUUGAUGCUUAAAUUCAGCCCCAAUUCAGCCCCAAAUCAGCCUACAAAUCAGCCCAAGCACAAUCCAUGAUCCUACAUGUCCACACAACAAAUAACAUUUGAUUUAUUUUGGGUAAUUCAUUGAUCCAAGAGGGCAAGUACAUGGAUGGAAAGCUGGAGGGAACAUUGUGACAUUAUUUUGGGUCAAAAAGAAGAAAGAGACAGCUCAUAAAGGAGGAAGAAAAACGUGCACCAAAGUGUUCUUCAAGCUGGCCUGAUUUGAUUUUCCAGAACACCUUUUGACUCAGAUUUCCAAAUGCGCGGUUCUUUAAUGAUCUGGAAAGAUAACAUAAUUUCCUAUAAAUAUGUCUCUAAUAUCCAUCUCCAGAGGAGGCUUCUAAGAGGGUCGAAUUGCUGUCCAAAGUUAGAGUCAGAUUUGUGUCCGAAUUUUUACUGAAAUUCUGUUGUGUUCUUCUUUGUAGAUUUCGGUUCUUUAGUUUGUAAAACUUAUUAUUUCAGUUUGAUUCAAGUUAUUUCAUGUUUAUUAAAGUGUUCUUAUAUAUAAUCAUGGUUGGCUAAUCUCUUUCUUGGAUCCAAAUCAAGGAUGAUGGUGAUUGAGGUGAGUUCUUUAAGAUAUGAAUGAAUCUUAAUGUUUAUCUUCUCAUUUUCUUCAUGAAUGUUUUAUUAUUGCAAAGAAAUUUUAGAAAUCAUUUAGGUAAUGUUAUAAUCUUGAAUUUUUAUGCACAAACCUUAGUUUUGGUAUAGAGAUUGCUUGAUUCAAUGUCUUACUUAAUUUGAAAGUACUUGUUCAUUCUUAAGCAAUAAUUAAUCUUCAUCCUUUUAAACUUCAUUGUAAUAUCUUCCGAUCUAAUAUCACCAUCGUUGAUAUUAGGUUGAGUUAUCUUAUAUAUGUUGAAGAAAUCACCAAUACAUCACCAUUAAAAUUGAUUUGGACCAAGACUUACUUUUUCUUGUCUUUUAAAAUCUAUUUACACUUUUUCAUUUUUGAAAACAAAUCCAUCAAUUAUUUUCAACCAAGUUAUUGUUAAUUUAAUUUCUCUUGAGUUUUUUUUGUUGUUACCUAGCUUAAUUUCCAGAUCUAGCUCUCUAUGGAUAUGACCUCGAUCUUACCGAGUUAAUUGCUACAUCGCACACUCGUGCACUUGCGAGUUAAAACAAGCCGAUCAUAAAAAGCGGUCAAGCAGUGGUGUAAUUCAUUUGAGCACUAUUUAAAGUUUUACUUGCAUAGUAAAUCACAUAAGGUUUCUUAUCUUUUCUUUGUCCCAAGACAGCACCCACGGCAUAAUCACUAGCAUCACACAUUAUUUCAAAAGGUAAUGACCAAUCAGGAGGUUGAAUGACAGGAGCAGAAGUAAGCAAGUUUUUAAGUUUAACAAAGGCUUCCUCACAAUGUUCAGUCCAUUCAAAAAUAUUAUCCUUUGUUAGAAGGUACUCAAGGCUUAGAUAUUACACUAAAAUCUUUGAUGAACCUUCUGUAAAAACCAGCAUGUCCCUAAGAAUGAUCUAACAUCCUUAACAGAUUUUGUGUUGGUAAGUUGGCAAUUAACUCGAUUUUAUAUUUAUCAACCUCAAUUCCUUUCGAUGAAACAAUGUGACCAAGUACAAUGCCGUUUGUUACCAUAAAGUGACAUUUUUCCCAAUUCAGUACAAGAUUCUUCUCUUCACACCUGCUCAAAACCUUUUCUAAGUUAGUCAAACAAUCAUCAAAUGAAUCACCAAAAACAGAAAAAUCAUCCAUAAAAAUCUCAAGAAAACGUUCAACCAUAUCACUGAAUAUGCUAAGCAUGCAUCUUUGAAACGUGGCUGGUGCAUUACAUAAUCCAAAAGGCAUCCUUCAAUAUGCAAAAGUACCAAAUGGACAUGUGAAAGUCGUCUUCUCUUGAUCUUCCAAUGCAAUUUCAAUUUGAUUGUAACCUGAAUAGCCAUCUAGGAAACAAUAAAAUUCAUGACCUACAACUCUUUCUAGGAUUUGGUCCAUGAAAGGUAAAGGGAAAUGAUCUUUUCUAGUCAUUAAAUUAAGUUUCCUAUAGUCAAUGCACAUGCGCCAACCAGUAACAGUCCUCGUUGGAAUUAACUCAUUUUUCUCAUUUGUUAUCAUAGUGACUCCAGACUUUUUGGGUACAACUUGGGUAGGACUUACCCAUUUGCUGUCAGAAAUAGGAUAAAUGAUUCCAUUAUCUAGAAGCUUAAUGACUUCAUUUUUCACUACUUCUUUCAUAUUAAGAUUAAGCCUUCGUUGCAUUUCUCUAGAGGGUUUAGCAUUUUCCUCCAAAUAAAUCCUGUGUGUGCAAAUCAAAGGGUUAAUUCCUUUUAUGUCAGCUAUGGUCCAUCCUAAUGCAUUUUUGUGCAUUUUUAGAGUCUGUAAUAACUUACCUUCUUGAUGUGCAUUAAGUUUGGAAGAGAUUAUUACCGGAAAAGUUUCAUUUUCUCCCAAAAAUGAGUAUUUGAGAUUAAAUGGUAACGGCUUCAAUUCAGGUUUUGGUGGUUGAACACUUGAAGGUAUGGGCUCAAUUGAUCGUGGUGGCAAUUCUUCAAUUUGUGGUCUCCAAUUGCAUGCCUUUGAUUCUUCCUGAAAAUAGACCAUUUGCAAAUCAUCAGAUUCAUCAAUCUCAGUUUCAAUAGAAGUGGUUUGAAAUUGAUCAUGAACUAAUUUUUCAAUAAAGUCCACUUCCUGUAAAUCAUUAUCAUCUCCAGGUUGCUUGUAAAUGUUGAAAAUAUUCAUCUCCAAUGUCAUGUCCAUUCCUGUAAUUAAUCAAUGCAUUAGAAGUGGCAAGAAAUGGACGUCCUAAAAUGACAGGAAUUGAAUUACAUGCUUCAACAGGUUGCGUGUCCAAGACAAUAAAAUCCACAGGAUAGAUGAAACGGUUUGGAAAUUAUGGUGUGCUUGAAACGGUGGCUAUGAAGUUUGUGCAUUAUUACUAUCACUCUUCCAACUGAAAUUUAGGUGAUUUCUCCAACCAGGGUUAUACGUUUGUGAGUAUGGGUUAUGGUUGGGUCUUUGGAAACUGUUUAAAGCAUGGGCUUGUUCAUGGAGGCAUUCCCUAAAAUAAGGCAAAGUUGGACAAUCAUUGGUUGCAUGCUCAUUUGUUUCACAGAUUUGACACACAAUGUCUUGAACAUAUUUUAAUUGACCACUCUUUUUCAAUUCUAGUGCCUCGACUUUUCUAGCUAAAGAUGCAAACUUAGCUUGGAGAUCAUGAUCUUCCCUAAGGUUGUGCAUACCUCCACUAGAUGUAUGAGGUUGAGUUUUACUUGGUGCCUCAUAAGUACCUGUGGUGUCCCAAUUUUGAGCAUUUUCGGCUAGCAAGUCUAGGUACUCCAUUGCUUCACCAGGGUCUUUAUCUUCAAAGGUUCCAUUGCACAUCAAUUCAACCAUUUGCCUAUCUCUAGGUGUUAAACCUUCAUAAAAAUGUGAAACCAAUCUCCAUGUUUCAAAACCAUGAUGAGGGCAAGUAUUAAGCAAAUCUCGAUACCUAUCCCAACAUUGGUAAAAUGUUUCUCCUGGUUUUUGAGUGAAAGUGAUGAUUUGUCUUUUGAAAGAGUUUGUUCUGUGAGAUGGAAAAAACUUCUUUAAAAAUUGUUGUUGCAUAUCAUCCCAAGCACGAAUGGAUCCUGGUCUCAAAUUUUGUAGCCAUGUUUUAGCUUUAUCUUUUAAUGAAAAAGGAAAAAGCUUUAAUCUAAUGGUGUUCAUGCUACAAUUUGAGUCAUUAUAGGUAUUACAGACCUCCUCAAAUUCCCUUAAAUGCAAGUAUGGAUUUUCUAGUCUAAACCAUGAAAAGAAGGUAGGAGUUGAAUAAUGCCUGGCUUAAAAUUAAAAUGAGAUGCAUCAGGAGGGAAAACUAUGCAUGAGGGUGCACUUGUUCUUGUGGGAUUCAUAUGGUCUCUAAGUGUUCUCAUACGGUUAUUCUCAUUAUUCUCAUUAUGAAGUGAUUGAUUAUCUUCUUCGGCCAUAUUUUCUGAAAAUGAUGAGGAUACCCUACAAAGUCGACCACUUAAUGUACGUGACCAAACUCUCAUGCACGUGUAGUAAGAGAAUAAAAGCAAGAAAAGAAAAGAGAAGAAAAAGAAACAAAAGAAAAGAAAUGAAGCAAAAUUAAAUAAAAUAAAAAAUGAAAAGAGAAAAUAAAAUAAGUAUUAAAAUUUAUACAAGAAUUUACCUCCCCGGCAACGACGCCAAAAACUUGACACGACCAAAAGCUUGAUGUCUUUUCCCAAGUGCAGGACUAUCGAAGUAAUAAAUAACCCGGCAAGACAUGUUAUCUAACCCAAAAUUAACCAAUAACUAUACUAUGUCACCUUUCCAAAUACAAACACACAUAAAUCCUAAAUUUCUAAAUUUGGGGAUUUUCAGUCCCCAUAAAAAUUAACAAAAGAAAGUGCAUUUAGAGCAAUAGAAACAUCUUGCCACAAUCAAUUAACCCAAUUUGUUAAUCCCUUUGCAAGAAAUCCCAAGAUGUUCUUUAGUACAUCUCAAAUCUUCUUCUUGUUCCUUAGUUUUAUAUUUUUGUUUUGUUGUCCUUAAACUCCUACAACACUAGUUUUUUAUUCCAACAAAAAACACUAACAUCAACUGACACAAUUUUUUAUUUCCAAUUCUUUCAAGUUUCUUUUUUUUUACCGUUAACUUUUUUUCUUGUUUGGCUGCUACGGAAAGAAGAGAAGAAAAGAUUGUAAAUCCAUUGUUUAGAAGUCGAAACAAAAUAAAUUUUAGAAUCAUAGGAAUUUAAUACUUCAAGAAGGAGGUUAUCUUUCUGAAAUCGAAUUCCUAUUCCAAAUGGAAAAGGGAUGCUAAUAUUUCCACAAGUUUAUGUAGUAUUAGGUGUUGGGAUGUGACACGACCAAAAGCUUGAUGUCUUUUCCCAAGUGCAGGAGUAUCGAAGUAAUAAAUAACCCGACAAGACCGGGGUCGAACCACAGAGAGGUUAAUUGUAUAAAUUAUAAAUAACAACACAACAACAACAAUAACAACAAUAACAAUAAUAAUUAUUAUAAUACUCAGUACGUGGCGUUGUUAUACUUGAGAAUGAUCGAAAAGAUCGGGUCACAGGUUUCCAGCCUAUAUACUGAGUUUAAGAAAAGAUCAAAGAUAUAUAUUAUAUAAUAUAAACAGAAUAUAAAUAAUAAUAAUAAUAAUAAUAAAAGUGGAAGAUGAAGAAAUUAAUGAGAACUUUGAGAUGAAAGAUUAACGUAAGGAUUAAACAAUGAUAAAAACAAAUGUCAAGGUUAGAGGAUCCACUAAUGGUACUUCAAACAAGUAUAGUAUAAACUCUUAUUACUUAGUUGGAAACCACACAUAAAGGAGGUUCCAAUCAGAUUAUAAAUUGUUAACAUGAUUACAUUAGUUAUCUUAUUCGAAUAAAGCUAAUACUUGUAAAUGUUGGCAGGCAUUCAUGAUUAUAACUUAUGUUAACAACAAAUCAAGUUCCUUUCAUAGCUCAGGUGUCGGUUAAACCAUACAGUAUGGGCUAUGAAAGUGCCAAGUAUUUGUUGUACCAAGUGUUAUUCAACAUAAAUAUAGACUAAUCAUUUAACAAGCAAAGUAUUAAAAGUGAACAAGAUAACAAAUAUAAAACAUGUUAGUAUCCAACGUUAAGGUCCAUGUUAAGUUUAUAUUAUACUUGUUCUUACACCAUUAGUGUACCCUUUUCACCUUGACAUAAUUAACUUAGCUAAACAUAAUGAAAGAAAGAAACAUAAAUGAACAAGAUAAGAACAUAAAUGAGAAAGAAGUUAACUAAGUAAAGGAAAGGAAAUGAAGUGCAUAAACUUUAUAUUAAUGAAAGCAAAACAUAAGCAAUACAAAGAGAGAAAGCAAGAGCAUGAUCUUGAUCUGAACACCAAGAUGCCUCAAUACAUGGUAAGUGCCUCCUUUUUAUAGGCCAAAAUUUGGAACUAUUGAUUUGUUGACUAAUUGAUGAGUGGGUGGCCACAUCUUGAAUUGAUAACAAUCCUUAUCUUCUUGUCUGAUCAAGACGUCAUUGCUAACAUCAUAAUUUGCCCAGAAUCCUCAGGAAUGUUCUAGGAAAUUGUCUCAGCUUUCCAACAAAAAAAAGAUGAGGUCAUUUGGACUUCUAGAACUCAAGAUAUGGGCUGAACACUAAAUAGUGUUUGGGCUGGAGGACAGCUUCGGACUUCUUUGUUGUUCCUUCAAUUUGGACUUCAAAACGACCUUUUCAAAUCUUGGGCUCCUCAUGAAAGUUGUAGGCCUUUGUCUUACCUUUCCAUCCAUAUAAAAUGGACCUAAAUCCGAAAUCUAGAGCUCCAGAUAUGAUCCAGUUACUGAGCAAUGUUCCGGUUUGGACUGCACCGACAUCUCUUUUCUAAGUUUGGCCAUCUCUUUGUCCUUUCACUUUCAAUACUUAAACUCAUCAAUCAAUCCUUUUAUUUAUGUGAUAGGCCUGCAUAUAAAAUGAGCAUUUACCAUAAAUUAAGGUAUCUUAUAAUAUCAAACUUGUUAUUAUAAAACAUGCUUUAGUUAAGGAGUUAUUGAUACUUCAAGUGCAAAAUGAUGAUAUAAAACCUUGAUAAACAUGCACUUUUAAGUACUAAUCAGGAUGUUUCUUUCCAACUUCCAAGCUUUGAUUAAUAAUGUAUAAAUUAUUUCUCAAAUUGAUGUUUCUGUUCAAAAUAAUGCAUCUUUAAAAUUUAUGGUCAAGUCAUUGUUUAUGUUUAGCAUCUUUUGUUUCCAUUAUGUCGAUCUUUUGCAUUGUCGAGCAGAGAAAGAUUGAUAAAAGCUAAAGCAUCAGUAUAAAGGCCAAAAGCUGAUAGCUUACGCUGCAUUUCUUGGGUCCAGUCGGAAAGUGAACAUUGAGAAGAAAUAAUGUAUAAAUUAUUUCUGAAAUUGAUGUUUCUUUCCAUAUUUUUAAUUCGAGUAGUCGUAGGGUGUUUCUUUCCAACUUCCAAGCUUCGAUUAAUAAUGUAUAAAUUCCACAAGACUAUAAAUUUAAGACUCCCAAAUUGAUGAGUGAUGGUGACUUUCGUCUAACCAAUUCAAAGACGAUUAGUCUAAAAGUAAAGAGAGGAAACAGUAGGCUGUGAACCACUCAAAUGUGUUAGAACUCAGAAUAGAGAAAUUAAAGAUAAUAGAAAGGUAGCGUGUAGACGACGAUGCUAUGAAUAAAACAGGGGAAGAUUCCACAUUCCGUCGAAAUACGCCCGUCGAAUACCUUUUGUCGGUGAUUCCACAUUCCGUCGCUAUAUUGGUCGGAAAUACCAAAAAAACAUUUACCGACGGACCGUGCGCGCCAAAAAAAAAAGUUUCCCGCUUUGAAUAUACCGAUGGAAAAUAUUCCGUCGGUGUUAUGUAAAUACCGAAGGACUAAAUCCAUCGGUAAAAGUGUCGGUGAUAUUUCAUACCGACCGAAUAUUUCCGUCCGAAACAAAAUAAAUUUCAGAAUCAUAGGAAUCUAAUACUUCAAGAAGGAGGUUAUCUUUCUGAAAUCGAAUUCCUAUUCCAAAUGGAAAAGGGAUGCUAAUAUUUCCACAAGUUUAUGUAGGAUUUGGUGUUGGGAUGUUUCUUUCCAACUUCCAAGCUUUGAUUAAUAAUGUAUAAAUUAUUUCUGUGAUAAUAAAAAAAAGAAAAAGAAAUGUUUGUGUGUGCUUGUAAUUUUUUUAUGUAUGUUAUUGAAUAAAAAAAAUGAAUUUAAUUUAUAUGCACAAAUAUCUAAAGGACAGAUAAAAAUCAUGUUGUAUUUUCCAUAAAAAUGUAGAACAUGUAUCUACAUAUAUUCUGGGAACUAAUAACUGAUUUAUCAAAGCCUUAGAAUUUGGCUAAAAUUUUAUUUUUAAAAUCACAUCAAGUCCACGAAGCUUGAAAGUAAAUAUGUGGUGUGUAUUUUGUUUAUGAAUGAUUUAUUUUUUAUGAUAAAAUUGCAAGAAUAAAGAAGAAUUUAAUAUUCUGAUUUGUUCACGGAUAAAGAAUUAUGAACUUACAUGUAAGUUGUAUUUUCUAAAAUUCGAUGAAUGAAUUGAAUUUUAAAACUUCUUUAACACAUCAAGUCCAUGAAGCAGCUUACCUCAGGUAGGGUGCGUUAGGGGUGCUAAUACCUUCCCUAAUCACAACCAGUCCCUUACCCGUGAAUCUCUGAUGAGACCAGUACACCCGGGUUUCCUAGUAGCCCUUGAUUAAAUACUAGGUGGCGACUCCAAUGAACCAAAUCAAGCAAAACAAGCAAAGAACGAGCAUAACGAGAAAAUCAAGCAAAACAAGCAAAGAACGAGCAUAACGAGAAAAAUCGCCAGCCCGAUGCCGCGCGGAUUUUCUGACGUGCGACAGAAUGGCGACUCCACUAGGGACGGUAAUGUUUUCGACAUUAUUGGACUAAGCUUUGUAUAUUUGAUGUGUUUAUGUUUUUGCAUUUUUUAAUUUUAUUUUUGUUUUAUCCAUGCAUUUUGUAGAAUUGUCUCAUGCAGCACAUGUGUUGCUACCCAAUUUUUGACCCAUGUUUUUGAUAUAUUUUCAAAAGAAAUUCAAAAAUAGAGAAAAACAAAGAAAAUCCAAAAAAAUAUGUUUUUUAAUAUAUUGUCAUCAUUUUAGCAUUUUCAACGUCAUCUAAAAACGAAUUUAAAUUUUUAAGGGUCUUUCGAACGCGUUCGACUUUUCACGCGUCAUUUUUAAAAUCAUUGAUUUUCCACAUCGAGUCGACGUUGAUAUUGCUCGUUUUCAAAAAAUACAAAAAAAUUAAGAAAAAAUCAAAUUUACAAAAAGAAAGAAAUUGAGGGACCAAUUUGAAAACCUAGCAAUAUUUUCACCUAUAAAUACUGGUUUCCUCAACACAUUCAAGGGGUGGCAAUUUUGAAAUAUCAGGAGAAUCACAACAAAACCCUAAACCUAAACUUAUCUCUACCUAAAAAAAAAAAAAGACAGCCGCCCCCCACCCUUUGUUUUUUUUCUCCAGCCGCUCACUCCCCCCUCACACAUAACAAAUCUGAACCGCCGCCCCUCUCCUCUAGUUGAUUUUUAAUUUUGUUUCUCCCUAGGCCUCUUCUCCGAAAGCCAUCAACCGUCUCCCUCCCGCUGGCCAUUUUUCCCCCCCCCGGCCACCUCACUCUCUCAUCUCUCAGCUGAUCCCUCCUUCCCUUUUUCCUACAAACACAACCGAACCAGCCCCCUCCCCCCGAUUUGAUUUUUUUUUGCUACCACAACCACCCCCUGAUUUUCAGCUCUCCAUCAUCUCCCCUGCACCACAAAGCAGCUCCAUUCCCACACAAAACCAACCAGCUCAAUCCCAGCCGACUUUUUUUUAGGGUCAUUUUUGUAAUUUCCAAAUGGUUUAAUGUAAUAUUUGUUUAGUUUUUAGUUUUUUUGAAUUUUUAUUAUGAAAAUGUGGAUAUAAAAGAAAAAGAAAAGAAAAGAAAAGAGAAAGUAAUAAAAAAAAAAGGAAAUGUUUGUGUGUGCUUGUAUGUUUUUUUUUAUGUAUGUUAUUGAAUAAAAAAAAAUGAAUUUAAUUUAUAUGCACAAAUAUCUAAAGGACAUAUAAAAAUCAUGUUGUAUUUUCCAUGAAAAUGUAGAACAUGUAUCUACAUAUAGUCUGGAAAGUAAUAACUGAUUUAUCAAAGCCUUAGAAUUGGGCUAAAAUUUUAUUUUUAAUAUCACAUCAAGUCCACGAAGCUUGAAAGUGAAUGUGGUGUGUAUUUUUGUUUAUGAAUGUUUUUUUUAUUAUGAUAAAAUUGCAAGAAUAAAGAAGAAUUUAAUAUUCUGAUUUGCUCACGGAUAAAGAAUUAUGAACUUACAUGUAAGUUGUAUUUUCUAAAAUUCGAUGAAAGAACAUAAUUUUUAAAACUUCUUUAACACAUCAAGCCCACGAAGUAGCUUACCUCAGGUAGGGUGCGUUAGGGGUGCUAAUACCUUCCCUAACCACAACCAGUCCCUUACCCGCGAAUCUCUGACGAGACCAGUACACCCGGGUUUCCUAGUAGCCUUCAAUGAAAUACUAGGUGGCGACUCCAACGAACCAAUUCAAGCAAUACAACAACGAGAUGAAAAGGUCGCCAAGCCCAUGCCGCGCGGAUUUUUUGACAUGCGACAACAUGUUGUAAUUUUUUAAAAGCACACACAAGCUUCAGGUUAAGAGGGGGACUAGCAGCUUACCUUACGACUUUUAGUCAAGGUUUAAGUUUGUGUAAACCCCAACUCUUCGUUGAGUGCUUAGACUAGUAAUAGUUGGACACGUGCCAUUUCAUUACCUAUUAGCCCCUAUAUUGCCUUCAAGAGGGUAAUCACUGGGACAACGAGAGCUCCUUUUUAGAGACCAAGUAGUAAACCUACCUUUUGUCUCACUUAAAAAGAUUAGAACCUGCCUUUAGGAUGUAUGCUCUGUAUACAUUGUUUUGCAUCCAAGCAAGCCCUUCUUGAAGCAUCUUGAACUCCAGACUUAUGGGUGACGCAAUGAUCGUCGCUCAGAAAAUUUUCAUUGUAGAGUUUGUGCAAGAAUCAAGAUUCUUGUUUCAUCAUACAAGAGUUGCGACCAUAUGUCACCCCUUGAAGGGCGAGUUCGUCAUAUAGAUUACAUAUUCAUACAUUUAUCAUGCAUCUACCGGGUUGAAAGGUAGGUCCCCCGCACAAGCUGCGCUACACAUGAUUGAAGAAAGAUGAUGGAAGUGAAGAAAGGUGUCAGAUAGAAGCUUAUUAUCAUAUUAAGGUUGAGAGCAUCAAAGGUGAAGUAGCUAGACUCAGAUCUGCUCGAACAAGGGUUGAACAUCAAAUGGAAAGAGAAUGUAUGCACAAUCUUCUGUGGGAGCACUGUUUGUUCAUGUCCAAUUGAAGCAGUACCUCUCCUUUUCAGUCAUGAACAACAGCAACAAUGCCUUCAGUCAUAAACUAAUGACAACUCUUGUUCUUGUCCAGUUGCACUGUUAAAUGUUCAUUGCCUCCACACCAUCUAAUGGAAGCAAACGACUACUAGCCUCCUGUACAUGGUGCAUUAGUCUUCUUUGAAGUUACCCCAAAUAUGAGCUCAAUUCCAGUUCAGCAGCACAAGAUGUUGGUCUGAAAAACCAUGAUUAGACACUGAACUUCUACGUGGUAAAGCUCUCUCUAUAGAGAUUUAUUUGUGGAUCUGCCAAUGGGAAAUGCAAAAGGGGAUGUAUUAAUUUCAUAUGCUUUGAAACUUUUUCCCACCAGUGGCACGAGCAAAACAUUGUACUAGGCAGAGGAGUCAGGCCUGGUCUGAAAAUAUGAGUAGUCGUCGAACUUCAACGUGGCAGAGCUCUCUCUACAAAAAUCUGUUUAUGAUGCUGCAAGUUGAGAGUGCAAGAGAGGAUUUACUAAUUGCAUAUGCUACAAAUAUUUCUCUCAUCAGUUUCAGCACGAAGAAACUGUAGCAUGUUGAAGAGCCAGAUUUGGUUUGAAAAACAUUGAGCAGACAUCAAACUUCAACGUUGCAGAGAUCUCUCGACAGGAAUCUAUUUGUGGAUCUGUAAAUGGGAAAUCCAAGAAGGGAUGCAGUGGUUUCAGAUUGUCCACAAUUUUCUCCUACCAGUAUUGGCAUUAAAACGCAAAAGUGGUUGUUUGCUGCACCGUCAGUGAGGAAUCAAAGAGGAAAUAAAGGAGUUGUGGAUUCAUCAGUUUCUCUUCCAAUUUUGACAAUAUAUGAUUCCAUACUCUUUUUUUUUCGCACUGCCAUGAUUACCUAGAUAUUGAGAGGUUUCCAACAAUCCUAAAACAAUAACAACAACAUUGGAAUAUUGACAUGAAGUUGUGUGGAUUGCCAAAAAUUGAACAAGCUAUCAAGAUGGGAAAGAUUGAAGGUUCUGCUAAGGAUUCCAGAGAAACGAUGAGAGAUGAAUCAAAAGAAGACUCUGAUGGUGGAAAACCUUAAUUAUGUUGGUCUAACCAAGUCUUGUUGUAUCAUCGACUACUCCAAUGUCUUUGCCAAAGAUAGACAUUCUUUUGCUAUGUGGGUUUAUUUACUAGAAUCUGCCAGAUUCUAGACUUUUGCUAGACUCCGACAAAUCCCAUGCAACUACCGUUUUCUAGGUGGUAUAAUCCAGACAAGAGAUGUGAUGUCAUGGUAGAGUCCUCAACCAUUUCAACUGAACAGUUGCAAGAAUUUCAAGAAGAGAGUCUGAAAGUUGGUGAGCAAGAGACAAGGAAGUUCCGUGAAGGAGGGUGUCAUUGGUUAUAUUGUCCCCCAAACAUCUUCAGAAUGACUUGUGAGCGAAAGUGCUUGGCAAAACACAGAUAUUGCUAGAAAAGCUAAUUCAAGAAUGGUGAUGAAUAGUCAAUCAUAUUGUUAUGGAAUUCUGCAUUUUGUUUUGGGAUCACAUUUCAUCCUUCAACGAAACAUGCCUUGCUUUUGUCUCUUUGUUGUUUUGAAAUCAACAAAUGUUUAGCAUUUUAUUUUGACAAAAUAUUUUGAUCAAACUCCAACAUGCGAUAAAGGUUAAUCAAUCCUGAAGAUUAAAAUUAUUUUGAUUGCAGAAAUGACUCGAUGCUUGAAAAUGACAUGAGGUGACCAAACAAUUUUGAACUCAUACCUCUUGAAAUUGAACCACACAUCAUAUAGCUAAGUUUUAGCAGUAUGCAUAAUGACAUGUAGUGGAUUCAAUAGUUAUGGACUCGUGAAUCAUGACUCUUACAAGUCCCAAAUCAUUACACUGGAUGGGGUUAAAAUUUAUCGGUUCUAACCGACCUUGCUUGAAAUGAGAAAAGGCCAUCUUUGAUAUCCCUUCACUUUCUAAAGAUUAUAUCCCUUGUAGUCCUAUUUUGAGCUGGAUAGAAUUUUCUUUUCAUAAAAACCCUGACUAGGAUCACACCCCACACUGGGGGCAAAUGGGAGAUAUUUUGAAGACAUUGAUGUAAUUAAUGGAUAAAGGGGAAGGCUUAGAACAAAACUCUAAUGAUUGAGAGAGCGCGAGAAGAAAACACAUAGACUGGGGGCAUAUAAGAAAAUUUUGAGGAAGGCUGUGAGUGAAAUUGCCUUCACUUAAAGACAAGUUAAAGAUAAAGGAAGGAGAAUGCCUAUCAAUUCUAAGAGAGGCAAGACAGUUUUCAAUUGAGAAAAGACAGCAAAUGCUAAAAGUCAACACUAGAAAAAUCGAUGCUUCAUAUCUUUUGGUGUGUCUUGGAUAGAGCCUCUAAUGUCUUAAAAAAAAAAUUAGAUUAGUUAUUCAUCAAAGAAAAAGUUGGAUUUGCAUUAUGACCUAUGUUAAGAGAAUUCUGAUAUUUGAGAUUAACAAGGUUAUAUGUCACUUUCUCUACAAUGACAACAAGAGAAAGAGAAUCGAUGAAUAGUUAAUGUUGGUCCUAGGUCAUUGAAACCCUCAAACACCUUUUGAGCCUAUGAAAUUCCUUUCUUUUAUAGCCAUGAACCAUAGCCUACAUUACGUGCUUUUAAAAGCCCUUUUUGAUCAAGUAAGCAAUCUGAACUGAUAAAUGGCGCUCUCAAAACUUGAAGAGCUUUUCCAUAAGGGUCGUGACUUCAUGAAUUAAGCCCUUGUUAUUAUGCAUGCUGAUAAAAUAAAUACUGAGAAAAGAAACAACCUUUUUUUAUCAAGCCUGAGCAUCUAGUCAUUUGAAGUUCACAAAAAUAUCACCUCAUCACAAACCAUAAAAAAAAAGGAUAUACCCAAAAUCAGAGUUUAAAGUGGACACACAGAACCAUGGGAAAGACCAUUUUAAUCUUACAAUGGGUCGAUUUCUAUUUUUAAAAUGCAAUACAAUCGAAGGACUACAUUGAAUGACAUGUGUUGGGUCUUUGACCAAAGAAGCUUGAAUUUUGAAAAUACUUUUCAAAAACUGAUAUCUCUCUGAUUUCAUUUCAACAAUUAGACUUGAAUAGACAUGACCUUUGAAGUAUGAGAUUUGAUUCUAGAACAAGAAAGAUUGUCAAACAAAGAAGAACAUCGAUGGAGUUUGCAAAAUCCUUGAUAAAAAUGACAUCAACAUUUCUCGACACUCCUUGAAACGUUGACUACCUGGGGGCAAUACAGUGGACCCUAGGAAGGAAAACAAAUAGUAUCUAGACCAGCUGGGGGCAAAGAAAGAAUCAAAUGAUGAGUCAUCAAAGUACAUGAAAGUUAUGUUUAGCAUCUGACAAUGACAAAGGAAGACCUUCUUGAGUAUAAACUGAUGAAAUAGAAUACAUAUCAUUGCUGGGGCCAAUGUUGUUCAAAGACAAUCCAUGAUCUAGUGCACUUCAGCAGCAAUUGAUGAGCGACGCUGCACUAGAAGGAUAUUUUCAUAUCUUUAUCUUGGGUUACCCUGUAAAACAUGGCUAUGGCUCCUGACAGAUGUUAUCAGGUGAGUGCAUUUGAAUGAACAUCGAACAUAUGCAUACCACUAAGAUUGACUAUGAGACCAUCUAUUCUGAAGCUCAAAUGCGCACUUCACCACAUGAAUAUGGGUGAUAACAUGAACAUCAUUGAUGAUGCCAAAGCAGUUAUUUUCACGAUCUGAUUUGACAAGCUAGGAGGAAUCCAUAGAGAAAUACAUCGCACUUACAAUGAUGAGCUGUUUACUGCAAAGCAUGAGAUCCAUGUCUGGAUGACUUGGCAGUUCCAUGAAGGCUGGUGACCAUAUAUACUUGAAUGGUGUUUCAACCGAAGGCAAGUUCAUUACUGAUUAACAAUCUUGAUGGGUGUUGGCAUGAUGCGCACAAUCAAUCAGAGGAUAAUUCUCAGAAGAAGCCAGGAGAGAAAAUCCUUCAUGAUGAAUCAAGAAGUACCACACUUGGGGGCAGGGUCAAGCUUGAUGAACGAUGCAAGCGGUAAUUGUCGAAGACAGCCCGGGAUGGGCACUGCAUUUACAGCUGAGUGGAUGGCUAGCACAUGAAUGAGCCAAUGCAUCGGAAGAACAAAGAAAGCUUUGGGAUACAAACAAGGGCACCCUAUGACGAUGGAGCAUCAAAGAGGGGGGGACCUAUAUUUCAAAUCAGGUAAGGAUGCAUGCAUAUCAUCUAACCUUAAAAAAAAAACCAUUUGCAUAUAUUUUUGAAUUGUUACAAGAAAAUCCUUAAUGAGGUCCAGCAAGAUGGUGGAAAGAGAAAGAAGCAUUGUGGUGAUGAUAAUAAAGAAUCGGUUUUGAUCAUGGAAUAAAAGGACAAUGGGAUGAACCCUGCCAUUAGGAAAAUCCCAAAGAAAUAAAAAGGUCAACCUUGUAAUCGGGAAGCCUCGAGUUUUCAACCCUUGCAGUCAGGAAACACCAAGUUUUCAAACCCUAUGAUCGGGAAUUAUCAGGAAUCACCAAGUUUUCCAGCCCUUCUUCUAUCAUCCCCUCAGGACUUCGCUAGGUAAGUCCUAUUUUUCACACUUGUCAUAUCACAUCUUCCACUUGGGUUGGUCACCCCUUUACAAUGAGACCACACUUCAUAUUUUUUCCAUCUGGGUAGGUCACCCAUCAUAAUAAGACCGUUUUUUCCAUUUUUUCCACCUGGGUAGGUCACCCAUUACAAUGAGACCACUCUUUCCUUUUUCUUGGGUAGGUCACCCAUUACAAUGAGACCAACAUUUUUUCUGGGUAGGUCACCCAUUACAACGCGACCACUUCUCCAUGUUUUUUUUACUUGGGUAGGUCACCCAUUACAAUGAGACCAUUCUUUCCCCUGGGUAGGUCACCCAUAAGAAUGAGACCACUCUUCCCCCUUUCCACUUAGGUAGGUCACCCAUCACAAUGAGACCAUCAUUUUUUUUCUAGGUAGGUCACCCAUUAGAAUGAGACCAUUCUCCAUCUUUUUUUUUUUUACCUAGGUAGGUCACCCAUAAUAAUGAGGCCAUUCUUUCCCCUGGGUAGGUCACCCAUAAGAAUGAGACCACUCUUCCUCUUUUCCACUUGGGUAGGUCACCCAUCACAAUGAGACCAUUUUUUUCUCUAGGUAGGUCACCCAUUAGAAUGAGACCAUUCUCCAUUUUGUUUUUACCUGGGUAGGUCACCCAUUAUAAUGAGGCCAUUCUUCCCCCUGGGUAGGUCACCUAUAAGAAUGAGACCACUCUUCCCCUUUUCCACUUGGGUAGGUCACCCGUCAUAAUGAGACCAUCUUUUCCAUAUUUGGUAGGUCACCCAUUACAAUGAGACCGCACUUCACAUUCUUUCCAUUUUGGGUAGGUCACCCAUCACAAUGAGACCGCUUUUCAUAUUCUUUCCACAUGGGUAGGUCACCCAUUACAAUGAGAUCGUUUUUUACACAUUCUUUUGUUUUGGUUAAAUGAGGUCGCCAGAUGAGAUCUCAUGUAGCUUUGGUUAAAAGGAAUCUCCAUAUGGGAUUUCAGGUUGACCGAGUUACACACAUUCUUUGGUUUUGGUUAAAGGAGCUCGCCACAUGGGAUCUCAGGUUAAUGAAAAAAAGAAGAGAGAAAGACAAGAAAAAAAAGAGUAAGGUUUUUAGAUGAAGUGAAUUUUGAGCAAGUUAAGCAGACAGAAAUACAAGUUUUUCUUUACAAAGCUUACUAUGCAAAACAUUGAGGAUUUUUGCUUCGUAAGCAUUGUAAAGAGGGGGCGUCUAUUGCUACCCAAUUUUUUAUCCAUGUUUUGAUAAAUUUUUAGAAAAAUUCAAAAAUAGAGAAAAAAACAAUGAAAAUCCAAAAAAAUAUGUUUUUUUAUAUAUAUUCUCGUCAUUUUAGCAUUUUCAGCGUCGUCUAAAAAAGAAUUUAAAUUUUCAAACGCGUUCGACUUUUCACGCGUCAUUUUUAAAAUCAUUGAUUUUCCUCAUUGAGUCGACGUUGAUAUUGCUCGUUUUCAAAAAAUAUAAAAAAAUUAAGAAAGAAUCAAAUUUACAAAAAGAAAGAAGUUGAGGGACCAAGUUGAAAAACCUAGCAACAUUUUACCUAUAAAUACUGGUCUUCAACUCACACAAAGGGGGGGGGCAAUUUUGCAAUUAAAGGGGGAGAAGAAUAGAAACCCUAAAAAGCUCAACUUUUUCUUCUCCCUCACCCGAAAGGCAGCCGCCGCAGCCCCUUAGCCCUCUGAUUUUUUCUUCCUCUCCCCAGCGGCUCACCACAAGAGACAGCAGCCCCCCUUUUCUUUGAUUUUUUUUUCCAGCCGCUCACCACAACAGUCCACAGCCGAUCUUCCCUCGCUUCCUCACAAGACAACCCCCUCAUCUCCAUCUAGGCCGUUCCCCCUCCUCACCGAACCCCACUGACCGGACGAUCCCCCUGCCUCUGAUUUUUUUUUUCUUCUUCCCCCCGGAGGAUCUCACUUCCUUCCCUGCGAACCAGCCUUCCUUUUCCUUCCCCAUCAUCUCCCUACUCUCAGCUAGUCUCCACCGCCAGCAGCAGUCGCCGUCAGACUCGGAGCGGUCCACCUUCUUCCUCCAGCAACGUCUGUAGAUCUGCCCUCCAGCGGCAGCCCCCACGGCGACGCCCACAGAUCGAGCGCCAUUUCAAGCGGAGACCGACGAUCAGCCAACACUCUUUUCUCCUCCAGCUCUGGCGGCCAGACACGACAGAAGCACAGUCGCCAGCAGCUGCCUAAAACAGAGCAGGUGAAACAAAAAGAAGAAUGACAGAGACAGAGAGAAAGCAAAGAUAAAACAGAUUUGAAAAAAGGGGAAGAACCGAGACUUUGCUUGCGUUUUUCUUCUUUUGCAGGUGAUGUUGCCCCUCAUUGCCAGUGCAGAAGGGAAGAGGAGACGGAGUAGAGCCAAAUCCAACUGGUGUGCGGGUCUGUUCGCAGCGGCGCGUGGGUCCAGACGCGCCGGCACUAUUCCGGCAUGCAGAAGGGCUUCCCUGCAAUUUCUGGAGUUUAGGGACUAUUUUGUAAUUUCUAAAUUAUGUAAUGUAAUUUUUGUUUAGUGUUUAAUUUUUUAUAAUUUUUGUAAUGUGAUGUACAAAAAAAAACAUGUAAAAGAAAAGAAAAGAAGAGAAAGAGAAAGUGAUAAUAAAAAAAAGAAAAAGAAAUGUUUGUGUGUGCUUGUAAUUUUUUUUAUGUAUGUUAUUAAAUUAAAAAAAAUGAAUUUAAUUUAUAUGCACAAAUAUCAAAAGGACAGAUAAAAAUCAUGUUGUAUUUUCCAUAAAAAUGUAGAACAUGUAUCUACAUAUAUUCUGGGAACUAAUAACUGAUUUAUCAAAGCCUUAGAAUUUGGCUAAAAUUUUAUUUUUAAAAUCACAUCAAGUCCACGAAGCUUGAAAGUAAAUAUGUGGUGUGUAUUUUGUUUAUGAAUGAUUUUUUUUUUAUGAUAAAAUUGCAAGAAUAAAGAAGAAUUUAAUAUUCUGAUUUGUUCACGGAUAAAGAAUUAUGAACUUACAUGUAAGUUGUAUUUUCUAAAAUUCGAUGAAUGAAUUGAAUUUUAAAACUUCUUUAACACAUGAAGUUCACGAAGCAGCUUACCUCAGGUAGGGUGCAUUAGGGGUGUUAAUACCUUCCCUAAGCACAACCAGUCCCUUACCCGUGAAUCUCUGAUGAGACCAGUACACCCGGGUUUCCUAGUAGCCCUCGAUUAAAUACUAGGUGGCGACUCCAAUGAACCAAAUCAAGCAAAACAAGCAAAGAACGAGCAUAACAAGAAAAAUCGCCAGCCCGAUGCAGCGCGGAUUUUCUGACGUGCGACAAUCUUUAAUUUAAUCCUUAGCCAUGUUAUCUAACCCAAAAUUAACCAAUAACUAUACUAUGUCACCUUUCCAAAUACAAACACACAUAAAUCCUAAAUUUCUAAAUUUGGGGAUUUUCAGUCCCCAUAAAAAUUAACAAAAGAAAGUGCAUUUAGAGCAAUAGAAACAUCUUGCCACAAUCAAUUAACCCAAUUUGUUAAUCCCUUUGCAAGAAAUCCCAAGAUGUUCUUUAGUACAUCUCAAAUCUUCUUCUUGUUCCUUAGUUUUAUAUUUUUGUUUUGUUGUCCUUAAACUCCUACAACACUAGUUUUUUAUUCCAACAAAAAACACUAAGAUCAACUGACACAAUUUUUUAUUUCCAAUUCUUUCAAGUUUCUUUUUUUUUACCGUUAUUUUUUUUUCUUGUUUGGCUGCUACGGAAAGAAGAGAAGAAAGAUUGUAAAUCCAUUGUUUAGAAGUCGAAACAAAAUAAAUUUCAGAAUCAUAGGAAUUUAAUACUUCAAGAAGGAGGUUAUCAUUCUGAAAUCGAAUUCCUAUUCCAAAUGGAAAAGGGAUGCUAAUAUUUCCACAAGUUUAUGUAGGAUUUGGUGUUGGGAUGUUUCUUUCCAACUUCCAAGCUUUGAUUAAUAAUGUAUAAAUUAUUUCUCAAAUUGAUGUUUCUGUUCAAAAUAAUGCAUCUUUAAAAUUUAUGGUCAAGUCAUUGUUUAUGUUUAGCAUCUUUUGUUUCCAUUAUGUCGAUCUUUUGCAUUGUCGAGCAGAGAAAGAUUGAUAAAAGCUAAAGCAUCAGUAUGAAGGCCAAAAGCUGAUAACUUACGCUGCAUUUCUUGGGUCCAGUCGGAAAGUGAACAUUGAGAAGAAAUAAUUUAUAAAUUAUUUCUGAAAUUGAUGUUUCUGUUCAAAAUAAUGCAUCUUUAAAAUUUAUGGUCAGGUCAUUGUUUAUGUUUAGCAUCUUUUGUUUCCAUUAUGUCGAUCUUUUGCAUUGUCGAGCAGAGAAAGAUUGAUAAAAGCUAAAGCAUCAGCAUGAAGGCCAAAAGCUGAUAGCUUACGCUGCAUUUCUUGGGUCCAGUCGGAAAGUGAACAUUGAGAAGAAAUAAUGUAUAAAUUAUUUCUCAAAUUGAUGUUUCUGUUCAAAAUAAUGCAUCUUUAAAAUUUAUGGUCAAGUCAUUGUUUAUGUUUAGCAUCUUUUGUUUCCAUUAUGUCGAUCUUUUGCAUUGUCGAGCAGAGAAAGAUUGAUAAAAGCUAAAGCAUCAGCAUGAAGGCCAAAAGCUGAUAGCUUACGCUGCAUUUCUUGGGUCCAGUCGGAAAGUGAACAUUGAGAAGAAAUAAUGUAUAAAUUAUUUCUGAAAUUGAUGUUUCUGUUCAAAAUAAUGCAUCUUUAAAAUUUAUGGUCAGGUCAUUGUUUAUGUUUAGCAUCUUUUGUUUCCAUUAUGUCGAUCUUUUGCAUUGUCGAGCAGAGAAAGAUUGAUAAAAGCUAAAGCAUCAGCAUGAAGGCCAAAAGCUGAUAGCUUACGCUGCAUUUCUUGGGUCCAGUCGGAAAGUGAACAUUGAGAAGAAAUAAUGUAUAAAUUAUUUCUCAAAUUGAUGUUUCUUUCCAUAUAUAUAUAUAUUUUUUUUUUUUUUUUGUAACCGGGGGUGUCCGGGCCAGCUUGCGCGCACUACAACUAAUACCCGGGCUCACUGAACAUCCUGCAAGCCCAAUGAGCAUGUAAGGCACCGCGGGGGUGACAGACGUACAUAUAGAGGGUCGAACCCGGGAUGGGGACGGAACAAGUCACACGAUUGACCACAGCAGCUGGACCCUCAAGUGUUUCUUUCCAUAUUUUUAAUUCGAGUAGUCGUAGGGUGUUUCUUUCCAACUUCCAAGGUUCGAUUAAUAAUGUAUAAAUUCCACAAGACUAUAAAUUAAGACUCCCAAAUUGAUGAGUGAUGGUGACUUUCGUCUAACCAAUUCAAAGACGAUUAGUCUAAAAGUAAAGAGAAGAAACAGUAGGCUGUGAACCACUCAAAUGUGUUGGAACUCAGAAUAGAGAAAUUAAAGAUAAUAGAAAGGUAGCGUGUAGACGACGAUGCUAUGAAUAAAACAGGGGAAGAAAAGUCGUUUCUCUUGAGUGCCAAGAUCUUAUUAUAAUGUGGAAUAUCCAGUAGAUAAGUACUCAGAAUGAACAUAUAUUUAGAAAUUAAUCAGCAAUCAGCUAGCAAACCUAAUUCAAAAAGAGAUUGGAAGAUUGUGUUUAGUUAAUGUUAUAGGAUGUAAUGAACAUAUACAAAAGGGAUAGAAAAAUCACCAAAUCAAAGUUCUCCUUAUUAAUGCAAGUGUUUUGUUUUAAAAAAUUCUCACAGGAAUAGUGUCCGACUUGCAGUGACGAAGUACAAUUACUUAAUAAUUUAACUAUUUUAUUAUCAUAGAAUUUUAAAUAAUCUAAGAGGAAGCUACAAUUUUUUUCUUCUGUUUUACUUUUCAACAAAAAAUAAUAAUCCAUUAUAACUCUUAAAUUAAAUCAAUUUUUUUUUAUAGAAAUUCUAUAUCAUGGAGAAACUUAACCGAAAUUUUCAAUGUGAAAUCUAAAACUUAAGUUAUUGGACAGAGUGUUUCUGUGUGGACAUAUAAUUUGGACCCAAAAAUCACAAUUCUAUCAUUACCCAUGUAUGCUUUCGGUUCCUUAUUUAGAGAUUAGCACCCGUGAACAGUAGCAUGAGGACCGAUGAUACCAGCAGCAACCAUAACAAGUCCAGUAAUUGCUCCUUAUUUGGAUAAUGGAUAUCCGAAACUCAAUUAGGUAUUCAAGAUUUAUAUCCGAAACGUUUUUCUUUUCUUUUCUAAUGGAAAAUAAAUAAAUAUAUUUGUUUAUAUGUUGAGAAUAAAAAAGAUUUUUUUCAAAAAACAAAUACAUUAAGAUUACAAAUAUUUUUUAUAAGAGAUGUUGUUACCCAAUUUUUGACCCACGUUUUUGAUAAAAAAUUUUAAAAAUAAAAAAAAAAGAUUUUUUUUAAAUAUAUUUGCAUCGUUUUUAGCAUUUUCAGCAUCGUUUCAAAAGAAUUUAAAUUUUUAAUGGUCUUUUAAACGCGUUUGAAUUUUCACGCGUUAUUUUUAAAAUAAUUGAUUUUUCUUAUUGAGUCGAUGUUGAUAUUGCUCGUUUUUAAAAAAUAUAAAAAAAUAAGACAAAUCAAAUUUACAAAAAAUAAAGAAGUUGAGGAACUAAGUUUGGGGACCAAACAAUAAUUUGCCUAUAAAUAAUAUUUUCCCAAAACCAGCCAAACCUCUCCUCAUCAUCUUCCUUAGCCUCUCUAUAACCCAAGCCCCUAUUUUUUCUCGCAAGCAACAGACUACCUCCUAGACUGAACACGGCGACAAGCCCAACCACCGGUGCUACCAAUAGAAGCGAAGAUCAUCAGCUCAUCAACUAGCCCUAGGAACCAGCCCAAGGACAGCAGCCCACAGACUCAGAUCGGCCGGCCUUCCUCCAGCUCCUCCCUCAUAGACCGAACCAUCUCUUCCCUCCAUUCAGCCUCCAAUAUUAGCGGCCAAAACAACAACUUGAAGCCAGCCGCCACUCACCCUCUCCUGGCCAACCCAACUUCCCCAUAACCGAGAGCAACCCCACAGUGGCUCCUUUCUUCCUCAGGCCGAGCACAUCAGCAACCCCCGUUAUCUUCUUCCCAGUCUUCAAUCGUGCCCACAUACCAGCCUCUAACAGCACCGACAACAACCGUGGUGGAAAGCAGAAGAAACUAGAUCUAAAAAACUAACUACAAUCGACUGAUGUGUGCAUUUUCUUUUUGUUGCAGAUAAUGUAGCUCCUCACCACUGGCAAGGAAAGGAAGAGAAGAGGAAGACGUUCCCGAUCCACCGAUUUUCUUGCAUUCAACGGCGAUGGCGCGUGAACCCACGCGCUACCACUGUGCAUACAGUUCUAGAAAGCUUCCCAGUGCUGUUAUAGAUUUUUGGGUGUCUAUUUUGUAAAUUUUAAAUUGUUUGAUGUAAUUGUUGUUUAGUUUUUUUUUUUGAAUUUUUAUAAUUUUUAGUGUGGAUAUAAAAAAAAAAGGAAAAAAUAUAGUAAAAGUGAAUGUGUGUUGUUUGUACUUGUUUUAUGGAUUUUUUAUUUUUUUUUAUUUUUAUGAUAAAACUGCAAAAACAAAAGAAGAAUUUAAUAUUUUGAUUUGCUCACGGUAAAAGAUUAUGAACUUAUACGUAAGUCGUAUUCCUAAUAUAUGAUGAAAUGAUAAAAUUAUUAAAAAAAAAUUUAACACAUCAAAGCCAUGAAGCAACUUAUCUCAAGUAGGGUGCGUUAGGGGUGCUAAUACCUUCCCUAACCACAACCAGUCCCUUACCCGUGAAUCUCUGAUAAGACCAGUAUAUUUAGGUUUCCUAGUAACCCUCAAUGAAAUACUAGGUGGCGACUCCCAGAAUCGAACAAGCAAAGGAAUGAAAAUCGCCAACGCCGUCGCUCGAGCACUUGCGACAGAAUGGCGACUCCACUAGGGAAAGUACUGUUUCUGACAAUAUUGGACUAAGCUUUGUGUAUUUGAUGUGUUUUUGCAAUUUUAUCUCUUUUUUUUAAUAUUUUUGUUUGCAUGCAUUUUAUAGAAUUGUUUCAUGCAUCACAUGUCUUUAUUUUUUAAAGCACACACAAGCUUUUAGGUUAGGUGAGGAACUAGCGAUCUGCCCUAUGACUAUUGGUCAAGGUUCAGAUGCAUGAAACACCCAACUCAUAUCUGAGUGCUUGCUUGGUAAUGGUGGGUAUACGUGCCUUAACCAUUUCUCACAACGCCUCUAUACUGUCUUUACGAAGAUCGUCACUGAGCGGAUGUAAGACCCUUUUGAGAUCAGGUAGAAAACCUACCCAUGUUUAUAUAAUGAAUAGAACUUGUCCUUAGGUUAUAUGUGCUAUCUUUAUUUACAUCAAGGCAAACCCUUCUUGAAGCAUCUUGAACUCAAGACUUAUGGGUGACACAAUGAUCAUCACUCAUAAAAUUUUCAUUGUAAAGUUUGGGCAAGAAUCAAGAUUCUUGUUUCAUCAUGCAAGAGUUACGAUCAUAUCUCACCCCUCGAAGAACGAGUUCAUCAUAUAGAUUACAUGUUCAUACAUUUGUCAUGCAUGCACUGGGAUGAAAAGUAGAUACCCGGACAUCUCUCUUGAUUUUUAAGGAAGCAUCUCCAAUUAGUAUCCUUAAUCAUUUUAACUCAUCGUUUAUACUUAUUCAAUCGCAUCAUCAUUCUUUUUAUAGUACUAAUUGUAUCUCAAAUUACUAUUUUAUAUUUUUUAUUAUUAACUUCUCACUCCACUACAAGAUUUCACAGUUUUAGCGACGGAACUAUUCCGUCGGUGUGUGAUAGAAAGUUCGUCGGUAAAUUAUUUACCGACUAUAUUACCGACGGAAUACACACGUCGAAAUACUUUUUGUCGGUGAUUCCACAUUUCGUCGUUAUAUUAAUCGGCAAUAUCAAAAAAAUAUUUACCGACGGUUUUACCGACGGACAAGUUUAAGGGUGGAUUACAUAUUAAAGUAGUCAUAGGGGACUGUGACUCUGGUACGGGCUUGUAUUGUUUUCGAGAUUGGGAUUUGUUUUUGUCACCAAAUAAAAUAGUGAGAGCCUGAAAGGUAUGUAUGCUCGGCUGCUCACCAAGUUAGGGUAUCUGUGGACAGAUUAGAGGCAUAUCUGAGAAUGGAGAUGACAGUUGGGUGGAGUUUCCCGAGUAAAUGUCGUCUCCUGAACGAGAAGAGAGAGAGCGUGUGGCGGGACCCAUCAUCGCACAUAGCUAGCUAUAUUUGCAUCUUCCUCUCGGUAUUAGGAAUCAUGAUAAAGGAAGUUUAGGAUUAAAAAAUUUAUCUUUUAUAUGAUUUUAAAUUAAAAUCAUGUAAUUAUUAAUAAAAUAAUUAUUAAAAAUUUAUAUUAUCAUUAAUUUUAAAAUUAAUUGAGAUAUGUGAAAGCUAAAUCGGAUAAUUAUAAUAAUAAUAAUAAUAAUAAUAAUAAAUAAAUAAAUAAAAAUUGUUUGAGGUGAGCAUAUAAAAUAAAUCAAUCACCUUAAAAAUGGUUGUCCACAUUUUAUUUGGGUGUCGAGAAUGAUGCAUGCCCUUGAAGUUGAAGUGGGUUUGGAACACGACCAUUCAUUAAUAGGACAAGUUCCUAUCAUGUCAUGUGAGCCCCAUCCACAGUAAUGAGUGGUAACCUCGUCGAGAUUCAUCAUGAUCUCUUGAGCACUUUUAUCUUUAUCCCCUUUCCAUCAUUUAGAAUAUUGGAUGGUUAUGUAAAAUUGGUCUGAAUUGAAAGAAAGUAAAAUGGUUCGAAGAUAUUCUGGCCUGUGCGUUGGUGGACAGUAUGGCAUUAUAUUGGUUUGUGAGUUGUGAUUAAUCAUCUCUGGAUGCACCCACCCUGCCACCCACCAUGUGUUGAAAAAAUAAAUAAAUCCAGCCUACUUACGGUCAGGCACGAUACGAGGUGGAGUUCUUUUGUAAUAUCAUGUUUUAACAUUCGAUUGAGAAAGGAACUUAAUGAGUAUAAGUAUGAUUCUUUCAAGUAAUUUGUUCAUGCCAUGGGAUCGAGGGUUUUAUAGAUGCUCUGUCGUUGUAAGAAUAUUCAUUUAUGUGUUAUUUGAGCACCUUAUAAUUAAAUAACAAAUAAUUGUUAACAUGUAUCGAGUGUGUAUUUGACUAUAUAAUUUAAAAAAUCAAAGAUAAUAAAAUGAGAAAAUCAAAAUCCAUAUGUAUAUAAUUAAUUCAUUACCACCAAUACCAUCACAUCAAUUUUUAGAUUUGAAAGUUGUGUUUAGUGAUUUACACGAUGUUUUAAAUUGUUUACUAUUGUUGUUUAUUUUUAUGUUUUAAAAAAAAAGGUUUGACUAUAAAUAACUUUCAGCUUAAAUUAAAUAUUUGUUAUAUAAUUAACUGUGUCAAUUUUUUUAUUUAGUCAAAAGUUAAAAUUUUAAACUUGUAAUUUAUGAACUAUAUAUUUAUAUUGCAUGUUUUCUUUAAGCAAAACUAUUUUUUUAGUCAUUUUUAUCAAACAAUGUCUCCAAUUCAAAAUUAUUUAGAUGUUAUUGUAUUGUAAGUUAUUUACGAGGAACAACCUAUAAGAUGACUUAAAGUCAAAGGUCAUUUUUCAUAAAUCAGCCCAGAUGUAUACUUUUAUAUCCUUUUGAUUUAAUUAUUUAAAAAAAAAACAUUUUACUAAUAAAUUCUAACUUGCACUGCAUCUCUUCUUCAAAAAAAAAAAAAAACCACCUUUAGGCUUUAGCCAUUUUUUAUCACACACACAUAUAUAUUUAUAACUUAAAGUCAUUUUAACUUGUUUUUAUCAUAAUUUAUUUAUGAAAAAUAAUUUUUGAAUUAUGACUCAAAGUCAAAAGUCAAUUCUAUUAGUUAUGUAAGACACAGUCAAAGAGUCCGUUUGAAAUGAUCUGUGAAAAAAUAAGUUUUAGAUCUUGAAUCAUGAUCCAAAGGUUAUUUUUUUACAAGUAAUUUAUGAUAAAAAUAAGUUGAAAAUGACUUUAAAUUAAAAGUAUCUCCAGUAAAAAUAAUUAAAAAUGAUUUUUUCAAAGAAGAAAUGCAGUAUAAGUAGAUUCUACAAGUUAAAAAAUCUAAUAUUUAAUAAAAUAAAAAACUUAACUCAAUUUUAUAAUACAAUAAGCUCGCAUAUAAAAUUUUAUUUCUAAUUAAAUAUAUUUAUGAUUUUCUUUCAAGUCAAGAGUUUAAAAAAUAAUUUAAAUAAACUUGUAAAGAUUAUACUAAACGAAACCUAAACCAAGAUAGUUCACCAGAAAACAAAGUUCAUGAUUGCAGUCACCGAAUAGCACAAGUUACUUUUAGACAAUUUUGUAUCGAAUACGCACUUUUUUAAUGCAAGCCGUAAGUAGUGUUUUCGUCCUCUCCUUUUCCCCUGCAAAGUUAAGGCUUUAAAAAAGCCCAUUUCUUUAUAUCAGGCUGGUUCGGUGGCACCGCAAGUGGAAGUCAUCCUUCAAGGAGGAUGAUGAAAUUUGUACAAUUCUCCCCGUCACGACACAUUGAGCUAUCUAAUCAGUAUUAAAAUCUAAGAUAUUUAGUAAUACGAACAUUGAUAUAUUACAUGAUUGAAUAUUUUUUAGAUCAAGUAAUAUAAUUUAUUUUUUAUAAUUAAAAUAGCUGAUACAUAUAUGAAAAACUUAAAGAAUUAAUGAGUGGUAAUGUAUGAUACUUGGUAAAUCAAAUGAUUGAUAGUUGAUAUUUAUAAAAAAAAUUAUUUUGAUGGAUGUGGAGAUUCUUGGAAGAAAAAGUUAAUAAUUUUGUAGAGAGAAAAAAAUACACAGAUAGUUUAAAGAGAUAAAUUCUAAAAUUAUAUACCCUAAAAAUAUUAAAAAUAAAAAAAUUUAUGAACUUUUAACUUAAAACAUUCAUGAUUUAUUUAAAACUAAUGAAUUAUUUUUUUAUGAAAAGAAAGGGUUAAAAUAUUUAUCAUUGUAAUAUUUUAAAUUAUAUUUUAUUUAAAAUAAUACAGAAUUAGAUUUGGACAACCACACUCGGCCACUCUCUUAAACCCCAAUUAUACUCUGAGUUUGGAAUUCCGACCCAUUUCCUUCAGCUCUCGAAUUUGAAAUACCAAAUCCAGUUCAAUUUGAUAUUUUUGUUGUGCCUAUUUUAAGGAAAUUUUAUUUGUUAAUUUUGGGAGGGUUUUUUGUUUUUUUGUUUUUCAGGAUACAUCACUGUCAUAACAAGGACACAUGCUAAACAUCAAUCAUAGUUUUCGAUCCUUUAAGAUUUUCUUGCUCUUUAUAUGUUAUUUUAAUACAAGUUUAAUGCGGGUCUGCCAUGUUGCGUACAUGUCUUCCCAAGGCGUUGAUUUUGUUUCGAGUCUAUAAUUUAAUUCGUUUCUCUCUCUUUUCCUCCGGGUCAAAGCUAGAGCUAAAAGAUGAUGGAUGUAGUCACAUUACAUAGCUGAUGGGUACGAUGAAAAUGUGUUGUUUUAUUCUAAUCUGUUUAUGUUGUCGCUCAUACGACGAGGAGAUCUAAAUGCUUGCACUCAAUGUGUGGACUGUUAAAUAAUAAUUAACAAAUUCUCUAUGGUGUUUCUACUGUGUAUGCACUGUAAGUGCAUCCAUUAAAUUUUUUUGUCUUAAAAUAUAUAUUUUUAAUGUUUUCUUAUUAUUUUAAUAUAAAAAAUAAUUUAAAAAAAAACAAUUUUUUUUAUUUUAAUAUAUUUUUAAAUAAAAACAACUAUAAUCAUUAUAACAAUCCUAAACAUAUUUUUAUAGACAGUGUGAUUGGAUAAAAUAUCAUGUAUGCAUUUAGAGAUAUUUUAUUCUUUAGGGGUGGUUAAUAAUUUUAUAUUGAUUUUAACCAUACAAGUACUGUAAUGACCUUCAAAAGUAAAAAAGCCAUAACCUUUUGAACUUUCCAAUGAUUUCAUUUUUUUGAUGAAUAAUAAAAUUAUUAUAUUAUUCUUAUUAUUUAAAUUUGUUAGCCUUGAUUUCAAGAUUUAAUUGUCAUUUCCUCAUGUUUUUUUUGUUUAGUCCUAGGGAUAUUUUUUGUUUUUUACAAAUUAAUGAACAAUGUAAUUACUCAAUUACCUUUACUAUUCAAAUUUUUUGGCCUUGGGUUUAGGGGCUUGAUUGUAAUUUUCUAAUGAUCUUUUUUUUUUGUCAUUAUUGUUUAGUCCCAAAGGUAUUUUUGGUGUUUUUCAAGUUCAAAAAAAUAGAGAAAAAGUUAAUGACACAUGUCUUGCACAUAUUAGUCGCUUUGCUAUAUUUGGAUGGCGCGUGUGGAUGUUUUGGUGGUGGCAAUCAUUAUUCUGUCACUUUAUUUGAUUCGUCUUAAUGUCCUUUACCUUCUUGUGUGAUGCGUGCAUAGUUAUCAAACCCAACCCGGGUAUUGACUUGGUCAAGGAGCUGGGUCUCGGGUUUUAUGGGUUAACCCGGGUCAACUCGGUAAAUGGUUUUAUGGGUAAACCAUUUCAGACAAGUUUAAGGGAAAAACAACACUUUGUCUAAACUUUAGUCAACAAAAAGAACCCAUUAAAAUCAAAAUCAUCUAUUUUCACAGUCAAGAAUCAGUCUCAACCAAAACUUUUUUUAUCUACCACGGUAAUCUAGUCACUCUCUCAAAUCGAGGAUCAAAAAAAUAAGGAAAAUGAAGUUUAGAAUCGAAAUUGAAUUUCAUAAAUUGUUAAGGACUAAAAGCUUAUAAUCUUAAAAGUUGGGGGCUAAAGUAUAUGUCUAGCCACAGUUCUAGCAAAACCGUAUCUUUUUGUUGUGUUUUUAAUUUUAGUCUCCUCUUUUUGAAUCUUGCCUUCCUUAAUAAAAGUCCUAUAAUUGGUCAUCAAUUUGGGCUUAUAAAGGUGCAAUAAAAAGAAGAAGAAAAUAAGAGGGACUAAAACAAAAUCAUCUAAUUUAAAAAACGGUGCAUAUUAUUGGAUCACUGGAUGAAUUAUUUUUUUAUAAAUAAUAUGAUUUCAUUCUUUGGGUUUUUUUAAAUAUUUGGUGUUCAUCUUGCUGAGAUAGAUUAAAUUUGACAUGAUUAAUUUUUUUUUAUUUAAAUUAAAAGCUGAGCCAAAUUAGACCAAUUAAAUUUAAUAACUAUUAUUGAAACUAAAAUAUAAUCUUUCAACUUUCGGAUUUAGAGUAACUUUUGUUGGGAGUGGGGUGAGAUAGAGAAAAUCAAAGGAAUGAUAAAAUCACAAGGAGAUAUCAUAAAUAGUACUACCACAAGACACCAAAUACUAAUUAUUAUACAUGUUAUUUUAUUAGUUUCGGAACGUCUGAUGAAGGGAAAUACAAUGAGAAAAUUAUAAAAUUGUCUAAAACUCAUGCAAAUCAAAUGAACAUAAGUGUUUCUGUGUGGACAUAUAAUUUGGACCCAAAAAUCACAAUUCUAUCAUUAACCAUGUAUGCUAUCGGUUCCUUAUUUAGAGAUUAGCACCCGUGAACAGUAGCAUGAGCACCGAUGAUACCAGCAGCAACAAUAACAAGUUCAGUAAUUGCUCCUUAUUUGGAUAAUGGAUAUCCGAAACUCAAUUAGGUAUUCAAGAUUUAUAUCCGUUAGGGUUUAGGUGGAUAACAUGACUCCUUAAUUGCAUAGGCGGGACGCAUUAGUGGCUUGCACGGUGGAUUGGAGAGGGUGGCUAUGUUACUUGCUGUUGAACGAAUAACGGGAAGAAGGCACCAGGCAGGAUCUGAUAGCUUGUUAACUCUUCAGACAUUCGUGAGAUUUAAGGAGUCGUGUGCUAAAAUUGAUCUCGAGAAAUUGAAUGGCUAUGAGGGAAUGAUGUUUGGACUGUGUGAAGGCUGGUUAGGGUUCACUUACGCACCUGAUACAUUCAUGGGCAGUACUCUAGUUUGAAGGAAUAUCAAUGGAGUUGUACUCUCAGGUCUAUAAAAUAUUUUCAGCGUCGUUUUUUUUUUUUCGCUUUAACUUUUUAAUCCAAGUUCCUCGAUUUUAUGCUUAUAUUUUCCCCCUUCAGUAGCUCUAUAUUCUGAUUUGUUUUGCAUUGAUUCAAGUUUGCAUUCAUAGGCACUCGACUUUUUUUUGCAAAACUAAUGGAAAUCCAAUUAAAGAUAUUCUUGACAAAUUGAUAAUGAUGACUUAAAAUUAAAGACUAAUAAAUUUUGAAUUUAUGUAUUUUAUGUAAAUUAAGCAGCUAAAGCCUAGCCUAUGUAACUGUUUAAUUUGUUCCCUCUAAUUUAGUACUUUUUUAUAGUUUUGAAAUUUAAAAAAAGAAAAAAUUAAAUGAAAAGAAAUUUAAUUUACUAACACGUUACUAAGAUAGUGUUUGGAACUAUCUCAAAAUAGAAAAAGAUGGACAUGGUUGGGCCGGGAUAAAAGAGACAUGUUUCGUGUCUUUCUUGUAUCAAUCUCAACCGAGAAUUUUUUUUUUUACCACAAGAAUCCAGCCAUUCUCUCAAACCAGGAAUCAAGAAAUAAGAGAAAUAAAAUUUAAAAUCAAAAUUAAAUUCAUGUUAAGGAUUGAAAGCUUAUAAUUUUAAAAGUUAGGAGACUAAAAUAUACGUUUAACUUCAAUUUUAGCAAAAUCAUUUCUCUUUUAUUGUGUUUUUCAUUUUAGUUACCUAUCUUUGAAUCUUGUAUUCCUUAAUAAAUGUGCUAUAAUUGGUUAUCAAUUUGGGUGUAUAAGAGUGCAAUUAAAAAAAAAAAGAAAAGAAAAGAAGAGGGAUUAAAAUAAAUCAUCGCAACAAUCCAUAAUAAUUUGUUUUUUUUAUAAAUAAUGACGCAGGGAAUAAUAUUUUUCCCAUACCUUUUAAAAUAUUACUUAAUAUACCUUUCAAUACCGUUGUUUCCACUAAAUAUAUAAUUGGAAUCCUUCACAUAAGGAAUUAUUUGUUAAUUCACAAAUGAUCAAGUGUUCUUUAACCUGAUUUGAGGUCUAAUUUUUUUAAAAUACAUGCUAUUGGAUCCUUGAUUAAUUUUUUUUAUAAAUGAUAUUAUUUCAUUUUUUUUGUUUUUUUUUUAAAUACUUGGUGUUGAUCUUGCUGUUAGAUUGAACUUGACAGGAUUAAUAUCUUUUUUUUUGUUUAAAUUAAAACCUGAGCCAAAAUAGACCAAAUUUUAAAACUAUGACUGAAACUAAAAUAUAAUCUUUCAAUUUUCCGAUUGAGAAUAACUUUUGAUGGAAGUACUGGGGUGAGAUAGAGAAAAUCAAAGGAGUGAUAAAAUUACACGGAGAGAUCAUAAAUUAAUAGAAAUACCACAAGGCACAAAAUACUAAAUUAUACAUGUUGUUCGAUUAGUUUAGGAACGUCUGAUGAAGGGAAAUACAACGAGAAAAUCUUAAAAUUGUCUAAGACUCAUGCAAAUCAAAUGAACAUAAAUCUUAAUCACCAUGUUUCGUGAGAAAUCAAUGGCUGGACAUCCAAAGAAGGAGCCUUGCCAUUUCUAAAAUCGCCAAUUGUUACUGAAGUAGGAGGCCCAGCAAUUUCCCAUACGUUGGGAACUUCAUCCCUGAUGUUUUCAAGUUCUUUACUACUUUGUUGUGCAUGAAGAGCUCCUUUUGACAGCCGAAUCUGCUCCAACUCUAUCGCCACUUCUCUCAUUGAUGGUCGUUUCCUUCCAUUCAAGUUCAAGCAUCUUCUUGCAAGAUUAGCGACUGCGAUAACUUCUUUCUUCACGGCCCUGCCCCAUAAGUCGUUCAUCAAGAAUAUCAAAUAUCUUGUUCUCUUCCAUCAAAAGAAUAAAAUGAGUGGCUAAACUUCUCCUGUCUUCCGGCCUUUCAUAUGAAAUUGGUUUUUGCCCACUCAAGAGCUCUGCAAGAACAACACCAAAACUGUAGACGUCACUUUUUCCGGUAAACUGGCUAGACUGGAAGUACUCUGGGUCCAAGUAUCCAAAAGUGCCUUGAACAUGAGUGGUUAGAUGAGUUUGAUCAAUGGCGAUCGAUCUUGAAGUUCCGAAAUCUGAUACUUUUGCUCUGAACUUCUCAUCUAACAUUAUAUUUGUAGACUUGAUAUCACGGUGGUAAACCGGAAUGGAUGCUGCGGAAUGAAGAUAAGAAAGUGCCCUAGCAACUUCUGUAGCAAUCCUUAGUCGCAUUUCCCAUGAAAACUCGAACUCCUCCUUCUGGUCAUGAAUAUACUCAAAGAGAUUUCCAUUGGGAAUGAAUUCAUAGACUAAGAGAGGAACCUCCGUCUCUAAACAACAACCUAGCAACUUGACCACAUUUCUAUGAUUGACUUGUGAAAGGAUGACGACCUCAUUGAUAAAUUCUUCCAACUUUUCUUCAUCCACCAUUUUGGAUUUUUUAACAGCCACGAUCAUUCCAUCUGCUAGCAUUCCUUUAUAAACAGUUCCUUGGCCACCUUGACCAAGUAUUCUAUUAUCAUUAAAACGAUCGGUUGCCUUUUCCAGCUCCUUGGAAGUAAAUAUUUUUGUUUUCUGAAUGCUUCCAUCACUUGAGGAUAAUUGUUGCUGCAGCAAUAAACCACCAUUUCGUUUGAAGAACUUCUUCUUCAGUUCAAUGUUCUUUUUUUUUUUUACAAGUUUAUAUAACCGCCAAAUACCAACAAGCAGCAGCAACAAUCCAGUGGCCGCACCUAGAACUGCCAUUGCUCGCAAGGGAAAAAAAAAUAAAAUUGUUAGAUACAUACACACGUAUUAUUAUUGAACAACAAUCCAUGUCAACAAGGUGGUUAAAUGGUUUUUAGGUUGAGGUAACCUUCUGCCGUAUAUUUUUUUAAAUUCUUAUAUUCUUAUAUGUUAUUGUAUCAUUUUUCCCUUAUAUAUCCUCUCACUAUUUUGAACAAAAAGCCAACAAACCUCCAAAAGAAAAUUUAAUUUUAAAAAGCCUAAACAAUAUUUACAAAAACAUAAAAACAUUAAAAAAAUUGAAAAGUGAAAAGUGAAAAAAAAAACUUACUUGAAUAAUAUAAAAAAUAAAAAAAUUUCAUGUCAACAAAGCCUCACAACUAGAAAUUAUAUCUAUGGCAACAAAAUAAGUUUUACAGGUUAUGGAUUUUUCAAAAAAUUUAUGAGUUACCAUAUUUUUUUUUAAAAUAUCUAUGUUCUAUUUAAAAUGUUUUGGUAGUCUCCAGGUUUUUUCAUUUUAGGUUUUUUUUUUAAAAAAUAUGUUAUUAUUAUUUUUUAUCUAUUUUAUUUGUUUUAAUUUCAUGUAUUGUUAAGUUUUCAAUUUUUUUUUUUUUACAUUUGAUAUAUUUUAAGACAAUUUUUAUGUUGGAGGUCUUAGGGGUAUUUUCAUCCAAACAGUAACAAAAGAGUAUAUAAGAGAAAAUAUCUAUAUAUCCGUGCAUACGAAAAAUUUCUUAAAAUGAAUUUUUUUUUAAAUAACACGUGGAAGAAUAAAUCCAAUGCAUAAAGAUAAAUAAAUCAAUUGACCUAAUUUUUUAAAUUAACUUACCACUUUUCUUUUUAUUCCCACAAAUAAAAUCAAUAUUUUUUCUUCUUGAAGUGCAAAUGGAGAACUUUCCAAGUCAAACAUACCGAAUCGAUUAGUAUAAAAAACACUGUUCAACAAUAGCAAUGUAAAACACCUCAAACACGCAAAAAAAAAAAAAACCAUACAAAAAAUUUUAAAAUUUUCUCAUAUAAGUGGAAAAGCGUAAUUAUAGAUAAUUGUACAUUAAGUUUCCAGUUCUUGUCUAUAUUUAAUUAAUUAAAAAAAGAAAGAAAAAGAGAGUGAAAUUAAAAAGAACAGAAUUAUAUCGUAUGCUAUUGUUUACAGGAGAACCAAGGGUAAUUAGAGAAGGGUAAAGAUGUAAAUUAAUAAUUAAGAAAGUACUAUAUAUCAUCGCCUCAUUCUAUCCAUUUUGGGGAGAUAAAAAAGGCAGUCAUGGACGAGAAUUAAUUUUCUCGUAGCUCCCAUUCCAUUCUCUCAGACAAGGGAAAAUAUAUAAUUUCUACUGUCUCCCAAACACAAUUUAUCCUCUAAACAAACGUUUCAGGUUCCUAUAAAUUACGAAGGAAAAAAGAAUUCAGGAAAAAAGUUCCUCUAAAAAGAACUUACUCAAGAAAGUGAUCUUAGCUUUGUCAAGCUCGCACUUGUACCGCCCCGGCACAUUCACACAUUUUGUCAUCCCCGAACACAAAUUUCCCCAAGAGGGAAUUUUGCACUCAUCGAUAUCUGAUUCAGGAAAUCCAACGAGUAUUAUUUUUUCUUAAAACAAAUAGAUAAAAUCACAUUAAGCGUGUUCGAAUCAUACCAGUGCAUCCAUCAGGAAGAUACGGAUUGCCUUCAUAGCCCGAGCUGCAGCAACAAGUAGUUGAAUUGGAAUACAAUGUUACUGUCCUCAAAUCCGACCCACCAGAACUUAAGUUCAAAGGGCGGCUGCAAUACAUUGCAUCAGAAUUCUCCACACCUUCAGGGAUGUCAGUACCAUAAUACAUAAACCAACGCAGGAUAACUGGAACAUAUUGCAUAUAGUGCACCUCCUCGGGACUUGAUAUAUUGUUCCAGAACCAUUCAUCCUCUACUAUAAAAGCUACCUUGCAUUGAUUGCUGCCUUGAUCAUUAGGGUGCUCUGCGUUCCCCAAACUCGCGCUGAACACCUGGAGACUCGAGGGAAUUCUGGUCUGGCAGCAAUUGUUACCAGAACAGUAGCUAUUUUCUUUCCCUUCAGCACUAGUCAAAUUAUUAGCACCGCAAGUUGACGUGCACCCAACAAUUUCUGGCUCAAUUCGAUUCAAUAAAGCACGAUUGUUGCAGCCCCUUGUGAUGAAGAUAUUUGAGGAAGAGAAGGCGAAAGGACUUCCAGUCAUAUCAAUGGAUAUGUUGGCACCUCUACCAGAGCAGCCGGAGGAAAUUAUUGGACUGUUUACUCGAACCAUACUAUUACCGUACCUUAUUGAAAUCUCCAAGACCUCCAUGUUGAUUCUGCUUAAGAAAGCCCUGCUAGGAGAAUCCGCGGUUGUUUUGUUGCAAUCAACUGAGAACCAGUCAUUCAUUGAACAACCUGUUCCUAUUCCAAAUGGAAAAGGGAUGCUAAUGUUUCCACAAGUGUCUUUACAAUUAGGCUUCGCCAUAAUUAGUGCUGAUACAGUUGCUAUUUCAGGGACUAGAAAUAGCAGGAAGAAAAUUAGAGAGACACUACGAGGAAUCAUGGCUUCCCUUCUAUUGCAGAUUUAGAUGCUGCUGGAGAUCAAUAAUGGAAGGAGAGCGAGAGAGAGGGGAAAGAUCUUUCGUUGCCCCCUAUAUUUGUAAGAAAAAAAUACUAAUUGAGACAGAGAAGACUACCUUAAAAGAGUAAACACAAUGAAAAGUUCUCAAAUCAUUUGAAGCAAAUCCAAUGAAAAGUUCUCUCUCAAUCUAUCUAUAUAUAUAAUAUGGUGGCCUUCCAUAUUUUAAAUUCGAGUAGUUGUAGGAUGUUUCUUUCCAACUUCCAAGCUUUGAUUAAUAAUGUAAAAAUAUAUUUACAUUGUUUUUAGCAUUUUCAGCAUUGUUUCAAAAGAAUUUAAAUUUUUAAUGGUAUUUUGAACGCGUUUGAAUUUUCACGCGUUAUUUUUAAAAUAAUUGAUUUUUCUUAUUGAGUCGAUAUUGAUAUUGCUUGUUUUCAAAAAAUAUAAAAAAAUAAGACAAAUCAAAUUUACAAAAAAUAAAGAAGUUGAGGAACUACGUUUGGGGACCAAACAAUAAUUUGCCUAUAAAUAAUAUUUUCCCAAAACCAGCCAAACCUCUCCUCAUCAUCUUCCUUAUCCUCUCUAUAACCCAAGCCCCUAUUUUUUCUCGCAAGCAACAGACUACCUCCUAGACUGAACACGGCGACAAGCCCAACCCCGGUGCUACCAAUAGAAGCGAAGAUCAUCAGCUCAUCAACCGGCCCUAGGAACCAGCCAAAGGACAGCAGCCCACAGACUCAGAUCGGCCGGCCUUCCUCCAGCUCCUCCCUCAUAGACCGAACCAUCUCUCCCCUCCAUUCAGCCUCCAAUAUUAGCGGCCAAAACAACAACUUGAAGCCAGCCGCCACUCACCCUCUCCUGGCCGACCCAACUUCCCCAUAACCGAGAGCAACCCCACAGUGGCUCCUUUCUUCCUCAGGCCGAGCACAUCAGCAACCCCCGUUAUCUUCUUCCCAGUCUUCAAGCGUGCCCACAUACCAGCCUCUAACAGCACCGACAACAACCGUGGUGGAAAGCAGAAGAAACUAGAUCUAAAAAACUAACUACAAUCGACUGAUGUGUGCAUUUUCUUUUUGUUGCAGAUAAUGUAGCUCCUCACCACUGCAAGGAAAGGAAGAGGAGAGGAAGACGUUCCCGAUCCACCGGUUUUCUUGCAUUCAACGGCGAUGGCGCGUGAACCCACACUCUACCACUGUGCAUACAGUUCUAGAAAGCUUCCCAGUGCUGUUAUAGAUUUUUGGGUGUCUAUUUUGUAAAUUUUAAAUUGUUUGAUGUAAUUGUUGUUUAGUUUUUUUUUUUUUGAAUUUUUAUAAUUUUUAGUGUGGAUAUAAAAAAAAAAGGAAAAAAUAUAGUAAAAGUGAAUGUGUUGUUGUUUGUAUUUGUUUUAUGGAUUUUUUUUAUUUUAUUUUUAUGAUAAAACUGCAAAAACAAAAGAAGAAUUUAAUAUUUUGAUUUGCUCACGGUAAAAGAUUAUGAACUUAUACGUAAGUCGUAUUCCUAAUAUCCGAUGAAAUGAUAAAAUUAUUAAAAAAAAAUUUAACACAUCAAAGCCAUGAAGCAACUUAUCUCAAGUAGGGUGCGUUAGGGGUGCUAAUACCUUCCCUAACCACAACCAGUCCCUUACCCGUGAAUCUCUGACAAGACCAGUAUAUUUAGGUUUCCUAGUAACCCUCAAUGAAAUACUAGGUGGCGACUCCCAGAAUCGAACAAGCAAAGGAAUGAAAAUCGCCAACGCCGCCGCUCGAGCACUUGCGACAGAAUGGCGACUCCACUAGGGAAAGUACUGUUUCUGACAAUAUUGGACUAAGCUUUGUGUAUUUGAUGUGUUUUUGCAAUUUUAUCUCUUUUUUUUAAUAUUUUUGUUUGCUUGCAUUUUAUAGAAUUGUUUCAUGCAUCACAUGUCUUUAUUUUUUAAAGCACACACAAGCUUUUAGGUUAGGUGAGGAACUAGUGAUCUGCCCUAUGACUAUUGGUCAAGGUUCAGAUGCAUGAAACACCCAACUCAUAUCUGAGUGCUUGCUUGGUAAUGGUGGGUAUACGUGCCUUAACCAUUUCUCACAACGCCUCUAUAUUGUCUUUACGAAGAUCGUCACUGAGCAGAUGUAAGACCCUUUUGAGAUCAGGUAGAAAACCUACCCAUGUUUAUAUAAUGAAUAGAACUUGUCCUUAGGUUAUAUGUGCUAUCUUUAUUUACAUCAAGGCAAACCCUUCUUGAAGCAUCUUGAACUCAAGACUUAUGGGUGACACAAUGAUCAUCACUCAUAAAAUUUUCAUUGUAAAGUUUGGGCAAGAAUCAAGAUUCUUGUUUCAUCAUGCAAGAGUUACGAUCAUAUCUCACCCCUCGAAGAACGAGUUCAUCAUAUAGAUUACAUGUUCAUACAUUUGUCAUGCAUGCACUGGGAUGAAAAGUAGAUACCCGGACAUCUCUCUUGAUUUUUAAGGAAGCAUCUCCAAUUAGUAUCCUUAAUCAUUUUAACUCAUCGUUUAUACUUUUCAAUCGCAUCAUCAUUCUUUUUAUAGUACUAAUUGUAUCUCAAAUUACUAUUUUAUAUUUUUUAUUAUUAACUUCUCAAUCAAAAUUUAGUUAGUACACCGAACCUUUUAAAUUGCAAACUUUCAAACAAUGUCCAAGCAUAAUUAAAUCAUUAAAACACCAAUAUUUACACAAUUUUUUUCCUUCCAUCAUUUCACAUUCAACCCACAUAAUCCCAUAUCUAGAAAUUCAAUUCAUCAAGAAUCACAAUCAUGAUCAAACAUAACUUCAUCAUCAUACUAUUCAAGUUUAAGCAUCACAUUAUCUUUCUAUCCUCAAAACCACACAAUUUAGCCAAAAUUACACAUUUACACCAUUCCAACAUAUUGCAGCAAUAACUAACUACCUAGCGAUCCAUAUCACAACAUUCCAUUUCGACCCCAAGCAUUCCCAACAUCAUUUUAAAAUAUUAAAAUCACAUAAUUUAAUCAAGCUUCCACAUUUCCCCAAAAUCCCUACCAUGUCUGCCCACUCAUGGUCCCAAAUUUCAAAACUUUAGUUUUUAAUAUCUUUAAUUUAAUCCUUAGCCAUGUUAUCUAACCCAAAAUUAACCAAUAACUAUACUAUGUCACCUUUCCAAAUACAAACACACAUAAAUCCUAAAUUUCUAAAUUUGGGGAUUUUCAGUCCCCAUAAAAAUUAACAAAAGAAAGUGCAUUUAGAGCAAUAGAAACAUCUUGCCACAAUCAAUUAACCCAAUUUGUUAAUCCCUUUGCAAGAAAUCCCAAGAUGUUCUGUAGUACAUCUCAAAUCUUCUUCUUGUUCCUUAGUUUUAUAUUUUUGUUUUGUUGUCCUUAAACUCCUACAACACUAGUUUUUUAUUCCAACAAAAAACACUAACAUCAACUGAUACAAUUUUUUAUUUCCAAUUCUUUCAAGUUUCUUUUUUUUUUUUACCGUUAACUUUUUUUCUUGUUUGGCUGCUACGGAAAGAAGAGAAGAAAGAUUGUAAAUCCAUUGUUUAGAAGUCGAAACAAAAUAAAUUUCAGAAUCAUAGGAAUUUAAUACUUCAAAAAGGAGGUUAUCUUUCUGAAAUCGAAUUCCUAUUCCAAAUGGAAAAGGGAUGCUAAUAUUUCCACAAGUUUAUGUAGGAUUUGGUGUUGGGAUGUUUCUUUCCAACUUCCAAGCUUUGAUUAAUAAUGUAUAAAUUAUUUCUCAAAUUGAUGUUUCUGUUCAAAAUAAUGCAUCUUUAAAAUUUAUGGUCAAGUCAUUGUUUAUGUUUAGCAUCUUUUGUUUCCAUUAUGUCGAUCUUUUGCAUUGUCGAGCAGAGAAAGAUUGAUAAAAGCUAAAGCAUCAGCAUGAAGGCCAAAAGCUGAUAGCUUACGCUGCAUUUCUUGGGUCCAGUCGGAAAGUGAACAUUGAGAAGAAAUAAUGUAUAAAUUAUUUCUCAAAUUGAUGUUUCUGUUCAAAAUAAUGCAUCUUUAAAAUUUAUGGUCAAGUCAUUGUUUAUGUUUAGCAUCUUUUGUUUCAUUAUGUCGAUCUUUUGCAUUGUCGAGCAGAGAAAGAUUGAUAAAAGCUAAAGCAUCAGCACGAAGGCCAAAAGCUGAUAGCUUACGCUGCAUUUCUUGGGUCCAGUCGGAAAGUGAACAUUGAGAAGAAAUAAUGUAUAAAUUAUUUCUCAAAUUGAUGUUUCUGUUCAAAAUAAUGCAUCUUUAAAAUUUAUGGUCAAGUCAUUGUUUAUGUUUAGCAUCUUUUGUUUCCAUUAUGUCGAUCUUUUGCAUUGUCGAGCAGAGAAAGAUUGAUAAAAGCUAAAGCAUCAGCACGAAGGCCAAAAGCUGAUAGCUUACGCUGCAUUUCUUGGGUCCAGUCGGAAAGUGAACAUUGAGAAGAAAUAAUGUAUAAAUUAUUUCUCAAAUUGAUGUUUCUUUCCAUAUAUAUAUAUAUAUAUAUAUAUAUAUAUAUAUAUAUAUAUAUAUUAUUGUAACGGGGUGUCCGGCCAGCUGCGCGCACCACAACUAAUCCCGGCUCACUGAACAUCCUGCAAGCCCAAUGAGCAUGUAAGGCACCGCGGGGUGACAGACAUACACAUAGAGGGUUGAACCCGGGAUGGGGACGGAACAAGUCACACGAUUGACCACAGCACUGGACCUCAAGUGUUUCUUUCCAUAUUUUUAAUUCGAGUAGUCGUAGGGUGUUUCUUUCCAACUUCCAAGCUUCAUUAAUAAUGUAUAAAUUCCACAAGACUAUAAAUUAAGACUCCCAAAUUGAUGAGUGAUGGUGACUUUCGUCUAACCAAUUCAAAGACGAUUAGUCUAAAAGUAAAGAGAAGAAACAGUAGGCUGUGAACCACUCAAAUGUGUUGGAACUCAGAAUAGAGAAAUUAAAGAUAAUAGAAAGGUAGCGUGUAGACGACGAUGCUAUGAAUAAAACAGGGGAAGAAAAGUCGUUUCUCUUAGUGCCAAGAUCUUAUUAUAAUGUGGAAUAUCCAGUAGAUAAGUACUCAGAAUGAACAUAUAUUUAGAAAUUAAUCAGCAAUCAGCUAGCAAACCUAAUUCAAAAAGAGAUUGGAAGAUUGUGUUUAGUUAAUGUUAUAGGAUGUAAUGAACAUAUACAAAAGGGAUAGAAAAAUCACCAAAUCAAAGUUCUCCUUAUUAAUGCAAGUGUUUUGUUUUAAAAAAUUCUCACAGGAAUAGUGUCCGACUUGCAGUGACGAAGUACAAUUACUUAAUAAUUUAACUAUUUUAUUAUCAUAGAAUUUUAAAUAAUCUAAGAGGAAGCUACAAUUUUUUUCUUCUGUUUUACUUUUCAACAAAAACUAAUAAUCCAUUAUAACUCUUAAAUUAAAUCAAUUUUUUUUUAUAGAAAUUCUAUAUCAUGGAGAAACUUAACCGAAAUUUUCAAUGUAAAAUCUAAAACUUAAGUUAUUGGACAGAGUGUUUCUGUGUGGACAUAUAAUUUGGACCCAAAAAUCACAAUUCUAUCAUUACCCAUGUAUGCUUUCGGUUCCUUGUUUAGAGAUUAGCACCCGUGAACAGUAGCAUGAGGACCGAUGAUACCAGCAGCAACCAUAACAAGUCCAGUAAUUGCUCCUUAUUUGGAUAAUGGAUAUCCGAAACUCAAUUAGGUAUUCAAGAUUUAUAUCCGAAACGUUUUUCUUUUCUUUUCUAAUGGAAAAUAAAUAAAUAUAUUUGUUUAUUUAUUGAGAAUAAAAAAGAUUUUUUUCAAAUAUAUUUGCAUCGUUUUUAGCAUUUUCAGCAUCGUUUCAAAAGAAUUUAAAUUUUUAAUGGUCUUUUAAACGCGUUUGAAUUUUCACGCGUUAUUUUUAAAAUAAUUGAUUUUUCUUAUUGAGUCGAUGUUGAUAUUGCUCGUUUUUAAAAAAUAUAAAAAAAUAAAACAAAUCAAAUUUACAAAAAAUAAAGAAGUUGAGGAACUAAGUUUGGGGACCAAACAAUAAUUUGCCUAUAAAUAAUAUUUUCCCAAAACCAGCCAAACCUCUCCUCAUCAUCUUCCUUAGCCUCUCUAUAACCCAAGCCCCUAUUUUUUCUCGCAAGCAACAGACUACCUCCUAGACUGAACACGGCGACAAGCCCAACCACCGGUGCUACCAAUAGAAGCGAAGAUCAUCAGCUCAUCAACCGGCCCUAGGAACCAGCCAAAGGACAGCAACCCACAGACUCAGAUCGGCCGGCCUUCCUCCAGCUCCUCCCUCAUAGACCGAACCAUCUCUUCCCUCCAUUCAGCCUCCAAUAUUAGCGGCCAAAACAACAACUUGAAGCCAACCGCCACUCACCCUUUCCUGGCCAACCCAACUUCCCCAUAACCGAGAGCAACCCCACAGUGGCUCCUUUCUUCCUCAGGCCGAGCACAUCAGCAACCCCCAUUAUCUUCUUCCCAGUCUUCAAUCGUGCCCACAUACCAGCCUCUAACAGCACCGACAACAACCGUGGUGGAAAGCAAAAGAAACUAGAUCUAAAAAACUAACUACAAUAGACUGAUGUGUGCACUUUCUUUUUGUUGCAGAUAAUGUAGCUCCUCACCACUGGCAAGGAAAGGAAGAGGAGAGGAAGACGUUCCCGAUCCACCGGUUUUCUUGCAUUCAACGGCGAUGGCGCGUGAACCCACGCGCUACCACUGUGCAUACAGUUUUAGAAAGCUUCCCAGUGCUGUUAUAGAUUUUUGGGUGUCUAUUUUGUAAAAUUUAAAUUGUUUGAUGUAAUUGUUGUUUAGUUUUUUUUUUUUUAAAUUUUUUUAAAUUUUUAGUGUGGAUAUAAAAAAAAAAAAAAAAGGAAAAAAUAUAGUAAAAGUGAAUGUGUGUUGUUUGUACUUGUUUUAUGGAAUUUUUUUUAUUAUUUUAUUUUUAUGAUAAAACUGCAAAAACAAAAGAAGAAUUUAAUAUUUUGAUUUGCUCAUGGUAAAAGAUUAUGAACUUAUACGUAAGUCGUAUUCCUAAUAUCUGAUGAAAUGAUAAAAUUAUUAAAAAAAAAUUUAACACAUCAAAGCCAUGAAGCAACUUAUCUCAAGUAGGGUGCGUUAGGGGUGCUAAUACCUUCCCUAACCACAAUCAGUCCCUUACCCGUGAAUCUCUGACAAGACCAGUAUAUUUAGGUUUUCUAGUAACCCUCAAUGAAAUACUAGGUGGCGACUCCCAGAAUCGAACAAGCAAAGGAAUGAAAAUCGCCAAUGCCGUCGCUCGAGCACUUGCGACAGAAUGGCGACUCCACUAGGGAAAGUACUGUUUCUGACAAUAUUGGACUAAGCUUUGUGUAUUUGAUGUGUUUUUGCAAUUUUAUCUCUCUUUUUUUUAAUAUUUUUGUUUGCAUGCAUUUUAUAGAAUUGUUUCAUGCAUCACAUGUCUUUAUUUUUUAAAGCACACACAAGCUUUUAGGUUAGGUGAGGAACUAGCGAUCUGCCCUAUGACUAUUGGUCAAGGUUCAGAUGCAUGAAACACCCAACUCAUAUCUGAGUGCUUGCUUAGUAAUGGUGGGUAUACGUGCCUUAACCAUUUCUCACAACGCCUCUAUACUGUCUUUACGAAGAUCGUCACUGAGCGGAUGUAAGACCCUUUUGAGAUCAGGUAGAAAACCUACCCAUGUUUAUAUAAUGAAUAGAACUUGUCCUUAGGUUAUAUGUGCUAUCUUUAUUUACAUCAAGGCAAACCCUUCUUGAAGCAUCUUGAACUCAAGACUUAUGGGUGACACAAUGAUCAUCACUCAUAAAAUUUUCAUUGUAAAGUUUGGGCAAAAAUCAAGAUUCUUGUUUCAUCAUGCAAGAGUUACGAUCAUAUCUCAGCCCUCGAAGAACGAGUUCAUCAUAUAGAUUACAUGUUCAUACAUUUGUCAUGCAUGCACUGGGAUGAAAAGUAGAUACCCGGACAUCUCUCUUGAUUUUUAAGGAAGCAUCUCCAAUUAGUAUCCUUAAUCAUUUUAACUCAUCGUUUAUACUUAUUCAAUCGCAUCAUCAUUCUUUUUAUAGUACUAAUUAUAUCUCAAAUUACUAUUUUAUAUUUUUUAUUAUUAACUUCUCACUCCACUACAAGAUUUCACAGUUUUAUCGACGGAACUAUUCCGUCGGUGUGUGAUAGAAAGUUCGUCGGUAAAUUAUUUACCGACUAUAUUACCGACGGAAUAUGCCCGUCGGAAUACUUUUUUGUCGGUGAUUCCAUAUUCCGUCGCUAUAUUAAUCGGUAAUAUCAAAAAAAUAUUUACCGACGGUUUUACCGACGGACAAGUUUAAGGGUGGAUUACAUAUUAAAGUAGUCAUAGGGACUGUGACUCUGGUACGGGCUUGUAUUGUUUUCGAGAUUGGGAUUUGUUUUUGUCACCAAAUAAAAUAGUGAGAGCCUGAAAGGUAUGUAUGCUCGGCUGCUCACCAAGUUAGGGUAUCUGUGGACAGAUUAGAGGCAUAUCUGAGAAUGGAGAUGACAGUUGGGUGGAGUUUCCCGAGUAAAUGUCGUCUCCUGAACGAGAGAGAGAGAGCGUGUGGCGGGACCCAUCAUCGCACAUAGCUAGCUAUAUUUGCAUCUUCCUCUCGGUAUUAGGAAUCAUGAUAAAGGAAGUUUAGGAUUAAAAAAUUUAUCUUUUAUAUGAUUUUAAAUUAAAGUCAUGUAAUUAUUAAUAAAAUAAUUAUUAAAAAUUUAUAUUAUCAUUAAUUUUAAAAUUAAUUGCGAUAUGCGAAAGCUAAACCGGAUAAUUAUAAUAAUAAUAAUAAUAAUAAAUAAAUAAAAAUUGUUUGAGGUGAGCAUAUAAAAUAAAUCAAUCACCUUAAAAAUGGUUGUCCACAUUUUAUUUGGGUGUCGAGAAUGAUGCAUGCCCUUGAAGUUGAAGUGGGUUUGGAACACGACCAUUCAUUAAUAGGACAAGUUCCUAUCAUGUCAUGUGAGCCCCAUCCACAGUAAUGAGUGGUAACCUCGUCGAGAUUCAUCAUGAUCUCUUGAGCACUUUUAUCUUUAUCCCCUUUCCAUCAUUUAGAAUAUUGGAUGGUUAUGUAAAAUUGGUCUGAAUUGAAAGAAAGUAAAAUGGUUCGAAGAUAUUCUGGCCUGUGCGUUGGUGGACAGUAUGGCAUUAUAUUGGUUUGUGAGUUGUGAUUAAUCAUCUCUGGAUGCACCCACCCUGCCACCCACCAUGUGUUGAAAAAAUAAAUAAAUCCAGCCUACUUACGGUCAGGCACGAUACGAGGUGGAGUUCUUUUGUAAUAUCAUGUUUUAACAUUCGAUUGAGAAAGGAACUUAAUGAGUAUAAGUAUGAUUCUUUCAAGUAAUUUGUUCAUGGCAUGGGAUCGAGGGUUUUAUAGAUGCUCUGUCGUUGUAAGAAUAUUCAUUUAUGUGUUAUUUGAGCACCUUAUAAUUAAAUAACAAAUAAUUGUUAACAUGUAUCGAGUGUGUAUUUGACUAUAUAAUUUAAAAAAUCAAAGAUAAUAAAAUGAGAAAAUCAAAAUCCAUAUGUAUAUAAUUAAUUCAUCACCACCAAUACCAUCACAUCAAUUUUUAGAUUUGAAAGUUGUGUUUAGUGAUUUACACGAUGUUUUAAAUUGUUUACUAUUGUUGUUUAUUUUUAUGUUUAAAAAAAAAGGUUUGACUAUAAAUAACUUUCAGCUUAAAUUAAAUAUUUGUUAUAUAAUUAACUGUGUCAAUUUUUUUAUUUAGUCAAAAGUUAAAAUUUUAAACUUGUAAUUUAUGAACUAUAUAUUUAUAUUGCAUGUUUUCUUUAAGCAAAACUAUUUUUUUAGUCAUUUUUAUCAAACAAUGUCUCCAAUUCAAAAUUAUUUAGAUGUUAUUGUAUUGUAAGUUAUUUACGAGGAACAACCUAUAAGAUGACUUAAAGUCAAAGGUCAUAUUUCAUAAAUCAGCCCAGAUGUAUACUUUUAUAUCCUUUUGAUUUAAUUAUUUAAAAAAAAAACAUUUUACUAAUAAAUUCUAACUUGCACUGCAUCUCUUCUUCAAAAAAAAAAAAAAACCACCUUUAGGCUUUAGCCAUUUUUUAUCACACACACAUAUAUAUUUAUAACUUAAAGUCAUUUUAACUUGUUUUUAUCAUAAUUUAUUUAUGAAAAAUAAUUUUUGAAUUAUGACUCAAGUCAAAAGUCAAUUCUAUUAGUUAUGUAAGACACAGUCAAAGAGUCCGUUUGAAAUGAUCUGUGAAAAAAUAAGUUUUAGAUCUUGAAUCAUGAUCCAAAGGUUAUUUUUUUACAAGUAAUUUAUGAUAAAAAUAAGUUGAAAAUGAUUUAAAUUAGAAGUAUCUCCAGUAAAAAUAAUUAAAAAUGAUUUUUCAAAGAAGAAAUGCAGUAUAAGUAGAUUCUACAAGUUAAAAAAUCUAAUAUUUAAUAAAAUAAAAAACUUAACUCAAUUUUAUAAUACAAUAAGCUCGCAUAUAAAAUUUUAUUUUAAUUAAAUAUAUUUAUGAUUUUCUUUCAAGUCAAGAGUUUAAAAAAUAAUUUAAAUAAACUUGUAAAGAUUAUACUAAACGAAACCUAAACCAAGAUAGUUCACCAGAAAACAAAGUUCAUGAUUGCAGUCACCGAAUAGCACAAGUUACUUUUAGACAAUUUUGUAUCGAAUACGCACUUUUUUAAUGCAAGCCGUAAGUAGUGUUUUCGUCCUCUCCUUUUCCCCUGCAAAGUUAAGGCUUUAAAAAAGCCCAUUUCUUUAUAUCAGGCUGGUUCGGUGGCACCGCAAGUGGAAGUCAUCCUUCAAGGAGGAUGAUGAAAUUUGUACAAUUCUCCCCGUCACGACACAUUGAGCUAUCUAAUCAGUAUUAAAAUCUAAGAUAUUUAGUAAUACGAACAUUGAUAUAUUACAUUGAUAUAUUAAUGUAUGAUACUUGGUAAAUCAAAUUAUUGAUAGUUGAUAUUUAUAAAAAAAUUAUUUUGAUGGAUGUGGAGAUUCUUGAAAGAAAAAGUUAAUAAUUUUGUAGAGAGAAAAAAAUACACAGAUAGUUUAAAGAGAUAAAUUCUAAAAUUAUAUACCCUAAAAAUAUUAAAAAUAAAAAAAUUUAUGAACUUUUAACUUAAAACAUUCAUGAUUUAUUUAAAACUAAUGAAUUAUUUUUUUAUGAAAAGAAAGGGUUAAAAUAUUUAUCAUUGUAAUAUUUUAAAUUAUAUUUUAUUUAAAAUAAUACAGAAUUAGAUUUGGACAACCACACUCAGCCAGUCUCUUAAACCCCAAUUAUACUCUGAGUUUGGAAUUCCGACCCAUUUCCUUCAGCUCUCGAAUUUGAAAUACCAAAUCCAGUUCAAUUUGAUAUUUUUGUUGUGCCUAUUUUAAGGAAAUUUUAUUUGUUAAUUUUGGGAGGGUUUUUUGUUUUUUUUUUUUCAGGAUACAUCACUGUCAUAACAAGGACACAUGCUAAACAUCAAUCAUAGUUUUCGAUCCUUUAAGAUUUUCUUGCUCUUUAUAUGUUAUUUUAAUACAAGUUUAAUGCGGGUCUGCCAUGUUGCGUACAUGUCUUCCCAAGGCGUUGAUUUUGUUUCGAGUCUAUAAUUUAAUUCGUUUCUCUCUCUUUUCCUCCGGGUCAAAGCUAGAGCUAAAAGAUGAUGGAUGUAGUCACAUUACAUAGCUGAUGGGUACGAUGAAAAUGUGUUGUUUUAUUCUAAUCUGUUUAUGUUGUCGCUCAUACGACGAGGAGAUCUAAAUGCUUGCACUCAAUGUGUGGACUGUUAAAUAAUAAUUAACAAAUUCUCUAUGGUGUUUCUACUGUGUAUGCACUGUAAGUGCAUCCAUUAAAUUUUUUUGUCUUAAAAUAUAUAUUUUUAAUGUUUUCUUAUUAUUUUAAUAUAAAAAAUAAUUUAAAAAAAACAAUUUUUUUUAUUUUAAUACAUUUUUAAGUAAAAACAACUAUAAUCAUUAUAACAAUCCUAAACAUAUCUUUAUAGACAGUGUGAUUGGAUAAAAUAUCAUGUAUGCAUUUAGAGAUAUUUUAUUCUUUAGGGGUGGUUAAUAAUUUUAUAUUGAUUUUAACCAUACAAGUACUGUAAUGACCUUCAAAAGUAAAAAAGCCAUAACCUUUUGAACUUUCCAAUGAUUUCAUUUUUUUGAUGAAUAAUAAAAUUAUUAUAUUAUUCUUAUUAUUUAAAUUUGUUAGCCUUGAUUUCAAGAUUUAAUUGUCAUUUCCUCAUGUUUUUUUUGUUUAGUCCUAGGGAUAUUUUUUGUUUUUUACAAAUUAAUGAACAAUGUAAUUACUCAAUUACCUUUACUAUUCAAAUUUUUUGGCCUUGGGUUUAGGGGCUUGAUUGUAAUUUUCUAAUGAUCUUUUUUUUUGUCAUUAUUGUUUAGUCCCAAAGGUAUUUUUGGUGUUUUUCAAGUUCAAAAAAAUAGAGAAAAAGUUAAUGACACAUGUCUUGCACAUAUUAGUUGCUUUGCUAUAUUUGGAUGGCGCGUGUGGAUGUUUUGGUGGUGGCAAUCAUUAUUCUGUCACUUUAUUUGAUUCGUCUUAAUGUCCUUUACCUUCUUGUGUGAUGCGUGCAUAGUUAUCAAACCCAACCCGGGUAUUGACCUGGUCAAGGAGCUGGGUCUCGGGUUUUAUGGGUUAACCCGGGUCAACUCGGUAAAUGGUUUUAUGGGUAAACCAUUUCAGACAAGUUUAAGGGAAAAACAACACUUUGUCUAAACUUUAGUCAACAAAAAGAACCCAUUAAAAUCAAAAUCAUCUAUUUUCACAGUCAAGAAUCAGUCUCAACCAAAACUUUUUUUAUCUACCACGGUAAUCUAGUCACUCUCUCAAAUCGAGGAUCAAAAAAAUAAGGAAAAUGAAGUUUAGAAUCGAAAUUGAAUUUCAUAAAUUGUUAAGGACUAAAAGCUUAUAAUCUUAAAAGUUGGGGGCUAAAGUAUAUGUCUAGCCACAGUUCUAGCAAAACCGUAUCUUUUUGUUGUGUUUUUAAUUUUAGUCUCCUCUUUUUGAAUCUUGCCUUCCUUAAUAAAAGUCCUAUACUUGGUCAUCAAUUUGGGCUUAUAAAGGUGCAAUAAAAAGAAUAAGAAAAUAAGAGGGACUAAAACAAAAUCAUCUAAUUUAAAAAACGGUGCAUAUUAUUGGAUCACUGGAUGAAUUAUUUUUUUUAUAAAUAAUAUGAUUUCAUUCUUUGGGUUUUUUUAAAUAUUUGGUGUUCAUCUUGCUGAGAUAGAUUAAAUUUGACAUGAUUAAUUUUUUUUUUAAAUUAAAAGCUGAGCCAAAUUAGACCAAUUAAAUUUAAUAACUAUUAUUGAAACUAAAAUAUAAUCUUUCAACUUUCGGAUUUAGAGUAACUUUUGUUGGGAGUGGGGUGAGAUAGAGAAAAUCAAAGGAGUGAUAAAAUCACAAGGAGAUAUCAUAAAUAGUACUACCACAAGACACCAAAUACUAAUUAUUAUACAUGUUAUUUUUUAGUUUCGGAACGUCUGAUGAAGGGAAAUACAAUGAGAAAAUUAUAAAAUUGUCUAAAACUCAUGCAAAUCAAAUGAACAUAAGUGUUUCUGUGUGGACAUAUAAUUUGGACCCAAAAAUCACAAUUCUAUCAUUAACCAUGUAUGCUUUCGGUUCCUUAUUUAGAGAUUAGCACCCGUGAACAGUAGCAUGAGGACCGAUGAUACCAGCAGCAACAAUAACAAGCUCAGUAAUUGCUCCUUAUUUGGAUAAUGGAUAUCCGAAACUCAAUUAGGUAUUCAAGAUUUAUAUCCGUUAGGGUUUAGGUGGAUAACAUGACUCCUUAAUUGCAUAGGCGGGACUGGCCCUUGUUGGACGUCCACGCAUUGGUGGAUCUAUGUUGCCCGCAAAGAGAAAUCACCUGCGAUUAGUUGGGCUUCCGGCCCCUUAUAUUUAAACAGUGAUGAGCUCACAGCCAUCUGGCCCGUUUAGGUUUUGUCCAAAGAGAUAAGUGUGGAGUUGAAAUCGGGUUUUACUUUACCCGACUCAAAAUGUCUCCAUCAUAGAUUUUUUAUCAUUUGUCCAUACCUCCAAUCUAGUGAAGUCGGGUUACAUGGAUGGCUUUCUAGUAUCCAUCAAAAACCCCAUCUGAUCUAGGUGUUUUUUUUUAAUAAAAAAAUUGAUUUUAUCAAAAUAUACUUUAAUAAAACAAAUCGAAUCAUAAAAUAAAAUAAUUUUUAUAUUUUAUAUAUAUAUAAAAAUAUUUAAAUUAUCAUUAAAGUAUCUUAAAUAAAAAUUCUAAUUAAUUUUUUAUAUAUAAAUUAUUGAGUCUGACGAUCAAAUCCAAAAUACUUGGGUAUUAUAAACAUUCUUUAUUUGAUGAACAAUAAAAUAAAUCAUAAAAGAAAACCACAAAUAACCAAAAUAAAACAAAAGGAUUGUGAAAUUAUUAUUAUUACAAUUUAUAAAAUAUCUUCCAUGUUAUUUAUUUAAAUUUUAUUUUCCAAGUGUAACUUUUAAAGAAUAAAAUAAUAUAUGGUAAAAUUUAAUUGGUAGAAAAUUUAUUUUUCUGGAUAUAGUUUAUCUGUGUUGUAAGUUUUUUGAUGAAUGAAAUCAUUAUUCAAUGAACGAAGAAGCAAGAUCGACCUGCUACAAAGUUAUAAUUUGUCUUCUUGAUUUAGCAAAAUCAUAAUUUGUCACAGAAAACCACUCCCUCUAUUUCAAAGAUAUUGUUCACCUUUCAUUCCUAAAAUUAUAAUCCAUGAUUAAAAACAUUAAACAAUUAAUUACUUGAUUUUACUUUUAUACCGCUAAUUAUAAUUUAUUUUAAUUCUUCCACUCAAGAUUCUCUCUUAUUUACUUUCAAAUGAUGAAUGAAAUAAUUUGAAAUAAGAUACGUAAAUAAUUGCUGAAAAGUUAAAUGAAAUAAUAUCUUUGAAACAGAUGGAUUGAACAAUACAUGCAAUUUGUUUUUUUAAUCCCUCCCUGAUUGGAUAUUAGGUAGGCAAUUAAGUGUCUUAUUCGUUAAGGACUCCUUGAUUAUAUAAAGAGGUUGUAAUUAUAAACCGAAUUAAUUUAAGACACUGAAAGUAGAACUCCAUUAGGACAAUCCUUCUCACGGCAGGAAACCUUUUCUAAUUUUGAGAUGGGAAACCAGAAGAAACAAGGAUUCCAUACACUCCUCAUCAACUUCGGACCAGAUCUUGGCUAUAGAUUGACAACUAAAGCCAUUGAAAUAGCUCAACUUGCAUUAGAUCUUCAAAUCACAACAGCGUCAAAUUAUUAGCACCGCAAGUUGACGUGCACCCAACAAUUUCUGGCUCAAUUCGAUUCAAUAAAGCACGAUUGUUGCAGCCCCUUGAGGAUAAUUGUUGCUGCAGCAAUAAACCACCAUUUCGUUUGAAGAACUUCUUCUUCAGUUCAAUGUUCUUUUUUUUUUUUACAAGUUUAUAUAACCGCCAAAUACCAACAAGCAGCAGCAACAAUCCAGUGGCCGCACCUAGAACUGCCAUUGCUCGCAAGGGAAAAAAAAAUAAAAUUGUUAUAUGUUAUUGUAUAUUCAUUUUUUUCCCCUUAUAUAUCCUCUCACUAUUUUGAACAAAAAAGCCAACAACAACCUCCAAAAGAAAAUUUAAUUUUAAAAAGCCUAAAACAAUAUUUACAAAACAUAUAAAACAUUAAAAAAAUUGAAAAGUGAAAGUGAAAAAAAAAAACUUACUUGAAUAAUAUAAAAAAUAAAAAAAUUUCAUGUCAACAAAGCCUCACAACUAGAAAUUAUAUCUAUGGCAACAAAAUAAGUUUUACAGGUUAUGGAUUUUUAAAAAAAUUUAUGAGUUACCAUUAAAAAAAAUAUAUCUAUGUUCUAUUUAAAAUGUUUUGGUACUCUCCAGGUUUUGUCAUUUCUAGGUUACUUUUUUUUUUUUAAAUAUGUUUUUAAUUUUUUUUUCCUAUUUUAUUUGUUUUUCAUGUCUUGUUAAGUUUUCAAAAAUUAAUUAUUUUUUUUUAACUUUGAUAUAUUUUAAGACUUAAUUUUUAUGUUGGAGGUCUUAGGGGUAUUUUCAUCCAAACAGUAACAAAAGAGUAUAUAAGAGAAAAUAUCUAUAUAUCCGUGCAUACGAAGACUGAAAAUUUCUUAAAAUGAUUUCUUUUUAAAUAACACAUGGAAGAAUAAAUCCAAUACAUAAAGAUAAAUAAAUCAAUUAACCUAAUUUUUUAAUUAACAUACCACUUUUCUUUUUAUUCCCACAAAUAAAAUCAAUAUUUGUUUUUUACAAAUAGUUGUUUUCUUCUUGUAGUGCAAAUGGAGAACUUUCCAAGUCAAACAUACCGAAUCGAUUAGUAUUUAAAAUUUUCCCACAAAUAAAAUUUAAUUUAUCCUCUAAACCAAUGUUUCAGGUUCCUAUAAAUUACGAAGGAAAAAAGAAUUAAGAGAUAGGAACUUACUCAAGAAAGUGAUCUUAGCUUUGUCAAGCUCGCACUUGUACCGCCCCGGCACAUUCACACAUUUUGUCAUCCCCGAACACAAAUUUACCCGAGGGAAUUUUGCACUCAUCGAUAUCUGAUUCAGGAAAUCCAAAGAGUAUAUUCAUGUGAUUGCCUUGUGAUUGGAGCCAUUCAAAAGUACUAGAAUGAGUAUUAUUUUUUCUUAAAACAAAUAGAUUAAAUCACAUUAAGCGUGUUCGAAUCAUACCAGUGCAUCCAUCAGGAAGAUACGGAUUGCCAUCAUAGUCAUCGUUGCACAUACAAAUAGUUGAAUUGGAAUACAAUGUUUCUGUUCUCAAACCCAACCCACCAGAACUUAUUGGAAUACAAUACCUUGCAUUAGAAUACAAUGUUACACCUUCAGGGAUGUCAGUACCAUAAUACACAAACCAAUCCACGAUAACUGGAACAUAUUGCCUAUGUAGCACCUCCUGGCGACUUGAUAUAUUGUUCCGGAACCAUGCUCUCUCUACUAUAAAAGCUACCUUGCAUCGAUUGCUGCCUUGCUCUGCGUUCCCCAAACUCGCGCUGAACACCUGGAGACUCGAGGGAAUUCUGGUCUGGCAGCAAUUGUUACCAGAACAGUAGCUAUUUUCUUUCCCUUCAGUACUAGAACUAGUCAAAUUAUUAGCACCGCAAGUUGACGUGCACCCAACAAUUUCUGGCACAAGUCCGUUCAAUAAAGCACGAUUGUUGCAGCCCAUUGCGAUGAAGAUAUUUGAGGAAGAGAAGGAGAAAGGACUUCCAGUCAUAUUAAUGGAUAUGUUGGCACCUCUACCAGAACAGCCGGAGGAAAUUAUUGGACUGUUUACUCGAACCGUACUGUCCUCUAAUGAAAUCUCCAAGACCUCCAUGUUGAUUCUGCUUAAGAAAGCCCUGCUGGGAGAAUACGCAGUUGCUUCUUUGCAAUCAACUGAGAACCACUCAUUCUUGAAACAACCUGUUCCUAUUCCAAAUGGAAAAGGGAGCUAAUGUUUCCACAAGUGUCUUUACAAUUAGGCUUCGCCAUAAUUAGUGCUGAUACAGUUGCUAUUUCAGGGACUAGAAAUAGCAGGAAAAAAAUUAGAGAGACACUACGAGGAAUCAUGGCUUCCCUUCUAUUGCAGAUUUAGAUGCUGCUGGAAAUCAAUAAUGGAAGGAGAGCGAGAGAGGGGGGGGGGGGGAGAUCUUUCUUUGCUCCCUAUAUGUGUGAGGAAAAAAAAUACUAAUUGAGACAGAGAAGACUACCUUAAGAGAGUAAACACAAUGAAAAGUUCUAAAAUCAUUUGAAGCAAAUUGAAUGAAAAGUUCUCUCUCAAUCUAUCUAUAUAUAUAUAAUAUGGUGGCCUUCCAUAUUUUUAAUUCGAGUAUUCGUAGGAUUUAGAGCUAGGAUGUUUCUUCCCAACUUCCAAGACUAUAAAUUAAGAUUCUCAAAUUGAGUGAUGGUGACUUUCGUCUAACCAAUUCAAAGACGAGAAGUCCAAAACUAAAGAGAAUAGCGUGUAGACGACGAUGCUAUGAAUAAAACAGGGGAAGUACAGGACAAUUACUUAAUAAUUGUACAGAUUUUUUUAUAGAAAAUCUAUAUCAUGGAGAAACUUAACCGAAAUUUCCAACGUAAAAUCUCAAACUUAGGUUAUUGGACAGAGUGUUUCUGUGUGGACCCUAAUCCUCCUAUUUUUCUCUCCUCCUUUAUUACAGCAGAAGUUGACAUCGAACGACAUUAUUCUUUGACAAAAUUAAUUUAAAAACUAUUGACUUGCAAAAUCAGCAUAAUUCACACCCUCAUGAUAAAGCAUAUUACAUGUUUAUAUGUUUAAUUCACAUCAAAAUAGUAACAACAGAAACAACAGAGACACACAUGUGUUUAAUUUAUAGCGAUUCUGCAAACUUUAUUUUUAUUUUACAAUAACAGUAACAACAGGAAAAAUAAUCCCAUUACUCCAUUGUUAAGCCUUCUUAAAUCACCAUGUUUUAUCACAUGUGAUGAUGGAGUCCUGCCACUGUCAAAAUCACCCGUAUCCCAGUCAUUGCUUGCAUCAUUCAUGACCUUUUUUUUUCCCUUCAUAUUUUACAGUUUUGUUGAAUAUUUGGCUCCUUUUGAGACAGUCCAAUUAUCCCAUUCAAGGUCGACUUUUCCCAUUCAAAUUCAAGCAUCUUUUUGCAAUAUGAGCAACAAAGAUAACUUCUGCGUUUUGAUAGCACUCCUUAACUCUAACAUCAAGAAUAUCAAAGAGUUUAUUAUCUUCCAUCAACAUAAUCAAAUGCAUGGCUAGACUUCUACUUUCUGUUAAGGACUUGCACAAAAUAGAAAGAUAGAAUAUAUAUAUAUAUAUUUUUUGAUACAUCCACAUUUACAACCUACAAAAAACAAAAACUCAAAACUAAACAAAUAUUACAUUAAACAAUAAAAAAUUACAAAAACAGUCCCUGAACAAUCCAAGAAUUGCAGGGAAGUCCGUCUGGAACCGCAAGAAUAGUGGCCAGCUUCUGUUAAAUUGAAGGUUGAAUUUUCUAGUUUUUGAUUUCGUGUAUAAAUAGAGUGCCCAGCUUCUGUUAAAUUGUGUGGAUAGAAUUGAGAGAAACACUAGAAAGAGAAAAGAGAGAGAGGGCGUGUUUAAGCUUUUGUGUUAAUUAAUUGUAAGCUUCGGAUUUUUGUAAUAAAACCAUGUGUUUUAUCCCCUCUGAGUGUUUCAAAGCCACCACCAGUGGUUUCUCCCACCAAUAAUUGGUAUCAGAGCCCCGUUCGUCAGAAAACAAAAGUGUUUUGGGGUAUAUCCGAAUUUUCAAAGUUGUCAAAAACAAGUUUUGAUCAUUCCACAGUGUAGAGCUCAUCCAUAUGAACUCACUAUCGCAAGAAUCAGCCUGAUCGGAGACCUCGGUGAGACACACGCGCCGCCUGACGCCUGUGACUGUAGCCCACGCGCAGCCACUCGCGCCAGAGGAAGACGACGAGUGUCGUCCACGCGCGCCAUAUUUGAGCCUUUUAAGCAGCCUAAGCCGAGCUAAUAUCCAGUCGCGCCGAGCCGAGCCUCUUUCUAGCUAGCACGCCGAGAGAAUAUUCCCGGUUCAACCCAGCGAACCGCCCGCCGUACAAAUUGGUUUUUUGACCGGUUCACCCAUUUUCUGACCCGAUUUCUUCAAAGUCAGACCGGUUCCCUACUAUUUGGACCAUUCGGAUCGAUCUACAGUGUCCGUUUGGCCAAAUUCGGCUCCCAGAGAGGUGAUAUAGUCAUUCAAAGAGCAAAAUGACUAUAGAAGGUACACAUACACUCAUCCCGAAGCUGAUCAAAGACAACUAUGAUAGUUGGUGCAUCAGAUUGAAGGCAUUCCUUGGUUCACAAGAGUGUUUGGAUAUUGUACAAACUGGUUAUGAUGAACCAGAGUCCAAAAAAAGAGAAGAUGCUUUACAAGAGGCACAGAAGCAAGCCCUGAAAGUCAACAGAAAGAAGGACAACAAAGCAAAGACCAUCAUCUACCAAGGUCUUGAUGAAGAUACAUUCGAGAUCAUAGCUUCCGCUGAAACAUCACAUGAUAUAUGGGAGGCUCUCCAACAGAAAUACAAAGGUGCUGACAGAAUCAAGAAGAUUCGUCUUCAAUCUUUGCGAGGUGAAUUUGAGUUAUUGCAAAUGAAGUCCUCGGAGUCUAUUUCUGAUUAUCACACAAGGAUUAUGGUGAUAGUCAACCAGAUGAGGAGAAAUGGAGAAGCCAUCGUCGAUUCUCGAAUUACUGAGAAAAUUUUGAGAUCCCUAGAUCCAAAAUUUGAUUUUGUUGUUGUCGCAAUUGAAGAGUCCAAGAAGUGGACAAUUGACUGAGGGAUGGCUUAUGAGUUCUUUGCAAGCUCAUGAGCAGAAGAUUGUAAAGCGAAAUGGAGAUAAGGCCAUCGAGCAUGCCUUACAAGCAAAGCUGUCUCUCAAGGACAAUAUGAGCAAGGGGAGACUUCAUCAAGUGGAUACACCACUCAAGCAGGAAGUCAACAAUCCAGAGGAGGAUUCCAGAGAUUCCAAGGAAGAGGUUCUUGGAAUACAAGCUUUAGAGGAAGAGGUGGCAGAAACACCACCAGAGGAGGCCGAGGACAACAAGCAUUCACUCCUAGAGGAAGAGGAGGCGGUUACAAUAACCUGUAAAAGGAAUAUCAAUGUUAUAGUUGCAAUCAAUUUGGGCACUAUAGCACUGAAUGCAGAGAAAGCUCCGUUGGAGAUACGUGAGCAAGCCAACUAUGCAGAGAAGGAUGACAGAGAAGCUGCAUUUCUUGUCCAACAAGACUUGAGAAACAGAGAAUAUAUGGUAUCUAGAUACUGGAGCCAGCAAUCACAUGUGCGGCUACCGAGAGUUAUUUGGUGAUCUAGAUGAGACCAAGCAAGGUCUAGUUACUUUUGGAGAUACCACAAAGGUUCCAUUCAAAGGUAAAGGCAGCAUCCCAGUCAAGUUGAAGAAUGAUUCCAGCUACAUCGCCGAUGUGUAUUAUGUCCCAGCCAUAAAGCAGAACCUGAUCAGCUUAGGUCAACUUUUGGAGAGAGGAUAUACUUUUUACUCGAAGAAUUGUCAUCUGACAAUUAGAGACAACAAUGGGAGAUUAAUGGCCUACGUGAAAAUGUCCAAGAAUAGGAUGUUUCCUUUGAACAUCCAGUAUGAUGCAACAAGGUGUUUGAGUGCCAUCACCAACAGUGAAGAAUGGCUUUGGCACCUGAGGCUUGGACAUCUGAAUUUCACAAGUUUGAAGAUGCUAGCAAGCAAGAAGAUGGUCAAAGGUUUGCCUCACAUUGAUCAUCCAGAUGAAGUCUGUGAAAGUUGUGUCCUCAGCAAACAUCACAGAUCCAGUUUUGCCAAAGAAGUCAACUGGAGAGCAAAGAGGCCACUGGAGUUAGUACACACAGAUGUGUGUGGCCCAAUUACGCCUAUGUCGACUGGACAAAAUAGGUACUUCCUCACUUUUACUGAUGAUUUUAGUAGAAAGACGUGGAUAUACUUUCUGAAGAGGAAGUCAGAAGUAUUCAAUUGUUUUAAAGAUUUUAAAGCAAUUGUGGAGAAGCAAACUGGUUAUACGAUCAGAACAGUGAGAUCUGAUCAAGGUGGAGAAUAUACAGCAAAUGACUUUGAAGCCUUUGUACACAACAAGGCAUCAGACAUCAGACAACACCAGCUUAUACACCACAGCUGAAUGGUGUAGCAGAAAGGAAGAAUCGCACGAUUCUUGACAUGGCAAGAAGUCUGCUCAAAGCAAAGAAGCUGCCCAAGCAAUACUGGGCUGAAGCUGUAUCAUGUGCAGUGUAUCUACUGAAUCGCUGCCCAACCAGAAGUUUGCAAGGAGUCACUCCAGAAGAAGCAUGGAGUGGUCACAAACCAAGUGUUACUCAUCUACGAGUCUUUGGUUGUGUGGCAUAUGCAAAGAUCCCAGAUGCAAGAAGGAGAAAGCUCGAUGAUAAAGCGAGAAAUGCAUCUUUGUCGGAUAUGGUGAAAGAAGGAUGGGAUACAGCUAUAUAAUCCCAUCACGAAGAAGGUGAUUAUGAGUAGAGAUGUUAUCUUUGAAGAAGAUAAAUCUUGGGAAUGGAAUGAUGAUCAAGAAGCAGUCAAAUGGAUCAACAUUGAUUUGAUCCUUGAAGGUGAAGAAGUACCAACAUACUUGUAAGAACCGAUUGUACCUGCAGAAGAACGAUUGUGCCAGCAGCUGAACCACAAAGUCCAGUGUUUAUACCAGCAGCUGAACCACAAAGUCCGGUACACAGAUUCCCUGUAUUCAACAGGAGGAACACACCAGGAGCAUCAUCAUCAACACCACCAUCAGCAUCCUCAUCAGAAGGACCAAGAAGGAUGGAAAUCUUGAAGAGUUGUACGAUGCCACUCAGUCAUGGAAGAUACAACUUUUUUGUUUCCAUGCAGAUAGUGACCCAUUAAGCUUCAAUAAAGCUGUCACAGAAAAGAAAUGGAUAAAAGCAAUGGAUGAAGAAAUACAUGCCAUUGAGAAGAAUGAUACCUGGAAGCUGACUAUCCACCAGAAAAAAGAAAGCAAUAGGUGUAAAAGGGUCUACAAGACGAAAGCCAAAUUAGUGGAUAAAGGCUACAAGCAGAGAGAAGGCAUUGAAAGGAGAAGUGUUCAUGCUUGCAUGACAUCCCUCGAUUGAGUUUAAGGGGAGAUUUGUUGAAUAUUAAACUCAACAUCUAGAAGGUCAAGGAAGGCAACCACAACUGCCACCAACGACCAGCCACCACCGCAGCCGCCAGCCACCAGCUGCCACAGCCGCCAGCCGCCUUCACACUUGAAGGUUGAAUUUUCUAGUUUUUGAUUUCGUGUAUAAAUAGAGUGCCCAGCUUCUGUUAUUGUGUGGAGAGAAUUGAGAGAAACACUAGAAAGAGAAAAGAGAGAGAGGGUGUGUUUAAGCUUUUGUGUUAAUUAAUUGUAAGCUUCGGAUUUUUUGUAAUAAAACCGUGUUUUAUCCCCUCUGAGUGUUUCAAAGCCACCACCAGUGGUUUCUCCCACCAACACUCUCUCGGUUUUCCAUUUUCUCCUUCUUCAGGUGGUCGGUUUGUUCUCGGUCUUCUUCUUCUUCUGAUCUGGCGGCUGUCGUGGAAGGAGCGCCGGAGGCCAGUCGGUGCAAAGGAGAGCUGGUGGAUGAGGAAGGAGGCUGAAAAAGCAGAGGACGAAGGAGCGGCGGAUUGAUCUGGGUUGUUACUGUUGAGGGAAGAUCUGUCGGCCUCUAGAUCUCCGGUGUGGACGGCGCUGCUGGCUCCUACGGGUGAAGAAGAAAGGCAAGCCGGCUGGGAGAGAGGAGAGGAAGAUGGUGAGCGGCGGGGGAAAAUGGGGAGGAAAAAAUGGCCAGAGGGGGGAAAGAUGGCCGGGGAAGAGUAGAGAAAAAAAUCCGUGGGGUGUGGCUGCUAUUUUGUUUAGGUCAGCGGCUGGCUGUGCCUUGUUUUGGCAGAGGUAGAUGAACGGCUGUUGGGUAAGAGUUCUGUUUUCGACGGAGGGAGCGGUGGCUUGAACAGAUCAGAGAAAAGGGAGCGGUGGCUUGAAUUGAUAUGCGGGCAUUGUUGACGGUCUUUAAUAAGUCGUUGUUAUAAAUGUCAUUCCUUUUUGGCCCCCUUGGAUCUUUCAAUUGGAUAUUGUCUGAACAAUUCACUGCUUAAGCUCUUUGUUAGUUGAAGUGCUUAGGCAGGGUAUUUUUGGCCGGACUGAUUUCUCUUGUAGUUUCUCGAUCUUUUUUGUGAGUGAUUAUCGAUCGACCAUUGUGAUAAUCAACCGAAUAUGAAGAUACAACUUGUGGGAGGUGUGUCAUGUGUGUGUCGCUCUUUUCACUGCUCUGGAGAUUUGGAUCCUGUACAUACUUGCUCAGGGAUUCCUGCACAAUGAGUCUGUUUAUAUAGCAUCUGUAUGGAUGGAUUUGCCACAUGUUGUAUGGGCUAGAUGCCUUUUUUCUAUGUCAUAAUGGACUUGAGAAUAGUUGCAAAUAAUCAUCGUUUUUAAUUAUUUUAUUUACCUUCAUUGUAACUUGGAUGUUUUGUUGCUUAACCGAGCACAAGAAUAUGGACGAUGAAACAGCCUUGAUUUCCACGUUGUUUCCUUUCUAGUGCAAGAUUGAUUACUUUGCUGAUGCUGCAUAGUGGUAUACAUAAAUAGUACUACCACAAGACACCAAAUACUAAUUAUUAUACAUGUUAUUUUAUUAGUUUCGGAACGUCUGAUGAAGGGAAAUACAAUGAGAAAAUUAUAAAAUUGUCUAAAACUCAUGCAAAUCAAAUGAACAUAAGUGUUUCUGUGUGGACAUAUAAUUUGGACCCAAAAAUCACAAUUCUAUCAUUAACCAUGUAUGCUUUCGGUUCCUUAUUUAGAGAUUAGCACCCGUGAACAGUAGCAUGAGGACCGAUGAUACCAGCAGCAACAAUAACAAGUUCAGUAAUUGCUCCUUAUUUGGAUAAUGGAUAUCCGAAACUCAAUUAGGUAUUCAAGAUUUAUAUCCGUUAGGGUUUAGGUGGAUAACAUGACUCCUUAAUUGCAUAGGCGGGACUCUAUGGCCCUUGUUGGACGUCCACGCAUUGGUGGAUCUAUGUUGCCCGCAAAGAGAAAUCACCUGCGAUUAAUUGGGCUUCCAGCCCCUUAUAUUUAAACAGUGACGAGCUCACAGCCAUCGGGCCCAUUUAGGCUUUGUCCAAAGAGACAAGUGUGGAGUUGAAACCGGGUUUUAGUUUACCCGACUCAAAAUGUCUCCAUCAUAGAUUUUUUAUCAUUUGUCCAUACCUCCAAUCUAGUGAAGUCGGGUUACAUGGAUGGCUUUCUAGUAUCCAUCAAAAACCCCAUCUGAUCUAGGUGUUUUUUUUUAAUAAAAAAAUUGAUUUUAUCAAAAAUAUACUUUAAUAAAACAAACCGAAUCAUAAAAUAAAAUAAUUUUUUAUAUUUUAUAUAUAUAUAAAAAAUAUUUAAAUUAUCAUUAAAGUAUCUUAAAUAAAAAUUCUAAUUAAUUUUUUUAUAUAUAAAUUAUUGAGUCCGACGAUCAAAUCCAAAAUACUUGGGUAUUAUAAACAUUCUUUAUUUGAUGAACAAUAAAAUAAAUCAUAAAAGAAAACCACAAAUAACCAAAAUAAAACAAAAGGAUUGUGAAAUUAUUAUUAUUACAAUUUACAGUAAAAUAUCUUCCAUGUUAUUUAUUUAAAUUUUAUUUUCCAAGUGUAACUUUUAAAGAAUAAAAUAAUAUAUGGUAAAAUUUAAUUGGUAGAAAAUUUAUUUUUCUGGAUAUAGUUUAUCUGUGUUGUAAGUUUUUUGAUGAAUGAAAUCAUUAUUCAAUGAACGAAGAAGCAAGAUCGACCUGCUACAAAGUUAUAAUUUGUCUUCUUGAUUUAGCAAAAUCAUAAUUUGUCACAGAAAACCACUCCCUCUAUUUCAAAGAUAUUGUUCACCUUUCAUUCCUAAAAUUAUAAUCCAUGAUUAAAAACAUUAAACAAUUAAUUACUUGAUUUUACUUUUAUACCUCUAAUUAUAAUUUAUUUUAAUUCUUCCACUCAAGAUUCUCUCUUAUUUACUUUCAAAUGAUGAAUGAAAUAAUUAUUAGAUCUUCAAAUCACAACAGCGUCAAAUUAUUAGCACCGCAAGUUGACGUGCACCCAACAAUUUCUGGCUCAAUUCGAUUCAAUAAAGCACGAUUGUUGCAGCCCCUUGAGGAUAAUUGUUGCUGCAGCAAUAAACCACCAUUUCGUUUGAAGAACUUCUUCUUCAGUUCAAUGUUCUUUUUUUUUUUUACAAGUUUAUAUAACCGCCAAAUACCAACAAGCAGCAGCAACAAUCCAGUGGCCGCACCUAGAACUGCCAUUGCUCGCAAGGGAAAAAAAAAAUAAAAUUGUUAGAUACAUACACACGUAUUAUUAUUGAACAACAAUCCAUGUCAACAAGGUGGUUAAAUGGUUUUUAGGUUGAGGUAACCUUCUGCCGUAUAUUUUUUUAAAUUCUUAUAUUCUUAUAUGUUAUUGUAUAUUCAUUUUUUCCCUUAUAUAUCCUCUCACUAUUUGAACAAAAAAAGCCAACAACAACCUCCAAAAAGAAAAUUUAAUUUUAAAAAGCCUAAAACAAUUUUACAAAACAUAUAAAACAUUAAAAAAAUUGAAAAGUGAAAAGUGAAAAAAAAACUUACUUGAAUAAUAUAAAAAAUAAAAAAAUUUCAUGUCAACAAAGCCUCACAACUAGAAAUUAUAUCUAUGGCAACAAAAUAAGUUUUACAGGUUAUGGAUUUUAAAAAAAAUUUAUGAGUUACCAUUAAAAAAAAUAUAUCUAUGUUCUAUUUAAAAAUGUUUUGGUACUCUCCAGGUUUUGUCAUUUCUAGGUUACUUUUUUUUUUUAAAUAUGUUUUUAAUUUUUUUUUUCCUAUUAUUUUGUUUUUCAUGUCUUGUUAAGUUUUCAAAAUUUUUUUUUUUUUUAACUUUGAUAUAUUUUAAAGACUUAAUUUUUAUGUUGGAGGUCUUAGGGGUAUUUUCAUCCAAACAGUAACAAAAGAGUAUAUAAGAGAAAAUAUCUAUAUAUCCGUGCAUACGAAGACUGAAAAUUUCUUAAAAUGAUUUCUUUUUAAAUAACACAUGGAAGAAUAAAUCCAAUACAUAAAGAUAAAUAAAUCAAUUAACCUAAUUUUUUAAUUAACAUACCACUUUUCUUUUAUUCCCACAAAUAAAAUCAAUAUUUGUUUUUUUACAAAUAGUUGUUUUCUUCUUGUAGUGCAAAUGGAGAACUUUCCAAGUCAAACAUACCGAAUCGAUUAGUAUUUAAAAUUUUCCCACAAAUAAAAUUUAAUUUAUCCUCUAAACCAAUGUUUCAGGUUCCUAUAAAUUACGAAGGAAAAAAGAAUUAAGAGAUAGGAACUUACUCAAGAAAGUGAUCUUAGCUUUGUCAAGCUCGCACUUGUACCGCCCCGGCACAUUCACACAUUUUGUCAUCCCCGAACACAAAUUUACCCGAGGGAAUUUUGCACUCAUCGAUAUCUGAUUCAGGAAAUCCAAAGAGUAUAUUCAUGUGAUUGCCUUGUGAUUGGAGCCAUUCAAAAGUACUAGAAUGAGUAUUAUUUUUUCUUAAAACAAAUAGAUUAAAUCACAUUAAGCGUGUUCGAAUCAUACCAGUGCAUCCAUCAGGAAGAUACGGAUUGCCAUCAUAGUCAUCGUUGCACAUACAAAUAGUUGAAUUGGAAUACAAUGUUUCUGUUCUCAAACCCAACCCACCAGAACUUAUUGGAAUACAAUACCUUGCAUUAGAAUACAAUGUUACACCUUCAGGGAUGUCAGUACCAUAAUACACAAACCAAUCCACGAUAACUGGAACAUAUUGCCUAUGUAGCACCUCCUGGCGACUUGAUAUAUUGUUCCGGAACCAUGCUCUCUCUACUAUAAAAGCUACCUUGCAUCGAUUGCUGCCUUGCUCUGCGUUCCCCAAACUCGCGCUGAACACCUGGAGACUCGAGGGAAUUCUGGUCUGGCAGCAAUUGUUACCAGAACAGUAGCUAUUUUCUUUCCCUUCAGUACUAGAACUAGUCAAAUUAUUAGCACCGCAAGUUGACGUGCACCCAACAAUUUCUGGCACAAGUCCGUUCAAUAAAGCACGAUUGUUGCAGCCCAUUGCGAUGAAGAUAUUUGAGGAAGAGAAGGAGAAAGGACUUCCAGUCAUAUUAAUGGAUAUGUUGGCACCUCUACCAGAACAGCCGGAGGAAAUUAUUGGACUGUUUACUCGAACCGUACUGUCCUCUAAUGAAAUCUCCAAGACCUCCAUGUUGAUUCUGCUUAAGAAAGCCCUGCUGGGAGAAUACGCAGUUGCUUCUUUGCAAUCAACUGAGAACCACUCAUUCUUGAAACAACCUGUUCCUAUUCCAAAUGGAAAAGGGAGCUAAUGUUUCCACAAGUGUCUUUACAAUUAGGCUUCGCCAUAAUUAGUGCUGAUACAGUUGCUAUUUCAGGGACUAGAAAUAGCAGGAAAAAAAAUUAGAGAGACACUACGAGGAAUCAUGGCUUCCCUUCUAUUGCAGAUUUAGAUGCUGCUGGAAAUCAAUAAUGGAAGGAGAGCGAGAGAGGGGGGGGGGGGAGAUCUUUCUUUGCUCCCUAUAUGUGUGAGGAAAAAAAAUACUAAUUGAGACAGAGAAGACUACCUUAAGAGAGUAAACACAAUGAAAAGUUCUAAAAUCAUUUGAAGCAAAUUGAAUGAAAAGUUCUCUCUCAAUCUAUCUAUAUAUAUAUAAUAUGGUGGCCUUCCAUAUUUUUAAUUCGAGUAUUCGUAGGAUUUAGAGCUAGGAUGUUUCUUCCCAACUUCCAAGACUAUAAAUUAAGAUUCUCAAAUUGAGUGAUGGUGACUUUCGUCUAACCAAUUCAAAGACGAGAAGUCCAAAAACUAAAGAGAAUAGCGUGUAGACGACGAUGCUAUGAAUAAAACAGGGGAAGUACAGGACAAUUACUUAAUAAUUGUACAGAUUUUUUUAUAGAAAAUCUAUAUCAUGGAGAAACUUAACCGAAAUUUCCAACGUAAAAUCUCAAACUUAGGUUAUUGGACAGAGUGUUUCUGUGUGGACCCUAAUCCUCCUAUUUUUCUCUCCUCCUUUAUUACAGCAGAAGUUGACAUCGAACGACAUUAUUCUUUGACAAAAUUAAUUUAAAAACUAUUGACUUGCAAAAUCAGCAUAAUUCACACCCUCAUGAUAAAGCAUAUUACAUGUUUAUAUGUUUAAUUCACAUCAAAAUAGUAACAACAGAAACAAACAGAGACACACAUGUGUUUAAUUUAUAGCGAUUCUGCAAACUUUAUUUUUAUUUUACAAUAACAGUAACAACAGGAAAAAUAAUCCCAUUACUCCAUUGUUAAGCCUUCUUAAAUCACCAUGUUUUAUCACAUGUGAUGAUGGAGUCCUGCCACUGUCAAAAUCACCCGUAUCCCAGUCAUUGCUUGCAUCAUUCAUGACCUUUUUUUUCCCUUCAUAUUUUACAGUUUUGUUGAAUAUUUGGCUCCUUUUGAGACAGUCCAAUUAUCCCAUUCAAGGUCGACUUUUCCCAUUCAAAUUCAAGCAUCUUUUGCAAUAUGAGCAACAAAGAUAACUUCUGCGUUUUGAUAGCACUCCUUAACUCUAACAUCAAGAAUAUCAAAGAGUUUAUUAUCUUCCAUCAACAUAAUCAAAUGCAUGGCUAGACUUCUACUUUCUGUUAAGGACUUGCACAAAAUAGAAAGAUAGAAUAUAUAUAUAUAUAUUUUUUGAUACAUCCACAUUUACAACCUACAAAAAACAAAAACUCAAAACUAAACAAAUAUUACAUUAAACAAUAAAAAAUUACAAAAACAGUCCCUGAACAAUCCAAGAAUUGCAGGGAAGUCCGUCUGGAACCGCAAGAAUAGUGGCCAGCUUCUGUUAAAUUGAAGGUUGAAUUUUCUAGUUUUUGAUUUCGUGUAUAAAUAGAGUGCCCAGCUUCUGUUAAAUUGUGUGGAUAGAAUUGAGAGAAACACUAGAAAGAGAAAAGAGAGAGAGGGCGUGUUUAAGCUUUUGUGUUAAUUAAUUGUAAGCUUCGGAUUUUUAUAAUAAAACCAUGUGUUUUUAUCCCCUCUGAGUGUUUCAAAGCCACCACCAGUGGUUUCUCCCACCAAUAAUUGGUAUCAGAGCCCCGUUCGUCAGAAAACAAAAGUGUUUUGGGGUAUAUCCGAAUUUUCAAAGUUGUCAAAAACAAGUUUUGAUCAUUCCACAGUGUAGAGCUCAUCCAUAUGAACUCACUAUCGCAAGAAUCAGCCUGAUCGGAGACCUCGGUGAGACACACGCGCCGCCUGACGAUCCUGUGACUGUAGCCCACGCGCAGCCACUCGCGCCAGAGGAAGACGACGAGUGUCGUCCACGCGCGCCAUAUUUGAGCCUUUUAAGCAGCCUAAGCCGAGCUAAUAUCCAGUCGCGCCGAGCCGAGCCUCUUUCUAGCCGCUAGCACGCCGAGAGAAUAUUCCCGGUUCAACCCAGCGAACCGCCCGCCGUACAAAAUUGGUUUUUUGACCGGUUCACCCAUUUUCUGACCCGAUUUCUUCAAAGUUAGACUGGUUCCCUACUAUUUGGACCAUUCUGGAUCGAUCUACAGUGUCCGUUUACCCAAAUUCAUCUCCCAGAAAGGUGAUAUAGUCAUUCAAAGAGCAAAAUGACUAUAGAAGGUACACAUACACUCAUCCCGAAUCUGACCAAAGACAACUAUGAUAGUUGGUGCAUCAGAUUGAAAGCAUUCCUUGGUUCACAAGAGUGUUUGGAUAUUGUACAACAUGGUUAUGAUGAACCAGAAUCCAAAGAAGUAGAAGAUGCUUUCAAGAGGCACAGAAGCAAGCCCUGAAAGUCAACAUAAAGAAGGACAACAAAGCAAAGACCAUCAUCUACCGAGGUCUUGAUGAAGAUACAUUCGAGAUCAUAGCUUUUGCUGAAACAUCAAAAGAUAUAUGGGAGGCUCUCCAACAGAAAUACAAAGGUGCUGACAAAAUCAAGAAGAUUCGUCUUCAAUCUUUGCGAGGUGAAUUUGAGUUAUUGCAAAUGAAGUCCUCGGAGUCUAUUUCUGAUUAUCACACAAGGAUUAUGGUGAUAGUCAACUAGAUGAGGAGAAAUGGAGAAGCCAUCGUCGAUUCUCGAAUUACUGAGAAAAUUUUGAGAUCCCUAGAUCCAAAAUUUGAUUUUGUUGUUGUCGCUAUUGAAGAGUCCAAAGAAGUGGACAAAUUGACAAUUUAUGAGCAGAAGAUUGUUGUCGCUUAUGAGUUCUUUGCAAGCUCAUGAGCAGAAGAUUGUAAAGCGAAAUGGAGAUAAGGCCAUCGAGCAUGCCUUACAAGCAAAGCUGUCUCUCAAGGACAAAUAUAAGCAAGGGGAGACUUCAUUAAGUGGAUACACCACUCAAGCAGGAAGUCAACAAUCCAGAGGAGGAUUCCAGAGAUUCCAAGGAAGAGGUUCUUGGAAUACAAGCUUUAGAGGAAGAGGUGGCAGAAACACCACCAGAGGAGGCCGAGGACAACAAGCAUUCACUCCUAGAGGAAGAGGAGGCGGUUACAAUAACCAUGAUAAAAGGAAUAUCCAAUGUUAUAGUUGCAAUCAAUUUGGGCACUAUAGCACUGAAUGCAGAAGAAAAGCUCUGUGAGAGAUACGUGAGCAAGCCAACUAUGCAGAGAAGGAUGACAGAGAAGAAGCUGCAUUUCUUGUCCAACAAGGACAUGAUGAGAAACAUGAGAAUAUAUGGUAUCUAGAUACUGGAGCCAGCAAUCACAUGUGCGCCUACCGAGAGUUAUUUAGUUGUCUAGAUGAGACCAAGCAAGGUCUAGUUACUUUUGGAGAUACCUCAAAGGUUCCAUUCAAAGGUAAAGGCAGCAUCCCAAUUAAGUUGAAGAACGGUGAUUCCAGCUACAUCGCCGAUGUGUAUUAUGUCCCAGCCAUAAAGCAGAACCUGAUCAGCUUAGGUCAACUUUUGGAGAGAGGAUAUACUUUUUACUCGAAGAAUUGUCAUCUGACAAUUAGAGAUAACAAUUGGAGAUUAAUGGCCUACGUGAAAAUGUCCAAGAAUAGGAUGUUUCCUUUGAACAUCCAGUAUGAUGCAACAAGGUGUUUGAGUGCUAUCACCAACAGUGAAGAAUGGCUUUGGCACCUAAGGCUUGGACAUUUGAAUUUCACAAGUCUGAAGAUGCUAGCAAGCAAGAAGAUGGUCAAAGGUUUGCCUCACAUUGAUCAUCCAGAUGAAGUCUGUGAAAGUUGUGUCCUCAGCAAACAUCAGAGAUCCAGUUUUGCAAAAAAAGUCAACUGGAGAGCAAAGAGGCCACUGGAGUUAGUACACACAGAUGUGUGUGGCCCAAUAAUGCCUAUGUCGACUGGACAAAAUAGGUACUUCCUCACUUUUAUUGAUGAUUUUAGCAGAAAGAUGUGGAUAUACUUUCUGAAGAGGAAGUCAGAAGUAUUCAAUUAUUUUACAGAUUUUAAAGCAAUUGUGGAGAAGCAAAGUGGCUAUAUGAUCAGAACCGUGAGAUCUGAUCAAGGUGGAGAAUAUACAGCAAAUGACUUUGAAGCCUUUUGUACACAACAAGGCAUCAGACAUCAGACAACACCAGCUUAUACACCACAGCUGAAUGGUGUAGCAGAAAGGAAGAAUCAAACGAUUCUUGACAUGGCAAGAAGUCUGCUCAAAGCAAAGAAGCUGCCCAAGCAAUACUGGGCUGAAGCUGUAUCAUGUGCAGUGUAUCUACUGAAUUGCUGCCCAACUAAAAGUUUGCAAGGUGUCAUUCCAGAAGAAGCAUGGAGUGGUCACAAACCAAGUGUUACUCAUCUACGAGUCUUUGGUUGUGUGGCAUAUGCAAAGAUCCCAGAUGCAAGAAGGACAAAGCUCGAUGAUAAAAGCGAGAAAUGCAUCUUUGUCGGAUAUGGUGAAACAAGAAUGGGAUACAAGCUAUAUAAUCCCAUCACGAAGAAGGUGAUUAUGAGUAGAGAUGUUAUCUUUAAAGAAGAUAAAUCUUGGGAAUGGAAUGAUGAUCAAGAAACAGUCAAAUGGAUCAACAUUGAUUUGAUCCUUGAAGGUGAAGAAGUACCAACAAUACUUGCAUAAGAACCGAUUGUACCUGCAGAAGAACUGAUUGUGCCAGCAGCUGAACCACAAAGUCCAGUGUUUAUACCAGCAGCUGAACCACAAAGUCCGGUACACAGAUUCCCUGUAUUCAACAGGAGGAACACACCAGGAGCAUCAUCAUCAACACCACAAUCAACAUCUUAAUCAGAAGGACCAAGAAGGAUGUGAAACCUUGAAGAGUUGUAUGAUGCCACUCAAGUCAUGGAAGAUACAACUUUAUUUUGUUUCCAUAUAGAUAGUGACCCAUUAAGCUUCAAUAAAGCUGUCACAGAAAAGAAAUGGAUAAAAGCAAUGGAUGAAGAAAUACAUGCCAUUGAGAAGAAUGAUACCUGGAAGCUGACUCAUCCACCAGAAAACAAGAAAGCAAUAGGUGUUAAAAGGGUCUACAAGACGAAAGCCAAAUUAGUGGAUAAAGGCUACAAGCAGAGAGAAGGCAUUGAAAGGAGAAGUGUUCAUGCUUGACAUGACAUCCCUAGAUUGAGUUUAAGGGGGAGAUUUGUUGAAUAUUAAACUCAACAUCUAGAAGGUCAAGGAAGGCAACCACAACUGCCACCAAUCGACCAGCCACCAACCGCAGCCGCCAGCCACCAGCUGCCACAGCCGCCAACCGCCUUCACACUUGAAGGUUGAAUUUUCUAGUUUUUGAUUUCGUGUAUAAAUAGAGUGCCCAGCUUCUGUUAAAUUGUGUGGAGAGAAUUGAGAGAAACACUAGAAAGAGAAAAGAGAGAGAGGGUGUGUUUAAGCUUUUGUGUUAAUUAAUUGCAAGCUUUAGAUUUUUGUAAUAAAACCGUGUUUUAUCCCCUCUGAGUGUUUCAAAGCCACCACCAGUGGUUUCUCCCACCAACACUCUCUCGGUUUUCCAUUUUCUCCUUCUUCAGGUGGUCGGUUUGUUCUCGGUCUUCUUCUUCUUCUGAUCUGGCGGCUGUCGUGGAAGGAGCGCCGGAGGCCAGUCGGUGCAAAGGAGAGCUGGUGGAUGAGGAAGGAGGCUGAAAAAGCAGAGGACGAAGGAGCGGCGGAUUGAUCUGGGUUGUUACUGUUGAGGGAAGAUCUGUCGGCCUCUAGAUCUCCGGUGUGGACGGCGCUGCUGGCUCCUACGGGUGAAGAAGAAAGGCAAGCCGGCUGGGAGAGAGGAGAGGAAGAUGGUGAGCGGCGGGGGAAAAUGGGGAGGAAAAAAUGGCCAGAGGGGGGAAAGAUGGCCGGGGAAGAGUAGAGAAAAAAAAUCCGUGGGGUGUGGCUGCUAUUUUGUUUAGGUCAGCGGCUGGCUGUGCCUUGUUUUGGCAGAGGUAGAUGAACGGCUGUUGGGUAAGAGUUCUGUUUUCGACGGAGGGAGCGGUGGCUUGAACAGAUCAGAGAAAAGGGAGCGGUGGCUUGAAUUGAUAUGCGGGCAUUGUUGACGGUCUUUAAUAAGUCGUUGUUAUAAAUGUCAUUCCUUUUUGGCCCCCUUGGAUCUUUCAAUUGGAUAUUGUCUGAACAAUUCACUGCUUAAGCUCUUUGUUAGUUGAAGUGCUUAGGCAGGGUAUUUUUGGCCGGACUGAUUUCUCUUGUAGUUUCUCGAUCUUUUUUGUGAGUGAUUAUCGAUCGACCAUUGUGAUAAUCAACCGAAUAUGAAGAUACAACUUGUGGGAGGUGUGUCAUGUGUGUGUCGCUCUUUUCACUGCUCUGGAGAUUUGGAUCCUGUACAUACUUGCUCAGGGAUUCCUGCACAAUGAGUCUGUUUAUAUAGCAUCUGUAUGGAUGGAUUUGCCACAUGUUGUAUGGGCUAGAUGCCUUUUUUCUAUGUCAUAAUGGACUUGAGAAUAGUUGCAAAUAAUCAUCGUUUUUAAUUAUUUUAUUUACCUUCAUUGUAACUUGGAUGUUUUGUUGCUUAACCGAGCACAAGAAUAUGGACGAUGAAACAGCCUUGAUUUCCACGUUGUUUCCUUUCUAGUGCAAGAUUGAUUACUUUGCUGAUGCUGCAUAGUGGUUUUUUCUCUUGCACAUCUGGUUAUGUCUUUACAGUAUCCUAAUACCUCAAUAUUUUUUUUCUAACAUGCUUUAGCUUAGCAGUUCUUGCUAUAUUGAUGCUCACCCAAAAGCCUCUAAUGAUGCGAGACUUGAAUAGCAAAAAGUGAAGAUAGGUUAUAGUUCCUCUAAUUAUCUGGGAAUUAUGUGUUGUCUAUUGUGUGUGUAUGUGAGAGAGAAUCUAGCAAGCGAGGGAGAUGAAUUAGAGGUGUUUGUGUGCUCCCCUCAUUCUCCAAGCAAGAUAUUGUUCAACCAAAUUUAAAGCCACUCAAACAUUGUAAUAAACCCUGCUUUCUUAAAUUAUAUUAGAUGAUGACAGUAAUGCUCAGAAUAAUUUCCUCUUGGUAUUUGUUUUUUUUUUUAAUGAAAUUUUGAUUCUAUUAUGUCUCCUUACCCUCCACCAUGA
RNAcentral lists this long non-coding RNA (108316 nucleotides) under Populus tremula. Its description in RNAcentral is "long non-coding RNA (PTRE_LNC000031)". The stretch from base 44633 to 44788 matches the Rfam family "MIR2912 microRNA precursor family". Lineage: Eukaryota; Viridiplantae; Streptophyta; Magnoliopsida; Malpighiales; Salicaceae. The record is from RNAcentral.